This 105489-nucleotide long non-coding RNA is filed under the name Brassica rapa (field mustard). RNAcentral describes it as "long non-coding RNA (BRAP_LNC007772)". The record is from RNAcentral. Lineage: Eukaryota; Viridiplantae; Streptophyta; Magnoliopsida; Brassicales; Brassicaceae.
CUCUCUCUCUCUCUCUCUCAAGCUCUCUUCGACGAAAGGCGAUUCGACGUCUCCUUCGGUGACUCUUGUCGGCGACGUCUCCUUCGGUGUCUCUCAUCGGCAACGUUUCCUCCGGUGGCUCUUGUCGGCGACCUCUUUCUCGGUGGUUCUCCUCGAGGCGACAGAGUUCUCUCUCGGUGGCUCUCUUGAAAUCGAAAGGUAAGCGGUUGUUGUGUUCUUGACUAUGCAUGUCUUCGAUUAGGUCUGAUCUGUUGUUUUUCUAUGUAGUUUGUUGGUUCUCUCUCUCGGUGGGUUUUCUCCUCCAAACUUUCUCUCGGUGGCUCAAAUCGAAAGGUAAACCGGUGUUCUGUUGUUUUAUUAUGCAUGUGAUUGAUUAUUGUAAUUUGUUGGUUCUGUUUGUUUCACCUCAAAUCAAAAUUUUGAUGCGUUUGAUCUCUGGAUAUGUUCAGUUUGUUCUUAGGUUUUAAUUUUGUUUCAAUUAAUAUGGAUGGAUCAAAGUUGAUUUGCUAUGUUUCAAUCCUUGCUCUGUUUCUGUUCUUUGAUUUGUUUUCGUUUGAUUAUGUCUUUCUGUUGGAUUAUGGUCUGAAUCAUUUUUUGUUUAUGUCUUUCUUUUGUCAGAUAGAAGGAUCAAAGUUCAUCGAGCAAAGGUUCAAACAAUUCAGGAGUUCACUGCAAAAUAAGGUUAGUGUUAUUCUUAACUGGUUCUGCAAACUAGAAUUGGUUUAAGUUGUGGUUUGAAUUGAAUCGACUGUAAUUAAUGAUUUCAUUAUAGUUAGAAUAUGGUUGUGUGAUAAAUAGAAGUGAUGGCUAGCUAGAAUUGAUUAAAGCUUAAUGUGAUGAAACUUGUAGAUAAAUGUCAAUACGUUUUUGUUUGUUGGUUGUCAUGAAUGCAUCUUCUCUUCUUUCCCUGUCAUCUAUAAACACACUUUCUUCUUUCUCUUUCUUAUCAUCUCCUUCAUCUUUCUUCUCAAUUUCUUCUCUGUAUGGAUUCUCAACAAAGCCAGUCCUCUAGCUUUUUAAUUUACUAAACACUCAAGUGCCUAACAAUGAAUACUCAACUCAGUUUCUGAGUUUUUCACCUAGUCCAGACGUUGGAGGAUCCGACGUGCACAAAGUGGUGAGGACCAUAAACAAAGGUGCAAGUGGUCAACAGCUGAAGACCUGGUCCUCAUCAGUGCAUGGUUGAACACCUCCAAGAAUCCCAUAGUUGAGAAUGAGCAAAGGGCAUGAACCUUUUGGAAGAUGAUUGUGUCGUAUUAUAAUGCAAGUCCCAAGGUGGUUGGUUUGGCAAAGAGAGAGCAAAGCCACUGCAGGCAAAGAGAGAGCAAAGCCAUUGCAAGCAAAGGUGGAGAAAGAUAAAUGAAGGUGUCUGCAAGUUUGUGGGGUCAUAUGACGCUGCAACAAAACAAAGGACCAGUGGCCAGAGUGAAGAUGAUGUUUUGAAGGCUGCACACGAAAUAUUCCUCAACGAUUACAAGGUGAAAUUCUCAUUGGAGCAUGCGUGGAAGGAGCUUAGGAAUGAUCAGAAAUGGUGUGGGACUUAUGGAAGUAGUCAACAGAGCUCUGGUUCAAAGAGAAAGAAGGUGGGAGAAGAACAAUCUUUUCAGUCAUCAGCAUCUAUGCCCAGUGUCAAUGGAGAGGAUGAAGCAAGACAAGAAUCUGCAAGAUUUUCAGCAAAUGUGGGAGUUAAAGGCGAAGGACAUAGCAGCAAAGGAGAAGCUUAGCCAGACCAUACUGCUUGACAAACUCCUUGCGAAAACAGAGCCGCUUAGUGAAUUAGAAUUGGCGCUUAAGAACAAACUGAUUAAGAAUAUGUUAUAUAUGUAAUCUUUUAAACUCUCAAUGUUAUCAUUUGGUUAUCUUGUUUGUGGCGCUUAAGACUGAUGUGUAAUAUAAGUAAAUCUUGCUUUGAAAUGAAUAUUAGUAGUUUGAUGUGUUCUAAUACGUUCUAAUCUUGUUUGAUAUGUUCUAAUACGUUUCUGUUUUUAUUUUCUGCUUUUCAGGGGAACAAGUGACACACAGCCAUAAAUGGAACGAAGAAAACAUAUUGUUUGUGGCCUCUCGGCAAGACGAAUCAUACCGCCUCUCCCACAAGAAGAUAGAGAUGAUGAUGUUGCGGAUAUCCCACAAGAAGAUACAGUCGAAGUGGUGGAGAUAUCAGAUGAAGAAGAAGAAGAUAUGGUGGAGUUAUCAAGCAAAAAAUACAGGAGCAAUAUGGGCUAGUUGAUUAUGGUGGAGGAAUCAGAAGAUGACAUUGAACCUGAGUUCAGAAAGAUGCUUCAAAGGAUGCACCAGGAAGAGAAGAAGCUGAGAGAGGAGAAGUUCAAGGUGUUGAAGUCGGGAAUCAAGCUAGAGUAAGGACAAUCCUCUAAGGGUGAUGGUAACAAGAGGAAGAGAAGAAGGUGAGUGCCUCGUCUUGUCUUGUAGUCACGGACAAGGUCAGUGUGUUGUUGUGUCUUGUAGUGUCACGAAUUCUAUGUGUCUUGUACUCUUGUGUUUUGUACUCUUGCAUCAUGUGACUUCUCUUGCAUCAUGUGUAUUGCAUCAUGUGUACUCUUGUGUUUUGUAAUCAUGCAUCAUGUGACUUGUUCUCUGUAAACCAAACGAAUCAACAACUCAUCUUUCUCUCUAUAUCAUUCACUUUCUGUCUAAACCAAACAAAAGCAACAACUCAUCUUUCUCUCUGUAUCACUCUCUAUAACGAAUCUGUCUAAACCAAACCAAAGCAACAACUCAUAUUUCUCUCUAUAUCAUUCUCUAUAGCUUUUUGUUUAAACCAUACCAAAGCAAGAACUCAUCUUUCUCUCGAUAUCAUUCUCUUUAUACCAACUCAUUGAAAUCUCUUCUCUCUCUAUUUAUAAUAAAAUCUUCUUCUGUCUAUAUUCUCAAACUCAUCUUUAUUUAUAAUAAAUUCUUCUUCUCUCUAUUUUCUCUAUUUGAUCACUAGUUUAUAAAACUCUUUAAUCACCAUAUAUGGCUUCUUCUCAAAACAAUUUAGAUGAAGCUUUUGAUGAUGCAUUUGAUGAGCUCUUAGAUCAAGAUUUUGAGAAAGCCUUUGACAAUUUUACCAGUCAAAGUGAUCAAGAAGAACGAAGAAAAAAAGAAAAAAACGAGCUUAUAUCGAAAGACAUCGUGAAGAAGGGCAUUUUCGUUUAUGAAAUGAUUAUUUCAGUGAAACUCCAACGUAUCCUGAAAAUUUCUUCCGACGACGUUUUAGAAUGAACAAGCGACUGUUCAUGCACAUUGUUGAUCGACUCUCCAACGAAGUUCAAUACUUUCGGGAAAAGAAAGAUGGUCUCGGAAGGAAUAGUCUCUCUCCGCUUCAAAAUUGUACCGCAGCCAUUCGUGUCUUGGUGUAUGGUUCUACAGCUGAUAUGGUCGACGAAUACCUUCGGCUCGGUGAAACAACAGCUCGGUUAUGUGUGGAACAUUUUGUGGAAGGUAUAAUAUAUUUGUUCGGCGAUGAGUACUUAAGAAGACCAACACGGUCUGAUCUUCAACGUCUACUUGAUGUUGGAGAGCGUCGUGGGUUUCCCGGGAUGAUAGGAAUCCUCGAUUGUAUGCAUUGGGAGUGAAAGAAUUGUCCCACCGCUUGGAAAGGGCAAUAUUCUCGUGGUUCGGGUAAACCAACAAUCGCUUUAGAGGCAGUCACUUCAUACGAUCUCUGGAUAUGGCAUGCGUUUUUUGGACCUCCAGGUACAUUAAAUGAUAUCAAUGUUCUUGAUCGUUCACCCGUUUUUGAUGACAUAAUAAAUGGUCAAGCUCCGAAUGUCACUUACUUUGUUAAUGAAUGCGAGUAGGAUAUGGCUUACUAUCUCACCGAUGGUAUUUAUCCGAAAUGGACAACUUUUAUCCAAUCUAUUUCUAUGCCACAAGGGCCUCAAGCAGUUUUAUUUGCUUAACGUCAAGAAGCUGUCCGAAAAAUGUCGAGCGUGCUUUUGAAGUCUUUCAAGCUCGCUUUGCCAUUGUUAAAAAUCCAGCGAUGUAUUGGGAUAAGGUCAAAAUUGGAAAGAUUAUGAGCGCAGGUAUCAUACUCCAUAAUAAGAUAGUAGAAGACGAACAAGAUGGGUACAGUCUUGUUGAUGUUUCAGAGUUCCAACAAGGACAAGACCACAAAAAUUCACAUGUUGAUUUCACGUAUUCUACAGAUAUCCCUUCACACAUCACAAAUAUGGUGGACGCUCGUACAAGAAUUCAAAAUAGACAAAUGCAUCAACAACUAAAAUAUGAUUUGGUUGAACAUAUAUGGUGUAGAUUUGAACAUGAUGACAGACAACAACUGAUCUCGGAUGCUUCUUUCAAAUAAUUCUCGUUUAUUUUAAUAAUCUUUGUUUUCAUGUUUUUAUUUAUAAAUCUAUGUUUAAAGUGUAAUCUUUUAUUAUGUUUUAUUUAAUAAAAAAUAAAAAAUAAAAAAAUGAAUAAUAUUAAUUUAUUUUUAAAAACCCCAAAAUAAGAGACUUGCAAUGGAGACAUAAAAAUCUCAAAGUUCUUAUCUUAAUCUCUUAAACACCUUUACUCCUUAAAUAUUAUUAAAAAACAAUUAAGAGUCCCCUAAUGGGGUUUUAGGAUAAAGAUGCUCUAAACACUUCAUGUGGGCAUGUUUUGUUGCUUGGAAGUUAUGUUUUCGUCCGUUUCUUCUAAGUUUUUCUCACGUAGCAUGUUUCUUGUGUUAAUGGAGAGAGGCGAUACUUUCGACAGAAGUCUUGUGGUUCUAGAAAUGAUGUCCAAGGUUAGUAUACAAAAGAGUUAAAACCUUAAUUUUAUAAAUGGUAUCAACAUAUCCAAAAAGAAAAAUAUAUAAGGUAUACAUAUAUGCUAGGGACUAAAACUAUUAAUUACAUAUACAACCUAUUUAACUUUGGCCACACUUUACUGAUCUUCAAACAAAAGGUGCAAAUGAUUGGCACUCAAAAGAAACUUUAUGAAAUAUUCUUAUUGUGGAUGAUCUAGUGACUCGAAUAGCAUUGACGUUAUUUAAAUGUACAAAUAGUCAUGUUUUUCUCCACAGUUCAGAGAGCCAAAAGUCGUAUGUGCCUAUUUUAUUGAUGUUCUAUUCCAUCAGAUGGGUUUGAUUCAUGCGGUUAUAAAUUUGAUUUUGAGAAAGAGAUGUAAGAUUUUACCGGUAAAUUGAGUGCUUCAUCCUUGUUUCAUAUUCUAGAUGAAUCGACACGUACAUCACUGAACGUAAAUUUUUAGCUAGUAUGUUGACGAUUCUCUUAUAUUUAUGAUUUUUUAGAGUCCAUUAAUCACUUUUGAGCUUCAUGUGAUCUUUACAGUCCAAGACACUAGUCAGUAAUUGGGCCUCGGCCUGGCGAAUGCCUCAAUUAUCAAAAACAAAAAAGCAAAAGCAUGCAUGGUUUCAGCUCCUUUAUAAUAAAUCAUUCAAGCUGUCUCCGGUAUUAAUUAAUGAACUAGAUUUUGACCCGCGCUUAAGAAGUGCAGAUAUUUUUUUGGUGACCGUAAACUCAAAUAUUAAAUGAAUUUAUGUUUAUUAUUAGAUACCUAAAAUAUUUAAAGCUGUUUUAUUAUUAUUAUUUCAGUCGGGUACAAUGUUUUCAUUGAGUUUUCAUAUCCGAAUCAGACUUGUGGUCGAACCGUAAGAUCUAGUAACUCAUAUAUAGUAGAAUAAAAUAUAAUAAAAUGAGUAUAGUAAAAGUAUCUGAAAAUCAAAAAGACCGUUAUUAACCCACUGAAAAAAAUAUAAUUUGUUUUUUGUUUUAUAAAUUUUUGAUCUAUUAAUAUAUAUUUGACUUGUAUAAGAAAUUUCUUUUAACAAAUAUUGUUAAGUUUAUUUAUAAAUAUAUUAGUUAUCAAUCUACCAAAAUAGUGAAGCAAGUAUUAUUAUUUUUUCCUUUUUUAAUUUUCUAUCAAACUAUUAUCAAUUUUGUUUUAAAAAAAAAUCAGUUUGUGACAGAUAUUUUAUUAUUAGAAAUCCAUACAAUUUAAAUAAUGUUACAUUUAUAUGUAUUUAUGUAUAAAAUGGUAUUCAUAAUUUGGGAUUUUGUAAAAAAAGGUCUAAAGUUAAUUUGGUUAAAAAAAAUUUUCUGUAACAAAAGUUAAUUGGAUUUAUAAUUUUCUUUUUUGAAUGGGUUGUAUCAGUGAAAUUAUCUUUUUAAGUUAAAUGCCCAAAACCCAAUUAAUAAUAUUUAUUUUGCUGAUAACAAAGUGAGAUUAAAUAGGAUAACAUCAGGGGAGAAGCCAGACCUGUUUUCUCCUGGGUGCAUACAAUUAAUAUAAGUUAAAAUAAUUUAUAAUAUAGUGGGGCAUCGAACUCUGGAUCAUUGAAAAAUGUGGGUGCACCUUAACCAAAUAAGCUAUUUCAACCAUUACGUACAAUGUAAAAACAUAUUAAAUAAAGAUAAUAGGGAGUGCACGUGCACUCAGACUCUUCCACCUAGCUUCGCCCCUGGAUAACAUAUAAUAUAUAAGGAAGCCCAAAAAAUAAAAAAAUGAAAGGUCCAAACAACCUAUAUAAGUAGAUUUAUCAAGAAUGUUUCCCUUUUAAUAGAAUAGAUAUUUAUUGUUGCAACCUUGUACGUUGUCUCUUUCGUAUUAGUUAAUGUACGCAUAGCCUCCCUAAUAUCACUUAUAUAACACACCUCUUGGGUCUUGAAUGGAAUCCAUGUAUAUAAAAUAAGACAAGAGAUCAACUAUAUAUUACUCUAUCUACUAUAUCAACGUGCAUGGCGUUAAAUGCAGAUAACCCACGGAUUUCAUGGUUUGAGAAGGUUUAUUAUAUAUAUCUAUAGAUUAACCAAUAAAAAAUAUAUUAGAAAAGCUUAUUAAAUACAGAAGAUAAAAAUAUAAUAAAAAAUUAACAAAAAAAGUGAAGUUCAAUAUACCGGAUCUGUUUUUGCAUGUUCACCCUUCAAUAUACCGGAUUACAAUUCGUUUUCUGCAUGUUAAAAGCAAAACUAUGCUUUUAACCCCUCUCAAACCCCGAGUGGGUACUUCAACGUCGGUAGACUUCAUUAUGUUCUUUCGAACAACACGGUUUUAGGAUUUAAAGUGAAGCUUCUCUACAGUUUUUUUUCUCUCUCUGUUACUACAUUUAUUUUUUGUUAUGUUUUAAUUAUCUUCGUAUACCGCUUAACUGUCAAGUGUACCUCCGUUUGUAAUCAUCUAAGCUCUUAUAUAAGUAUUUGGUGUUAUAAAAAAAAAAUAAUAAAGCAAAAGUAUGCAUGGUUUCGGAACCUUUUUAAUACAAUCAUUCAAGUUGUCAUUCUCACUCCAUAAUUUACUCCAAAAGAUUAUAAAAAAAAAAAAUCAUUCAAGUUGUCUUUUUUUUUUCAUUCAAGUUGUCUUGUAUAUUAAUUAAGGAACUUUAUUGUUGCAUCCUUGUACGUUUUCUCUUUCGUUUUAGUUAAUAUAACGCAUAUGGUCUCUGAAGAUGUCUGGAAUCCAUGGAUGAUGGAUACAUAAUAUCGUGAAAAAAACAAGAGAUAAACUACAUAUUAAUCUAUGUACUAUUAUCUAUAUCAACGUGCUUGGCGUUAGAAGCAGAUAAGCCAAGUUGUUUUUCUUAAACCAAUUUAUAUUAUUAAAUGCAAUUGUCACUUAUAAAUUUACAAUAUGCAUAACUUUGAAAUAUGAGAGACAAAACAGACAUUAAAACACUGAAGAUACAUAUAAGAAGCAGAAAAGGAAAAUGGCAAAGGAGGAGGAGGAGCCGCUCAGCCCGAUGGCACGUAUUUUUCAAUCAUCCGGAGCAGACUACUGCACCGUGAUCAUUGUUGGGUUCAAAACUAAGAUUAAUCCUGAUGUAAUUCUUGACGAUUUAAAGCAAAACGUUUCCAAACAUCCUCGUAUCUCCAGCAAACUGGUAACCCUUGAUAUGUUCUGUUUUGCCAUGGUUGAUGCCUUUCCUCUGCUUUUUUUUUCCGAUAUCACAUAUAAAUUCACAUAGAAGAACUAAGGCCCGUGUUUUAUAAGAUAUGGAAACAAUAUCAAGAUGGUUGCUUCAAUCACGAUAUGCAAUCCCCCCUCCCAAUCAGAGCCGUGCGAGCACUAACAGCUUCCUAAGCGAUACUAUUUUUUUUUAUGAAUCUACAAUAAUAAAGCUAUUGUAGUUUAGUGUAACAGAACCAAGAACAAUCAUUUACCCAUUUUUAAGGGGACAAACAAUUGUUUCCAUAUUUUGUUUGGUUUCUUAAAGAAACCAUGCAUGUUUUCAUUCUAAUAUAUGUUUUUAGCAGUUUAGCAAAAAAAAUAUAUAUGUUUUUAGCUUUUUUGACUAUCCAUAAAACUACUAACGAUGCUAUGUUUAUAAAGUUGUUUUUUAUAAGAUCUAAUUAAGAGAAUAAAUCAUAAGAAAUGCUUUAAAACUUUUUAAAAAUAGAUGCAAGUUACAAAAAGAAAAAAAUUAGAUGCCCUAGGCCAAUCUUUAUUUUUUCCUCAUGUAAGCACGGCUCUGCCCCCAACGAAUCUCUCUAUAUAGCCUUUCCUUUAGCGCAUAUUCUCUCUAUUGUAUAAGAGCAUCUCCUAAAAAAUUCUAUAAAUUCAAAUAUAAAGUUUUUUGUAAUUCAAAAAGAAACUUUAAAAUUUCAAAUUUAGAGUUUUGAUAAGUGAAACUUCAUAUUUGAAGUUUCCCCACUCAAAACUUCAAAUUGAAAGUUUCAUCUUUUUAUUUGUAUUUUGCUCUUUAUAAUUAAUUAGAUUUCACAUUUAUGGUUCUUACGUAUUUUCUUAUUUAUCGUUUUAAUCCUUCAAUUUUUUUAUAUAUCAUAAAUAUUUCAAAUUUGUUCUUAUAUAUCCAAAUUUUACACAUAAAAUUAAAUAAAAUUUUCAAAAUAAGAUUUCGAAUAUCUUAAACAAGAAAUAGACAACACUAAUAUUACAAAAGAAACUUAAUAAAAAACUUCUUUAAAAGAAACAUAAAUACAUAAUUAUUACAAAAUUUAAAUAUUACAACAACACUAAUAGUUUGGCAAAUUUACUUUAGAACCUCCAAAAUCUCUUAAAUAAUGUCCACAAAAUUUUUGUGUAACCGAAUAUAUGGAAUAAUGUGAUAUUUUGGUUGUAGCUAAAUAUUUAAUUAUGUAUUUUUAUUUAAAAUAUUAUUUUAGUGUAAUAUUUUAUUAAUUAAUAUUACUGUAAUAUUUUAAUAUAUGUGCUAGUUAUUUAUAAUUUUUUUAAUGAAUUUAUAUUAGUUAUGAUAAAUGAAAAACUAUAGUGUAAAAUACAAAAAAAAUAAAAUUAAAUUUGAAGUUUUGCUUUUAGGAAAAAUGAAACUUCAAAUAUAAAAUUUUUCAAACUCUAAAAUAUAGAGUCAUCAUGGAGAUGCUCUAAUUACAAUAUUUACUGACUAAUGUUGACGUUGCAUUUACUUAUAAUUAGGAGGUUAAUGUUGCUGCAAGUGCAAUGAUAAUUAAUAUAUGAAAUUUUAAAAGUGAAAACCUAAUAUAUAUUUUAAUACUACACUGUUUUUGUAGAUUUUAGCUUUAUCAGUAGAAAAAACCCAUAACUUUAAGGGGCCCUAAAUUUAAACACUUAAUUAUCUAUAUUUGCCACCCAUUAAUAAAUUCAAGUACAAUUCAAACAUUUAAUUAUCUAUGACAUUUUGGCAAUUAAUAGGUAUUGUUUUGUUUUCUUGUAAAAAUGCACUUACAAUUAAUUGUGGUAGAAUAUAAAAAUAUCUACAUAAUUGUUUCCAUUCCUAUGUUGAUAAGAAUUUUUCAGUAUUUAUAAUUAUUUUACUAGUUUAAAAUUAUCAUAUGGUGAUACAUAUAUGUUAUUUUAUAUUUAACGAAUUUCACAAAAAAAAAUCAAAUUUCAUAAAUUAAAUUGUGCAUGUCUUAAUAAAAACAGGUCAUGUAAAAUUAAUUUUUUAUUAAGUCAUUUCAUUGAUUUUAUCAAAAAUAGAUGUGAUGAUGACACAAACAAUUUUGAAAAAAAUAAUUUCUUAAAUAAUAUUUUAGAGAUAUUUCUGUCUAUAUACUUAUUUAUAAUUAUCAAGUAAUGUAUGAUAAAAAUUGUGGUUUCUAUGCUGAAUUAAUAAAGUACAAGAUUUUUGAUCGGCACUUCGAAAGCGUGGAUUUAUGUUUGGUAUUAAAAGAAUUAUUUUAUAUGAAUUUCUAUAUAAAAUAUUGUAUAGUUAUAGGCAUAUUUAUCCGGAACUGAAGAAACGAAAAACCAAAACUAAAACCAAACGGAAGGAUGUCAAAAAAAAAAAAUACCGAAGUUCAUAAAUAACGUAAUGGAUCAUUUAUCUCUGGAACUAAAAAAACAAAAGCUUAACUACUAUUAGAUCUCAGCAUUCAUGGAUACUUUUUAAAACUUCGGAAAACAAUAUUUAGGUACUUCGGUUUUUCGAGUAAUUCAGUUUAUAAAUUAUAUUCUUAGUAUAUAUUUUUAAAUGGUGCCAAGAAAGCAUGUUAUUUGUACAAAUUAUUUAACUACUUUUAGUGGGAUACAAUAUGUAUUUUAUAGGCGAAUUUAAACCUAUUUUUUUAUAUUCAAGCCAAUUAUGCAGUCAAACGGGUAAACGCAGUGAUCCGCAUAUAAACCGUUUGGAUUUAGUGAAAACCUGUUGAUUAAAAAUCUUAUAAAUUUAUAAAAUCUGCCAUUAACCAAUGAUAUGACAUUGGUCGACCUGUGAUAUGACUCGACCGGAUAAAAACCAUUAGAUUUUUCUUAAAAAAAUUGAUUAAACCUCUCAUUUACUUUUUAAUACUACAUAAGAUUGAAUAAAGUAUUUUAUAAUAGUUUUAUAUUAUAACAAUCACGAUAGCUACGAUUUUUUUAUAUGGUCCAUAAUGGUUAUAUAUAGUUGUAAGUGUAUAUUUCAUGUCGAAGUGAUCAAAUAAUUUUUAAGUUUGUAUAAUAUGAUCUAUACGAAAUGUAAUGAGAUUAUAUUAUAUUAUAACGCAGGAUAUAAACGGUGAUUUUUUUUAUUGUUUAAUUAAGGCCCAACAUGUUAACAUUGUAAUAAUGGAAUUGAAUUUUUUUUUUUGACGUCGAAAGGCCAUUCUAGUGGAAUUGAUUUAAACGGUCAAUAACACAAUAAUGAAUUUAUUAAAAUGUUAUAUGAUAUCAUUUGGUUGCUAUAAUAGAGGUUAGUUAUAAAAUUUGAUUGUAUUUAAUAGGUAUGACUAAAAAUGAAUAGUUGCAACAAUCUUGCAUAAGUAGAUUUUUUAAGAAUCCAUCUCUUUUAAUAGUAUAGAUGUUGGGAUCAAAAUCGGUAAUGACGAAAUCAAUGCCGAAAUGUUAUCGAGAAACCUUCCUAAAACAAAAUAAUAAUAAGGAAAAUAAAACUUCGUAUUCUUAAGACUAUUACCCGACAAGGGACCAUUCAAACCAUCGAACGAACAAUUCCCGAUCAUCGGAACAACCAAACCAGCAUCGUCCAACCCAUCAGAGAAGUUGGAUUAGCCAAGGCCAACUCGCCCAACGGCGAGCUGGAUCAGUCUUGUCCAGACUUGCCUUUGCCAAGUUGGAUCAGUCCAGAACCAUGUAUUCUCGUCUCCAGAACUCCCCCCUUCAGGCCUUGGUCAAACUGUCUCUUGUUUCGUCUCAAUCGGAGUUACCGUUGAAAAUUUACAGAAAAUCGACAAAAGCUUAUUUUCGCGUAAAUGUUUCGAUCAAUCGUAUAAAGACAAUAACGGUUAACUUAACACCAUGGUUAUCUUGAAUAUAUGAUUUAUUUGGAUUAUCUCGCAAAACCAGCAUCGUACUGGAAGUUACUCUUUUGAAAAGAAAUAGUAAAAACUUUUUCAUUGAAAAACGGCCCAAAGGGUUUAAAACGCGACAAAAGUCCACUUACAAUUUUUAAUGAGAAACGGCCCGAAGUUACUAUGACGAUUUAUUGAAUAAUCGUGAGAAGAGAUAAAUAUCAAAUUUGAAGAUAAAUAUCAAGUUUGGAGAUAAAUGUCAAUUUCGGAAGUAAAUGUUAAAGUUUCAAAGAAUAAUCAUGAAGAUCGAAAAAAUGGAAUAUUUUCGCCAAAGGAUGAACUCGACCCAAAAGCGAAAAAGGAAGGCUCAAACCAGCCUAGGAGGAGUAUAUAAGGGAUUUCGAAGGCGAGUAGCGCAAAAAGAGAAUUUGGACUCAGAAAACUUAGCACUUAGAGCAAUUUAGGCAAAUUUUCUGUUUUAGUUAUCGAGCUGCGACUCAAUUAAGUUUUCAAGUCUUACGAAGCUUCGCGGAAGAAGACUUGAUUUUAAGACUCCGCUUAACAGACUGGGGAGCACGCAUGAUAACCCUAAAGGAGAACGCCCUGGCGAUAUAACCUCUGCUGUGACUCGGAAAACCUUCCACCCCCCGUGCGGGAAUUGGAGGAGUACAACGUCGAACGAGUUAACUUGGAGCCCAGCGAUCAGUUCGAUCAUUCAAACGAGGAUGCGGACGUGCAUCCAAGGAGGACCAGGAGCCACAAAAAUCGGCUAGAUUCUUCGUUCGAGAAACCCAUGACAGAAGAAGAGGAAAACACCUUCUGGGCCAAACAAGAAAAACUCGCUGAGGAACAGGCUCAAAUCACUCACAACAAACGCCAACAAACUCGGAAAGCCGCUGACGGUGAUCUCGAUGAAAUCUGCGAUCUCCGGGAUUACAUCACCUGAGAUUGACAGGCUCCUCGAGGAAUCUCGAAAGACUCGCUUCACCGCUAGCAUUACCGAGACAAAGGUUUCAGACCCUGGAAACCUUUCAGAUCGCCAUGGGGAAGGCCAUGCUAAAGGGAAACGAAAGAGACGCCGGCCAUUGCCGCCUCUUCGUCGACAAUAUCCAGGGAGCAGCGCUCGAGUGGUUGUCCCGCCUUGGGCGAAAUUCCAUCGAAAGUUUCCAUCAACUCACUUCGGAAUUUCUCAAACAAUACUCUAUAUUCAUAGAUAGAGAAACUUCUGACGAUGAUCUCUGGAGCCUUACCCAGAAGGAGGAGGAAUAUCUCCGCAACUUCUUGAACAUGUUCAAGCUCGUCAUGGCAAUAGUUAGUGGAAUAAGCGAUAAGGUGGCAAUAAACACACUCAUGAAGACGCUCUGGUACAAGUCGAAGUUCCGAAAGUGGAUAACUCUCGGCAAGCCGUGGACAAUCCAAGACGCCCUCCAUAAGGCAACAUAUUACAUCACCAUCGAAGAAGAGAUGAAAGUUCUGUUGCAAAAACAUAAGUCGACAAAAACAUCCUCGAAAGAUGCGGCAUCAGAUCAGAAAUCAAAGAAGAGGAAUUCUCGUUACGACAAGUGCGUCCGUCACGAGGGUGAAGAACUCUAGGGGGCACAUAACUAUGCUAUUAACUCCGAACAAGGAAGGACGUCGGGAAAUACGUGGACUAAAAAUUCGGGAUACAAUGACUUCGUCUUUCACGAGUUUCACCAGACACGAGGACACUCAACCGUAAACUGCAAAAUACUCGGCGCGAGGUUAGCCGUGAAAUUACUCGCAGGAGAAAUAUCUGAAGUCACUGGUAUUAAGGAUCUCAUCUGUGAUUCCGAUUGCCCACCGAAAACUGAUAGAACCCUAGAGAAUCCUUCUUAAAGGAAUCAAUCAGGCGAAAAACACAGAAGAAGGCAUGACGACAAAGGAAACGACAAUAAUCGUCGCAGAGUGAACAUGAUCAUCGGCGGAUCACAAUACUGCCAUGACACUGUCUCGUCCAUCAAGGUCUACCAGCGGAAAGCUGAAACAAGCAUGAACUAGACGACCGCGUCUCCGCCUUGCGACGUACCAAACGGCGUGAUCACCUUUGAGGAGAAAGAGACUGGUGGAAUUGACCAGCCCCAUUGCAACCCGCUCGUUAUUGAUGUCGUAAUCAGAGAUCUCGCGGUCGCAAGGAUCCUAGUCGACACAGGAAGCAUGGUCAAUGUUAUCUUCUGCGACACUCUCAAUAGGAUGAAUAUUGAACAGGGUGAAGUCGUACCAACGCCGAAACCGCUGACCGGGUUCUCGGGUAUAACGUCAAUGACGCUCGGCUCGAUUAAGCUCCCGGUGAUGGCGAAAGAAGUCACGAAAAUCACCGACUUCGCGGUGGUAGACCACCCUGCCAUCUACAACGUGAUCAUGGGAACGCCUUGGACAAACUCCACGAAGACAGUUCCAUCAACAUAUCACCUAGGCAUCAAAUUCCUGACUCCCAACGGAAUCGCUGCAAUCUGGGGAUGCGAAAGAACAGUCGCGACUUUGCUUCCUAGACGAACACAAACUUCGACAAGCCACGACGACCUCUAUGUUCAAACCGAAAUGAACGAAGACAGCUCAGAAAACAUCUGAAAAAGCUUCGAAGAAGGAUGAUCCAAAAUGAUUCACUCAGGCAACGGCCACGGAAAACAAGAAAGUUCCCGAGCCCAUUGCUUCAGACAUCCCAGAAAAAUCAAAUCCGGAAGAAAUCGCCAAUCUAGUAACAGUCACCGCGACUAAUAUGUCUGACGCAAUCUCGCCAAACGAGUAAGAAACACUCACGACACAAACUAAACUACGAGAUGACUUGAUCCUCGAAAGGAGUACGUAGGCAAUUCGUCACAAGACGAGUUUAGCUAUCCCCCUCUCUAAAAAACGGGGAGGGAGUGGGUACGUAUAUGUAUACUCGUAUACUCCCACAUUUUAAAAUAUCCAUCCAUGUACUCGAUAUUUUUAAUUUUUUUACGAUAAUAAGAAAAACUCAAUAUGAUUUCCUAUAAAAUCUCGCAACUCACUUUAUCGUAUCUUGCAAUUCGCUUUUGGCCACGAUGGCAGUCGGCGAUUCGCUUAAAAACGCUCAAAUACAAAGCAAAAUAGUAUCUCGUAAAACCGGCAUCGUACUGGAGGUUACUCUUCCGAAAAAAUUGUAAAAACGUUUUCGUCGAAAAACAGCCCAAAGGAUCUAAAACGCGGUAAAAACCCACUUACGAUUUUUAACGAGAAAUUGGCCUGAAGUUGCUAUGAUGGUUUAUCGAAUAUUCGGGAAAAAGAUAAAUGUCAAGUUUGAAGAUAAAUGUCAAGUUUGGAGAUAAAUGUCAAUUUCGGAGGUAAAUGUUGAAGUUUCAAAGAAUAAUCAUGAAAAUCGUAAAUAUGGAAAUUUUCCGCCAAAGGAUGAACUUGACCCAUAAGCGAAAAAGGAAAGCCCAAACCGACCUAGGAUGAGUAUAUAAAGGAUGUGAAGGCAAGAGGCGCAAAAAGAGAAUUUGGACACACAGAAAACUUAAGACUUAGAGUGAUUUGGGCAAUUUUUCGUUUUUGUUAUUGAGCUGCAACUCAAAUAGGUUUUCAAGUAUUAGGUUGUUAAAACUAGGAUUUCGCCGACAGCUCUUACGGCCAAGGCUUUACCUGUUCUAAACGCUUAUACGCAAAUUCGGAAUACGAUCAUCUUUGCUCUAUUUUUGUUUCUAUCAAUUUAAUACAUUGUCCAUUUUUCGUGUUCUGAUUGCUUGGCAUAUGGUUUAGCAUAUACCCGGGACCUUGGGAAAAUUUAGGGUUCCUAUCUUUUCUAAUCUGACGAAAAUCAACAGUGCAAAUUUGGGUUCCCACAAUAGAUAUCUUAUAUAAAUAUAUACUAUUAAAAAUGAAGGAUUAUUAAAAAAUAUACGUAUGAAAGGUUGCUGCACCUAGUCAUUAUAUUUUAGUCUUACCGUUAUUUUCUAUAACAAUCAAUUCAAAACAAUAAACACAUAAUAUACUUUUUGGAAAUAUCGUUGGUUUGUUUUCGUUAUUAUAUUUUACGACAUUAUGAUUUAUUUAUUCAUCUAAAAUUAUUAAAUGUAUUUUCUGGUGUAGUAAUAUCAGUGAAAUAUAUGUAUCUCAUUAUAACACGCAAAUGUGAAAUAUUCAAAGCAUAUUAUUCAAUUUAUGUUCCUUAUAUAUGUAACAUAAUUUAUUGGCCGUUUGAUCAUAUAUUCAUAUUUUAUUUUUAAUCACUUUUCGAUCAUGUUAUUAAACUGUAAAAUAUUAGAAUUUACAGUUUAUACAAUUAUAAAAUUAUUGGCUUUCUUAUGUGUACUUAUACUAAAUUUUAUGCAAUUAUAAUUUUUUAGGUUUUUUCAUAUUUUUAAUAAAUCAUUUUUUUUAAAUCCGAAUUUUGUAAGAACAUAUUAGUUGGUAAAACCUCUGAUAGAAUGCUACAUGAAGAACAUAUGCCACUCCAGAUUAUAUAUGGCUAUCGGGUUUAUCAGUUCGACCACAUAUCAUGAUCGGAUAAAAACACUGCUUAUAUCUUAAUUCGUUUGUAAGCCACAUAUGUAUUCCUAGUAAAAGGAUUUAAACAAUUUGUAAAAAUAGAAUACUUUUCGUACUAUUUAAAUGUAGAUGGACUGUUAGUCUUUAGCAUUCUGUUUUGAUUUGAGUAUUUUGAGUUUUGGUGUUUUGGUUCUCUAAAUUUAGGACAAUUAUUUACAAAGUUUGGUUUGGUUUGAUUUUAGUUGGUUUGUUUUAUUUUAUUUUAUUUGGUUCAUUGGCAAAGUUGAGAAUCGCUUAAAUUGCAAAAAAUAAAUUGGGUCUAAUUAAAUUAUGGUUUGAUUCUGGUUUUCCAGAUAAUUUCAAAUUUAUAGGUAAAAAUAUUGGAUACUUUGGGAUUAUCAGUUCAAAUAACAUGUAAUUUUGGUUGUUCGGAUAAAAAUCUCAGAUAAUUCGAAUACUUUACAUAAUUUAAAAUUUUUUUUGGGUAAUUCGGUUUAUAUAUAAUACUUUUAAAAUAUUUGGUUAUUUAGAAAUUAAAUGUAAUUAAUAUUAGUAAGUAUAUACUUUGUAUUUUAAAAAUUCAUUUACCCUUUUGGUUCUCCGUUACUUAUGAAAUCCAAUUUAUUUUUAGUUUCAGAAUUUUCAGUUUGGUACAAUUUAGUUCGUAGUUCCGAAUAAAUGUGAUUAAAUCUAUACAAUAUAUUAUGUAGAAAUACAUUUAAAAUAUUUUUUGUAAUGUCAAAAACAAACCUUUCCUUUUCAAGCGCAGAUCAAAAUCUAGUGUGUUUUUAAAAUAUAAACAAGAGCAGUAUCCAAUGUUUGAAAUUAAACAAAAAUCUUCUCUCGAGUUGUACUGAAACUUUUAUUUUAGACUUAUUCUUGGGUUCACCCCCUAUGGUGAACCUCUAGGUUCACCAACCAAUAGGAUUAUGUUAUUUCAAAUUUGAUAUCUUUUAUAAAAGAAAACAAAAUAUUAUCAAGUUAUAUUAUGUUUUUAAAAUAAAAAGAUAAAAAUAUAAAAAUAGUAGUAAUUACAAAAAAAAUAUUUUUAAGUCGUCAGAAAAAAACUAAACCCUAAAUCCUAAUCCAUAAAUCCGAAACCCUAAACCCUUGGGUAAACCAUAAAUCUUUGGAUAAAUCAUAAACUCUAAAUCAAAAACAUUAAACACUAAAACACUCAAGGGUUUAGGAUUUUAGUGUUUAGUGUUUUUGAUUUAAAAUUUACAAUUUAUCCAAGGGUUUAGGGUUUACCCAAGGGUUUAGGGUUUACCUAAGGGUUUAGGGUUUCGGAUUUAGGGUUUAGGAAUUAGAAUUUAGGGUUUAGUGUUUUGCUGACGACGUUAACAAUAUUUUUUUAAAAAAAAUCUUUUUUUUGUAACUACUAUUUUUUUACCUUUUUAUUUUAAAAACAUAAAAUAACUUGACAAUAUUUUGUUUCUUUUUUUAAAAAAUAUCAAAUUUGAAAUAACAUAAUCCUAUUGGUUGGUGAACCUAGAGGUUCACCUUAGGGGGUGAACCCAAAAAUAACUCUUUAUUUUAUGAGUUAUUCUUGGGUUCACCCCCUAGGGUGAACCUAUAGGUUCACCAACCAAUAAGAUUUAGUUAUUUUAAAUCUGGUAUCUUUUAAAAAAGGAAACAAAAUAUUGUCAAAUUAUAUUACGUUUUUAAAAUUAAAAAAAAAUAUAAAUAAAUAAAAUAAUAGUAGUUGCAAAAAAGAACGUUUUCAAAAAAAAAAUUAAUACCAUAAACAAAACACUAUACUCUAAAUCUAAACCCUAAACCCUUCGGUAAACCCUAAACCCUUUGAUAAAUUUUAAAUUCUUGAAUUAAAAAAAAAUGUUUUUAACACAAUCAACAAAACACUAAACCGUAAAUCCUAAUCCUAAACCCUAAACCCUUGGGUAAACCCUAAACCCUUGGAUAAAUCCGAAAUUUUUGGAUCAAAUCUUAAACUUUAAGAUUUAUGAUUUAUUCAAGAGUUUAGGAUUUACCUAAAUGUUUAGGGUUUAGGGUUUAAUAUUUGUUGGCAACGUUAAAAAUACUUUUGAAAAACAAAUUCAUUUUUUGUGAUUAAAAAAUCUUUUUUCGUAAUUAAUAUAAUUUUUAUUUUAAAAAUAUAAUAUAAUUCGAUAAUAUUUUGUUUCCUUUUUUAAAAGAUACUGAAUCUAAAAUGACACAAUCUUAUUGGUUGGUGAACCUAGGGGGUGAAUCCAAGAAUAAGUCUUAUUUUAUGGGUAUGAUAUUAUAGUAUUUUUGAAAAACAUAAAAUCAUAUAUUCCCUCUCGAAUGUUGCGGUCAAUUUCGUUGGCAUUUUCCUUUUCAAAUAUAAACAAUACACGUUAACUAGUGCCCCUGCGUUUUAAACAUUUUGUCGCCUGAUAAUUCCUACAAUUUCACUUGGCUUCUGGUGAGCUAACGUCACAGGCUGAGGAUGGUGCAAGAUGGAUCAAAACCCAAGUCAAUGUAAAAGAUCAUGUAUUCGUACCAGACAUAGACCCUGAUGAAAUUGGUGACCAAGGAGACAAAUUCGUAGAGGACUACAUUUCACGACUUACAAUGCUUCCUCUUGAUAGAUCAAGACCCUUGUGGGAUAUCCACAUCCUCAACGUCAAAACAUCUGAUGCAGAAGCAAUCGGUGUCAUAAGAUCUCACCAUUCGUUGGGAGAUGGAAUGUCACGUAUGUCUCUCAUCUUGGCGUGUACUCAUAAAUCAUCAGACCCUGAAGCGCUUCCUACUAUUCCUAUCCUUAAACGACGUGAAAACGUGUCACACGGCCUUAGAAACACAGGCUGGUUCUUAAGCUCGAUGUUUGCCAUUUAUGCCACAGUGAGAUUGAUUUGGAAUACCAUUGUAGAUCUUCUGUUACUCUUGGCUACGGUGUUGUUUCUGAAGGAUACAGAGACGUCUCUAAAAGGUGGUGCAGAAGCCGAGAGCAAUGCGAAGAGAUUUUCUCAUCGAAUUGUUUCUUUAAAUGACGUAAGACUUAUAAAAGACAUCAUGGACAUGGUAAUUAAGUUUAAAUAGUUUCGGUUUGAAUACUUACUAUAAUUUCUUAACACUACAAGAAAACUCAAGCUUAACGAGGAAUAUUAACGAGGAAAAAAAAUCAUCGUAAGUUUCCGUCAACUUUACGAGGAUUUUACGUGAAUAACGGUAUCAUCGUUAUUUCCUCGUAAACUAACGACAAAAACCGUUCGUCGUAAAGUCGAUGUAAUGUGACGUGUCAUUUACGAGGAAAUAACGAUGAUAUCAUGUUUCACGUACGUUCCUCGUAAAGUGGACGUAAACUUCGCGUCUUAUUUACGAGGAAACUAUUUACUUGGAUUUAGCGAGGAAAUUUUAAAUCCACCAACUUUGUAAGUGACACACGUUUUUUUUUUUGCACCUAAUUAAUUUUGAAUCCACCAACUUUGUAAGUGACACACGGAGAUUAUUGAAGUCGAAUUUCCAGGGAUACUGAAGCUGAAAUGCGUCCUCUUCAAAUGUGAAUGGUUCGACCCCGUCGUCAACAGAGGUGUUCGGUCUAACAAAUUCGGUGUAGUUGAUGUCAACGGUGGACGACGGUACAACAAAUUCGAGCCUUUCAUCUUAGCUUCACAAGCAGACCAAGUUAGCUUCCUUCCAUACUCUCGGAUGAGAGAUUCGGGUAUAAAUUGGUUAGUAGUGAUCAAAGUAACACCUCGAGGACGAAUCAUCAGUGGAGAAGAACCACCAUUGCAAGAAGAACAGAUAAAUGAAGUCGAGGAACCUGAACAAGAAAUUGAUGACAUCCUUCUCAUUGAUCCGCAUAAUCACGAGUACGAAGAUCUUACCGAUGAUGCCACAGACGAAGCUGUUGAAGACGAGUUUAAUGAAAAUGAAGACAUUUCUAGUGAUGACGAGAAUGUCGAUGAAUCCGAUUGAUGUAUUUUCGAUUUUGUGUAGUUUGUUUUAUGAAUAAGGUAAUGUGAGAGUUUGUUUUAUGAAUAAGGUAAUGUGGGAGUUUGUUUUGUGAAUAAGAAAAUGUGGGAGUUUGUUUUAUGAAUAAGUAAAAGUGGGAAUUGUGGUUUGGAAUAUAUGAAUUAGAAGAUAAGGAAUUGUGGUUUGGAAUGAAAAUAAAGAUAUGGUUUGAAAUAUAUGAAGUAGAAGAUAAGGAAUAUGGGGUUUGGGGUUUCGGAUUUUAGGGAUUUAAACGGAAUACUCGUUAAUUCCUCGUAUGUUGACGUCGAACUUACGACGAAUUCCUCGUUUAUUCCACGUAGGAGAGAUUCGUCGUAAAUACCACGUAGGACAAAUUCGUCGUAAAUACCACGUAGGAAAGAUUCGUCGUAAAUACCACGUAAAAUAAAUGAUGAACGCGGCCCACUUUAAUUCCACGUAGGACGGAAUCGUCGUAAAAACCACGUAACCAAAAUCGUCGUAAACACCUCGUACUGUAAAAACUAGAAAAAAAAAGAAAAAGAAGAAAUAUACUCGAUUUUGUGUAGUUUGUUUUAUGAAUAAGGUAAUGUGAGAGUUUGUUUUAUGAAUAAGGUAAUGUGGGAGUUUGUUUUGUGAAUAAGAAAAUGUGGGAGUUUGUUUUAUGAAUAAGUAAAAGUGAGAAUUGUGGUUUGGAAUAUAUGAAUUAGAAGAUAGGGAAUUGUGGUUUGGAAUGAAAAUAAAGAUAGGGUUUGGAAUAUAUGAAGUAGAAGAUAAGGAAUAUGGGGUUUGGGGUUUCGGAUUUUAGGGAUUUAAACGGAAUACUCGUUAAUUCCUCGUAUGUUGACGUCGAACUUACGACGAAUUCCUCGUUUAUUCCACGUAGGAGAGAUUCGUCGUAAAUACCACGUAGGACAAAUUCGUCGUAAAUACCACGUAGGACAAAUUCCUCGUUUAUUCCACGUAGGAGAGAUUCGUCGUAAAUACCACGUAGGACAAAUUCGUCGUAAAUACCACGUAACCAAAAUCGUCGUAAACACCUCGUACUGUAAAAACUAGAAAAAAAAAAGAAAAAGAAGAAAUAUACUGGAUUUACAUGUGGCAAGACUUCCAGCAAUUAUAUUACUUAAGUCUCACCAACAUAAAUUCCAAUAUCAUCUUCUCUUCCUUUUUUCUCAAAUUUUUAUAAUUUGAAUAGGAUUGGAUUUGAGAGUAUGAUGUGAGAUAGGGUGUGAUUUGGGAGUUUGGGUGUGGGUUGAGAAGGAGAGUUACGGGUAUAUUUAUAGGGAAGCUUUCCUCGGUAAUUCCACGUAAGCAAAAUAGUCGUAACGUCCUCGUACCUAAAAAACACGGGCCUUUGUAAUUCCUCGUAACUUCCUCGUAUAAUAAAACGCGGGCCUUUGUAAUCUCUCGCUGUUUCGUCGUAAAAAAAAACACGGGCCUCUGUAAUUCGUCGUAAAAUUACGAGGAAUUUGCGACGGAAUGUAAUCUUAUAUAUACACCCCGAGCGCUCACUCUUUCUUUCCUCUCUACUUCCUCUCCACUUCCUCCCUGUUUCGUUGCAAUGGUAAGCCUCUCUAAUUCCUCUCUAAUUUGGUUAGUUUAGGUAGAUUAGGUGGUUAGUAUAGGGAAUUUAGAUAAGUUUACGGAUCUUAUGUUAUUUAGUGUUGAUUAGGUGGAUAAUGUUGGAAAAUAUAUGUUGACGAAAAUUUAAAAAAUUAAAUUUUUUUCUCAGGUUCGAAAAGGUAGACUUACUGCCCAUUACAGAGAGAUGUUCGGUGAGCCGGGUAAUCGUUUAGACCCGUCGUCUUCAUCAGCUCCCGGUUCUUCGGGACAAGAGACUGUCCCCGAGACUCAGUACACUCAGAGAGUCUUUGGGUCUCCUUCUUCUAGAGGACCAUCGGUUCCUCCUCCCCCGAUGACCAUGCGACAACGAAAUCCUAUUCCAGGCGAGUCAACAUCCGACACACAUACCGAGGCGGAUGUAACGGCGAGGAGUGAUGAAUUCUAUCGGGCGAUUCACGACCCUUAGUUCUUUUUAAUUUCGGUUCUUGUAUUAUGAAUUCAAAACUUAUUUAUAUAUAAAAUAUUUUGGUUUUGAUUUUUUUAGAAUUUUAAUUUUAUUAAUAAUUUAAAUUAUUUAAAUUAUUUUUUUAAUUAUAAUUUUUUAUAUUUCUGUAAAAUAACGAAACGAAGUAAAUUCGUAGUUAAUUUUGCGACUUCUUUACGUGGAAGCUUAACGAGGUUUUUACGAGGAAUUGUUUACAAGGAAAUGACGUGGAAAGUUCACGUGGUCUUUACGAGGAAAGCUAUCAAGAUAUUUACGUUUACUUUACGAGUAUUUACUUUCGAGUUAUUUACGUGGGUUUUACGAGGAACGUCUUUCGUGGUAUUUACGAGGAAAUUUAGCGACGUCCUUACGUGGAAGCUUUACGUGGUCUUUACGACGAAAUAUUCCUCUUUGCUUUUACGACGAAAUUAUUUCCUCGCUAUGUUACGACGAAUUAGCGAGGAUAUAUGCGUUACGACAAACGUAUAACGACGAAACGGGUUUCUUCGCUAAUUCCUCGUAACACUGCUUUUACGACGAAGUCACGAGGAAAACUGCCCUCGUAAAACUUGUGUUUUCUUGUAGUGUAAAGACAACACUUUCUCAAACAAAAUUAAGUGUUUUUCUUGUUUCCUGAUCUUGUGACCAUUUCUAGACUAUCAACGAUGUUUUACUUGGAGUUACACAAGCUGCUCUCUCGCGCUAUCUAAACGGAGCACAUGGUAAAUAUCGACUUGCAAUAAAAACAUAUUACAUGUGAUUUAUAUGUCUUAAUGUUUAUUUUGGAUUUACGUGUUGCUUCUUGACCUAAUAAAAGACAAGACGAAUGAGAAUGGUGGAACAUCAAGACCGCUUCUAAAUAAUAUUCCAUGUAAUAUACGAGUUCGUGCAGGAGUUUUGGUAAACCUAAGGUCGGAAAUUGGAGUCCAGGUUAGAAACAUGCACCUUUGAAUACACUGUAUACACCAUUGUUCAAAGAUAUAGAAAAAAAUACAUGUAUUGUGACACGAGGCAAUUAUGAUUGAAGCCAUUGGCAGAUAUGAUGGCAAAAGAUUCGAAAUGCAGAUGGGGAAACCUUAUCAACAUAGUUGUUUUACCACUGUCGAUUGGUCCAGAAACCGAUCCAUUGGUCUAUCUAUCGAAAGCUAAAUCCACGAUGGAUCAAAAGAAGAACUCUCUUCAUGCUCCUAUACUUUAUUUGAUUAUGAGCUUCAUUGUUAGUGUGUUUGGUGCAAAGGUAUAUAAAAAUGAUCGUCAUACUCGAUUUCUUUCCGCUGUGAGAAAGUGGGGAACUUAUAAUAUAAGACUCUUAUCAUUUUAGAUAGGAGCAGCAUUGUUCAAUCGAUUAUUAUUAAGCACAACGGCAUUCAUUUCAAACGUCAAUGGCCCAACCGAAGAAAUCAGUUUCCAUGGCCAUCCAAUCGCUUAUAUCGCUCCUAGCGUCUAUGGACACGCACAAGUAUGUAAAGAGCCAAAGAACUACUUAGUCCAACCUUUUUCUUCUUAAUAAUUUUCUUUGUUUUUAUUCUUAAUAAAUUUAUGUUUGUGUUUGACAGUCACUGCUGAUCCAUUUCCAAAGUUACGCGGACAAAAUGGUAAUCUCGAUAGCGGUUGACCCUACAAUCAUACCAGAUUCGCACAAGCUAUGUGAUGCAAUGGAGGAGUCUUUGAAAUCUAUGAAAAUUGCUCUUUUAGGAAAAGGGCUACUGAUUAACGAAGAAGUAUCCGUACGGGUGAAUAAUAUGUGUAAGUAAGUAGUCUUUGUUUUGUGGAAAAAGAUGAUGUUCUUAAAAAGCCUUCAAUGUCAAUUCUUCGAAGUUAUUUUCAAAUCUUAUUUCAUAUUGGAUGAGAUGAGAGUAUAUUUUCUAAACAGAGUAUUAGUUAUGAACUUACGUAUCAUAUAGUAAAUCGAUAUCCACUCCCAACUAAACUAAAAUAAUUUAAUUCAUACUUUGACCAUAGUGGAUAAUCUGCUUAUAUAAACUUGAUAUCUUACUGUUAGAUGCUCUAUCAUAGUAACUUAGUACAUAUUGAGAGUAACAAUGUAAAAGAGUGUGCUGACUCAUUCCUACGCUCAUGAAGACGAAAAGCAUAAUAUUGCCUCAUACUAAUUGUCUGUUUCUUCAGCUUCUUAGUAGCUUCCGUUACUCCUUUCUGAAUACCAAGCUUAAAUUCAUCUUUUCCAUAUGUAAAUAAUAGAGGAUACUGUAGUGCUAGAUAUGAGGGAUGUAUCUCAUUAAUCCUUAUUAAUUUUCCAGAAUGUUUUUGAAGUACUAUAUCUCUUUUAUCUAUAUCAAGAUUAAAAUCUCCAGGAAUCAAAGCUGCAACCUCUGAUGAUGUUGAUGUGUUGUAUGUUCUGCCAUCCUUUAGACGAUCACUAAUGAUCCUCAUAUGAAAAGCUUCUUGAGGAUUAGUACUAAAUCGUUCUCCUGCUGAUCUGAAGUUCUUAACAUAUGGAUUCACUUCAUCUAAGACUUUCAUCAAAACUUCAAUAAUUUAUUUCUUCAAGUUGUCCUUUUGCUUGCCUUUAAAACUCCUUUUACCUUGGCUGCAGUUCAAACGAUAAUUAUUAGAUUAAAAUUCCUGUGAUACCAUAUCGAUCAUGACAUGGAAGAAGUUAUAGAAGUUCAAUACAAAGAGAAAUAUGUUUUAAAGGAGAAAUUAAUUUUGAUAUUUAUAGAUUCGAAACCGAAUCUGAUCCGAACCAAAGUAUUUCGGAUACUCAAAUAUAUCCAAAAAAGGUUUAUAUACUUAUACAUAUUAAUUAUUUUUAGAUUUAAUGUAUAUAAAAACAUACAUAAUGCAUAUGAUACUUUUAAGUUGGUUUAAACACUUGAAAAUAUCUACAAAUAGUCAAAUAUAAAUAUCUAAAAAAAAUUUAAAGUAUACUCAAAAUACCAAAAAUAUUAAAAAUAAUUAUUGAUUAUCGAUCCAAAUAUUUAAAACAAACCAAUUUAAAUGUUAAGUUUAGGUAUUCUAAAAAUAAUGUGAUGAUCAAUAGAAUUCACACAAAUAUUUUUGAAUUAAAAGAAUACAACAAAUAAAUUUCAAUAUAUUAAUUUCUCAAAAAUAAAAAAGAAGUGGAAUUUAUUUGGCAUAUAAGAAGUUUAGAGACAUAUCUAUCUAUCUUUUUUUUUUGACAACAAAUAUUCACACACUCAUGUUGACUCUGUGAACCAAAGUGGUAACUCUGCAUCCAUAUGUACGACGAAAGACGGUUGAUUCCGAGCACUGUGUGCUAAACUAUCCGCCUUAAGGUUCGCCGUCCUAGGAACAUGAAUGAUUUCUGAGUUGAGGAAACUUUUUCUGGGAAGCUUUAUGCCUUCCAGGUAGCUUUCAAAUGCUGGUCAUUCUUCUGGUUCCGAAACUAUUUUCACCAAUUGAGAACAAUAUGUUGCAAACGUAACCUGAAACUGUCUUAAAUUCUUCCAUUGACAUAUCUAUCUAUCUUAUUAAAGCGAAAACACAUUUAAUUUUGGAAAUAUAGAUUUAUUAAGACACAUAAACAUAAUAAUUGGUGUUUUAGUUUAUUAAUAAUUACAUCAAAAAUUGUUUUAGUUAAAAAAAUUAAUUGACAAAUAUGUUAUAUAACAUAUUAUUUUGAUAAGUUUUGUAUCCAACUGCAAUGUGAGAAAUCAACAAAUUAUACAUAAUUAGAAAUCGUAAAUCUACACAAAUAUUGUAUAUUACAAAUUGAACAAACACCCAUAUGAAUGGAUCUUAAUGCAACCAUUAUAUUUUUAUAUUGUUAAGACUUUAUAUAUUUAUUCUUUUAAACAAACACUCGUGCGGGUGCACAGAUCAAGAUCUAAUAUUUUUAUUAAUUUAUAGGACUAUUAAAAUCAAUUAAUUAAAUUAAUUUCAUAUACAAAUUAAUAAAAUCAUAAUUUAGAAGAAAAAAAACUAUUUCAUGUGUAUAUAAAAGAUUGAUGUAUUAAUAAAAAAUAAAUACACAAUUUUAUUUAUUGAUUUUCAGUUUAGUUUUUAAGUUUUGUUUGCUUCCUGUACCACUUACAUUUUUACAUUUUAAUUUAUGUUUUAGUUUUAAAAGAAAAUAUAUUAAUUCAAAUUUAAAAUGUCAUUUUUUACAUACAAAAAAACAACACCUAAAGCAUCCGUUUUUUUUGUGUGUACAAGAGAGUAUUAAUUUAGUAACACAGAACAUUUUCUGAAACUUUAAUUUUGUUAAAAUAACAAAAAGUACAUAGUUAAAUGUUUUAGUGAAAAUUAUAAGCUGGAUAAAGAUCCAUACUUUUGGAUUAUAUGGUACAUUUGCAAAGUGAUAAACAAUAAGUUAUUCAAAGAACUAGAUAGGGACCCAUUGAAAAAUGUGCUGAAGUCGAAUUUCAUGUCUGGUUUGAAGCUACUCGUAAACAAGAAGAACCAGCGGAAAUACAAUAUCCUAAACAAAUAACAAUCUCUUAGCGAUAUAUGAUAGAUGGAUCAUGGUCUGCUUUUCAACUGAGUUGAAAGAACUGAUCAAGCUGAAAAAUAAAUUUGCAGAGUUCUCGAUUGUUUUUAUUUCUCGUACUGAAAAAAUAAUGUCUCAUUCAUUAGCCAAAAUAACAAAAUCUUUUCAUAGGAACAUGUACUAUGUUAGUUGUUUUGUUCCAGUGUGAUUCUAAAGAUUCCGCAAGUUUGAUUAAUAGAAUUAGUCGUUUGAAUAAAUAAUGUCUCAGUGAAACAAACAUAUACAAAACUAUCAUUUUAAAUGCAUCCUAGCUAAAAAUUAUUUACUUUAGCUUCUUUUUUUUCUUUCGUUUUGCCUAUUAGUAAUUAGCAGUGUGAAGUAAAAGAAAAAAGCUGGACAAUAAUAAUUCUGGAACCGUCUCGAUUUGGGGCAAGCAGAGCAAAACCCCAGCAUGGCGAUCAUCUCAGAGGUUGAAGAGGAAAGCAGCAGCCGACCCUCGAUGCUGCCGUUCAGGGCGACCUUCGAUUCUUCCGACCCAUUAGGUUUCUUGCAGAAAGUGUUCGACUUUCUCGGCGAACAGAGCGAUUACCUCAAGAAACCCUCCGCGGAGGAGGAGAUCGCCGCCGUGGUAAGGGCAGCCAAGGAGAAAUUGAAUAAAGCGGAGAAGGAGAGUGUUGAGAAGAAGCCUGCUGAUCCUGUUGAGGUGAAGGACAGUGUGAAGCCCACCAUGGCUGCGUCAAGCUCAAAGCCUUUGGAAGAUAAGAAAGAUGGUCCCAUUGGUAAAUAUCAAAUCUUUUUCUUUUAAAGAAGAGAUCUUUUCACAUUUGUGUGUUCAUUGGUCUUGAUCAUAUGAUAUUGGAGAGGAGUUUUAGCGUUUGAAUCAAUGAACUUGCUCUUCUUAGGUAUCAAGGCAUCAUCAGUAUUUUUUAGUUCUUUAUCAUGUGUUAUAUCAUUCUUGUGUCAACUUGUAUAAAACGACUAUGAUCCUUGGAGAGGAGUCUUUAGCUUGAACCAGUGAACUGUUUAGUCGAUCCAUCAUCAGUGUUCACCUAUCACCAGUGUUAAUAUCAACCACUUGAGGAGGAAAUUUUUGAGUUCUGGAACAUUGAUGUCUCUCUUGUCUACUAAGUGUAUUUGAUGAGCAUCGCUUUUCUCUUGUUCGGUGGAGUUAAAUUUGUGUUUUGUUUCUAAUCUAUGCAGUUCCUAACAAAGGUAAUGGAACUGAUCUUGAGAACUACUCAUGGGUCCAGACUCUCCAGGAGGUCACAGUUAAUAUUCCAGUGCCUACUGGCACUAAAGCACGCUCUGUUGUUUGUGAGAUUAAGAAGAACCGUCUUAAGCUUGGUCUCAAAGGGCAGGAUCCAAUCAUCGAUGUAAGUUCAUCUGCUAUUGUCUUAUCAUAUAAACUUUUUUAAUUCCAUCCCUUCUGCUAAAAUUUGCAAUCUGUCAAAUGGUAUUAUAGGGAGAGCUCUACCGACCUGUGAAGCCUGAUGACUGUUACUGGAAUAUCGGUAUAAUUCUCUCAGUGGUAUAAGACUGAUGACUUUAUUUUUUUGGUAGGCAAUAUAAUUCUCUCAAUGCUACUUUGUUUGCAGAGGAUCAGAAGAUGAUAUCCAUUUUGUUGACUAAGCAAGAUCAGAUGGAGUGGUGGAAAUGCUGUGUGAAAGGUGAACCUGAAAUCGAUACCCAGAAAGUUGAACCAGAGAACAGUAAACUAGCUGACCUUGACCCUGAAACUCGCUCCACUGUUGAGAAAAUGAUGGUAACUUUUGUCUUUAUCUAAUCCCUUCUUCAAGUGUUUUGUUCAUUUCCUUUUGUGACACUGAAGCUUCUUUUUCUUGUUCUUGGUAUCUCUAGUUUGAUCAAAGGCAAAAGCAGAUGGGUCUUCCAACAAGCGACGAGCUACAGAAGCAAGACAUUCUCAAGAAAUUCAUGUCUCAGGUAAACAAACACAUCCCCCUGAAACAUGUGUAUCUUCGGUUCUCAUCACACUUGUCUUUUCUUUAUACUGAACGGUGUUCUUCUUUUCGAUUCUUUACAUGCAGCAUCCAGAGAUGGACUUCACAAACGCAAAGAUAAACUGAUCCUCGUGUAGCCUUGUUUUACUUCCUUCACCAUCUUGUCUCUCGUUUCAUCUUUGAAAACCUUACCUUUGUUCCUUUGAACUGCUUUUGUUUUGUCUACUUGAAAGCAUAGUUUCAUCUGCAAAUACAUGUUGGGUUAUUCCUCUAAGCCCUAUGGUUCGGUUUUUGUUUAUUGAAGCUUUUCUUAAAAUCAUGUUGAUCCUUGGUAUUACAUGAGUCAGCUCUUAAACCGGACAAAACUUGGAAUCGUUGUACUUUUAUGUUCGAUUGCGUCCUCUCUACUGCUUCUUUGAUACGUGACGGUGUGGUGCGACACAUGGGACUACUUCAAUACGUAAUGAAGCUGCCGUUUUCGGUAAAAAUAUGAACCGGGACCACGUGACACGUUGGUGGUCCAGCCCCGGUUAAGUUUGGAAUGUGGUCCACGUUGUUGUUGUCGUUCCUCUACAACCUUCUUUCUUUAACUUCACAAAAGGAAUAAUGAAACCCACCAAUGUACUUGCGUAAAUGCAAUACCAACGUCCUUCAUUUGCAUAAAACGCAUUCACUUUGAAAGCAAAAGAUCCUUUCCUCAGUGUUGUCAUGGCAUGUGUCCAAUUUUCUGCAAGAUUUUAGGCUAUGAAUGGUGGUUAGGUUCCCCGUUUGAACACAAAUAAUUGAGUGCAACUGUAACCGGGGUGUGUAAACUAUUUUUUCUCGUCGUAAACUUCACUUGAAUUAUUUUUCCAAACAAGACCAUUUUGUUUUUGAAACACUUUUUUUUUUGAAACACCUAACAAUACCAUAUAUAUUUGAAAUAUGACUCAGAAUAUGACGUAAGUGAGCCACUCAUCUAACUAGCUGGCUUAACCUUAUUAGUUCAGCUUAUAAUUAGCCUCUGUGACAUUUUAUAUGACCAUGAUAAUACGGUAGCUCAGGAUUUCUGGUUAUAUAAAAGAUUUUAAAUUAAAAUAUAGGAUUCCGGUCCAGAACAUUGUCGUCCAAUGGUAAUAAUGAACUUCUUCCUACACGCAGGGUGAGAGUUGGAACUCUGCCGUAGAGAACUACUGCACGGUUGUCUCUGGACACCUUACACAGAUAUGGAUUCUUGCUUUGGCCUAUUUACAAAUCCGAUAUGCGAGUCUACCCGGAGGUCACACACCGCCAAAAAAUUAGUCUGGGUCUGUUUGUGUCUGUGAUCUACUCCUAAGUUAUCAAAAAUAAUUAGAGGUGUUUUUUACUCGUGGACUAAUAAAAGACCAGGUCCCGAUUAUUAGAAAGCUUGACAGAACGCUAUCAAAUGAUGAUAUAUGGUGAGAGGUUUAUCGAGAAGCAGUUGGUUCUUUUGAAGCUCCGGGGGACUCUGAUCAUUCUCCAUGUGUUGUAGAUUUCUCCACGGAAGAAGUAUGAAGGAAGUCUACCUUCAAAUAUUUUUCUUUUAUAGAAACACACCCUCACUUCAUGUCAGAAAUGAAAUCAACUUGGGAAGAGGAACUGCAGGUUGGCUCGAAAUAAUUUACCCUAGGCUAGCGUCUUAAAAAGGUGAAAAAGUUUUGUCGUAAAUUGAAUAAAGAAGGUUUUGGGAAUAUCCAGCCGAAGGCAAGUAAAGCUAUGCAUGCGUUAAAGGAUGUUUAGGAGCAGAUACUUACUACAUCGACUGAGUCUCUGCUUAGAGGAUUUUGUAUUCGUAAGAAAUGGCUUUUCUUUGAGCCUGCACAAGCUAUAUUCUUCAAUAAGAAAGCUCGCAUUAGAUGGCUCACGUGUGGAGAUGCAAACACAUGGUUCUUUCACAAAGCUCUGAUAGCAUAUCAGAUUAGAAAUGCCAUUAAUUACUUGAUGGAUGCUACAAAUCAGAGAGUUAACAAUCCCCUACAAAUCAAAGAAAUUGUACUUUCAGAAUCCGUUGGGUACUGUGGAUGAGCAGGUGAAUACGAUGACAAUUAAAGAAAUUCAGGAUCUAUGGGUUUAGAUGUACGGCGGAGGUGGAUGUGGAGCUUAUUAAAAUUUCAUCAUAGGAGGAUAUCAGUGAUGUAUUCCGUGGUAUGCCAAAGAACAAGGCUCCAUGCCCAGAUGGGUUUGCAGUAGAGUUCUAUUGGGAAGCUUUGGAAGUUGUAGGAGUAGAUACAAUUGCAGCAGUAAGGGAGUUUUUUUUUGUUUCAGGAAAAUGUUAAAAAAUUUAAUGCUAAUGCGAUUUUCUAAUCCCAAAGAUUAUAGGAGCUGACAGGCUUACUCUGUUUAGGCUAAUCUCAUUAUGCUCAACGAUAUACAAGGUCAUUGCAAGGAUUUUGAAAAAGAAGAUGAAGCUGUUCAUUGCAGAGGUAAUGCAGAGAGACCAAGUUGGUUUUGUACAGGAUAGACUUCUAUGUGAAAACGUGAUUUUGUCAUCAGAGCUAGUGAAUGACUUUCAUACUCAUAGCCCUACUAGAAGAGGCUGCUUGAAGAUCGAUUUCUCUAAGGCUUACGACAAACUGAGCCUGGAAUUUGUAACUAAUACUCUUAUUGCCCUUGAUCUACCGCCCAAGUUUGUUAAGUAGCUGCGAGUGUUACAUGACUACAUCCUACAACAUUGUGGUUAAUGGAGAACUCAAUGGUUAUUUACACGGCCGUACGUGAUUAAUGCAACAUGAUUCGAUUUUGUCUUUGCUUUUUGUUAUGGCAAUGGAUGUUUUGUCAAAGAUUUUGGAUAAAAGAGCAAUGAAUUGGGUCUUCAGAUUACAUCUUGAGUGUGGAGCUCCCUUAGUCACAAAAUUUGUUGACGAUGUGUUAAUGUUCUUCGAAGAAGAAUUUUUUAGAGGAAUACUUCAAAUUUUGGAGGAAUUUAAAUCAGUUUCAGGUCUGAGUAUUAACAGAAGAAAAACAGAGCUUUUGCUGGACGGAGGCAGUAACGAGAGGUGUAGAGAUUCGGCAGAGGCAAUUGGUAUUUCUCAGGGAGAGACCUCAGGGAUCUCUCCCGAUUAGAUAUCUUGGAGUUUAUAUAUCCUCCAAGAAGACGAAGAAGUCUGACUUUCAGCCACUACUGGACAAGAUUGGAGCUAGGUUUAACUCCUGGACAAGUGAGGCACUUGUCUUUCGUUGGAAGAUUUCAGUUAAUACAAGCAGUUAUAUAUUCUACCAUAUCUUAUUCAAUCUUUAUUAUUCUUAAUGACUGUAUUUGGGAAUUGAAUAGGAUGUGUAAUGUUUUUUUUAUGGAGGGGGUGCGCCAAGUUCAGAAAGAAUCAUUUAAUAGAUAUUAAUAUAAAAAAUUUAAUAUAUAUGUUAAUAUCAUUUAAAAUUUAAUUAUAUAUCAUAUCAAAUAAAAAAUUGUUUGGAUUAGUAAAAUUGAUUUAAUUUUAUUUUCGCACUAAUUUAAUUAUAUAUGUAAUAGUUAAUGACUUUUAAUUAUUAAAUAUAUAUUUAUUAUUUCAUGUAAAAAUAUAUAAUAUAUAUAAUUAUUUAUAUAUAUAAUGUCUUACGCGGAUCUUAACCUAGUAUAUAUUAUAACUGCAUCUAAAUUAACCACUUCCACUAAUAACGAAUUUAAUGCAACCGUAAUAUUCCCUUUUAUUAGAACUAACCGUAAUGUACUUAUACUAUUAAAAAUUGAGAGGUAUAAUAUUAUUCACGUGGAUAUAUAGCCUUCGUGAAAUAUUCCUUUGAUGAUGAUCAACUAUUCUACAUACAAUCAUUAAUAAAAAUACAUAUACAACCCAAAUACAAACCCACUUUUAAUAAUAACCACCAUUCGACGUCAAAUAAUAAUAAUAAUAAUAAUAAUAACCACCUUCUAAAUACCACAUGGAAUCGUCACACUGCUUCUAAAUAUAAAACUUGAUAUAUAUAUUACUCCAUAAUUGUAGGAACUUCAAUAUUUAUCCCAAAAAAUAAUAUCACGUAUAUGCUUUUCUUUAUUCAAAAGGGUAAUUAUAUUUUUGUAUUUUUUCUUUACUCCUAUUUGUACCUAAAUAUAUGACCAUAUCUAAUUUAAAUUCGGAGUAUUUAUUUAACAAAAAAAAACAUUUCAGGAAUCAAAUAGAUUAUUUUCAUCUCAAUUUCGAAAUAUGGUUAUCUAACCACUACGUUAAGAUAACCCUACGUUAUAUAACUGUAUAUAAAUUAUAUUUCUUUAACAUAUAAAAAAAAAUUACAGAAAAAUGUUACAUAUUUACAAAAACAUAAAAAACAAAAAAUUACAAACCAACAUUAUACCCGCGGGUCAAGAUGUAGAACAUACAAAUAUGAUUACAACGAAACGGGUAUACGGACAUAUGAUUAUAAAGAACCGAGCAAACGCCGGAUCAACUUUUAAAUUGUUAUUAUUUUAUAAAAUAGGUUUUGAUUACGAUUUAUACACAAAUAUGAUUAGAAAGAAAAACACAAAUAUGAUUACAAAAACAAAUACAAAUAUAAAAAUUAAAUUUAAAAAAAAAUUAAAACAAAAAUAUACCUGCCUUUUAAAGGGCAGAUCAAAAUCUAGUAAUUGUAUUAAAAUAGUUGGACACGACUAAUAUCAACAGGGCAUGAUCCAGAUUUAAUAGUAUUGAUGGUAAUUUCAAAAGUUAUAUGCCGUUGUCAAAUAGCCCACUACCCAAAGAAAUAGGGAGUUACAUUUUUUUACAUCAGAUAAGUAGUUAUGUUUUAAACUUUUAAAACCAUAAUAUUAGAUGCUACAUAAAUUAAGAAGUUAUUUUUUCCUUUUUGGAAGAGUAAAACAUGUAAAUAAUUAGUUGGACACAACUAAUAUCAACAGGGCAUGAUCCAGAUUUAAUAGUAUUGAUGUUAAUUUCAAAAGUUAUAUGCGGUUGUCAAAUAGCCCACUACCCAAAGAAAUAGAUUUUUUUACAUCAGAUAAUUAGUUAUGUUUUUAACUUUUAAAACUAUAAUAUUAGAUGCUACAUAAAUUAAGAAGUUAUUUUUUUUUCCUUUUUGGAAGAGUAAAACAUGUAAAUAAUUAGUUGGACACAACUAAUAUCAACAGGGCAUGAUCUAGAUUUAAUAGUAUUGAUACUUUAAAGCAUCUCCGGUAUUUAGUAUAUGAGUUUCAACAAAUAAUAAAACACCAAAUUUCAAAUUAGUUAUGAAGUGAAUACGAAAUUAGAAAAUGUUAAUAUAGAGAAAACCUAAUCAUUGAACAGAAAAAGAUUACCACAUUAUACCCACUCUUAGAAAUCACUAUUUAUUAUGUGAAUGCAGAAAUCACAAAGUUCUAAAAUAGUAAUACACAUGCAGAGAAAGAACUAUUAAAUGUAUAAAGAACUACUUAAUGGUGCGCCAUCAAAAACCCAAUCAGUGGCAUAAAAGACAUUAUAUAUGAUAAUAAUUUUGGGUUUCAAACAUUUUUUUUUCGUUUCUCCAUAAACGUUUCUCACAUGUGCCAACAAAAAAAGUUUCAAGCAAAUGUACUCGUCAUAUGACUUAUAUAUGUGGUAUACAAAUUUUUGACAAAAAGAACUAUAUAAAUAUCAGAUUUCAAAUGUUAUUUUGAUAGAGUUUCUUAUAAAACAAAUAUUCUAGGAUUUAUUUGACAAAUAAUAAAAGAAACAGGGAAAUUAAAUUUGUAGAAAGAAGGUAAAAAGAGAUAAGCAAAGAAAAUAAGAAAGAGAUAGUGAUUUUGGGUAGUUAGUGAAAUUGUGUGGUUUUUUUUUGGUUAUUUGACCUAAUUUCCCAAUUUGUAAACUGUCAUCAACAAAUUUAGCUAUGUCCAAACGCAAAAAUAAAGUUGUGCUAAAUUAAAGUAAAUGUUGUCUAGUUACGAGGCAGUUUCUUUAUGUGUAAAAGCACAAACAUCUCUCCAGCUGUAUUCUUUUAUAUAUAGAUACCCAUCUUUUUCGUAUUCAUAUUCCUAAUUUAUUCCUCUCUUUUUGAUCGUUUUAGAAUACUCUUUUCAUGCUUACCAAAAAAAAAAAGAAUACUCUUUUCAUUGCUUUUACUUUUACUUUAAUUAAAACUAAGAAUCAACCUAUUAGAAAAAAAUACAUAUACAAAAAAUAGCCUAUCUUAGAUAAUUAGCCAAUCAUUGUUGAUACAAAUCUUCAACUAGCUAGAAAUCUUUUUAUGACACUUGAUGUUGUCUUUUAUUUUUUCAAGUACAUGUCAUGUAAGGAAAUAUUUUAAAUUUUUGAUUUUGUUAUUUUAUUCAUCGUAAAAGCAUAAUGUAUUUUUCUCACUAAAUGUUUUUUUAUAGAUUAAAUCAUUUACAAUUGUACGCCACACAUAUAGAGGGAUAAAAAUAUUACUUCAAAUAUAGAGUAAAAUUAUUCAUUUACUAUAUUUUAGAAUUAAAUUUUCAAUGAUCCUUCACUUUUUAUAUAUUUCAUUUUAUCUAAAUAAAUUUAUAUAUUAAUAUAACUUUGUACAUUUAAAUAUUAUUAAAUUAAUAAAAUUAUACUCCAUCCGUUCAUAAUAUAUGAUGUUUUGGCUUAGUCCACAAAGAUUAAGAAAAUUACAUUUUUUCUAAAAACCUUUUAAAGAUAUAAUUUUAAAAUCAUUCAACCAAUUAUAAUAAAAACCUCAAAAUAUUAUUGGUUGAACAGUUUCCAAUAAAGUUAAAGUUAAUCUUAAAAUCUCAAAACAUCAUAUAUUUUGAAACAUCAUAAACUUUUUAAAACAGUAUACAAUUUGAAACGGAGGUUGUAUAAAAAAAGUAUUCCAAGAAUUGUUUACUCUGUACAGAAAAUCAAAGACAAAGAAGUUCAUUGCUCACUUUAAAAUGCGUUAAUUGAUCAUCUGUGGAGAGAUACAUUAAUGAUAGUAAGGGCUAAACAAGAUAAAACAAAAAGAUAAAAUUUUAACAUUUUAAAAGUUAUGGAUUAUACAAUAAAUUAAUAAACGAAUAGAAAAUGAAAAUAUUUAGAAUAUUUUUUUGGGAUUAAAAAUAAAGAGAAUUAUUGGAACAAACCCCCUUGUCUAUUUUAGAGUACUCUAUUUUUAGAAUUAAAAACAGAAACAAUAAUGGAGAUGGUUUUCUUUUUUUUUGGACAUCGAACGGCUGAUCUUAGCUCAAGCUUGAGGUGGUCUAGAGAACCAGACCGGAAAAGAACAACCAAUAUAAUACAGGUUCAUAUGAAAGGAUUUCGUUAUCUUAGCUAAUAAAUCAGACGAUACAUUUUCAGUUAGAGGAAUAAAAACAAUCGAGAACUCUGAGAAUUUUCUCUUCAGCUUCUGCAGCUCAUCUAGUUCAGUGGAGAAGUUGAGUCAUGCUCCUGGGUCUUGAAUCAUUGAGAUGAGAUCCUUACAAUCGGUGCCAAGAGCCUGACACGUCGAUAGUUGAAGCAUGCACUCCAUCGCCCAUAAAAGGGCCUCAAGCUCCGAAUGAAGUGGUGAGAUUCUUCGGCGUUGGUUCCUUGUUCCCAAUAGCUGAGUCGUUCCUCCUGAGAUUUUCCAUGUCCAUCCAUAACCACUAAAGAAUGUGUAUUGUGUCCAUGAACCAUCUAUUAGACUUCUCUCUGAAUUUGUUAUCUGCUCUGGGGUUAUUCUAAUUGUUUGUUCCUCUUGUUUGUUGUUUGCUUCAAACCAAGCAUGGCAUUCUGAUUCAGCAUGUCGGAUAGUUUCCAAGGGGUCUUUGUCUAUUCCUCUGAAAAGUUUAUCAUUCCUUGCUUUCCAAAUAUACCACAUAAUCCAGGGAUAUGGUUCUUUAUCCAAAUCAGGGUCUUCUAUGUCAUUUUUCCUCCAAAAAAGAUAGUCAAUGUUCGCAUAAUGACUCGUGGUACGGAACAUUGGUGGUGGGGCUGUGGUUGCUGCAUGUGCCCAUGUUUGUAAUGCUGGGGGACACUCGAAGAUGGCAUGAUUUAUGGUUUCAUCAUCUGCUCCACAUCUGGGACAAUGAUUGUCGCAUCGCAUGUGACGAUGUGUUAGAUUUUUUCUUAUUGCUAAUUAUCCAGAGAUCGUUUGCCAGAUGAAAUGUUUUGGUUUUAGUGGAGCUUGUAUCUUCCAAGUAAAGGCUUGGAGUUUUGUGAUGCUCGGUUCUUCAUGGGUUUCCACUGCCUCUCUGUUGAGGAUGUUCCUGGCUACCCAAUAUCCCAAUUUAAUAGUGUACAUCUCAUUCUUAGUAAAGCUCCAUCAAUAUUUAUCCCGCUGAUGUCAUUGGCUUAUGGCCAAAGAUUGAACAAGAAGGAUGUCGUCCGGGUGUACGUAAUUUUCAAGCAUCUCCGAGUUCCAUGUUUUUGGCUCCUCUAUCAUAAAUUCGUGAGCUGACAUCAUUGGAUGUACUACCGGUGCUAUUGGUCUAGCUGGUUUUGCAGGUAUUGUUGGUAUCCAAUGGUCUUCCCAAUUUCUAAUUUCAUUUCCGGAGUAAACCUUCUGUCUGAUCCCCAACAUCAUCAAUGGUUUUGCUGCCAUUAUACUUGUCCAUCCACAUGAGGGUCUAUCUAAUGUGUUAAGCCGCAAAGGUGUGCUACUUCUGAAGUAUUUUUCUCUCAGAACUCUAGCUACCAAAGAAUCUGGGUUUUGUACCAAGCGCCAUAAUUGUUUGACUAGUAGGGCUAUGUUGAAUUCAUGGAUCAUUCUGGAUCCAAUUCCUCCCUCCUCUCUUGGUUUGCAUAGAUCUUCCCAUUUUACACAAUGUAUACCCCUUUUAAGAAGGUUCGAGCUCUACCAGAACUGUGCAAUGGCACUAGCUAAGUUUUCACAGGUCUCUAAUGAUAGUAGCAGGGUUGACAUCACAUAAGUAGGAAGACCAGUAAGAUAGACUUUAUGAGUACUUCCUUUCUUCCCUUUGUUAGCCAACGUCACGUCCACCCAUUUACGCGAUUUUGCAACCGUUCCUUCAAGAAGGCAAACAAUUUUCUUUUCAACCCACUAAUAUCCUCAGAAAUACCAAGAUAUGUCCCCAUCCCUCCCUCAUUUGCAAUUCCUGUUGUGGUUUUGAUGGUCAAAAACAAUAAUGGAGAUGAUCAAAAAGAAAUGGAGAUGGUCUAAUAUAUAUACUUAUAUAAAUAAACUCCAUUUUUGCAAAGGGUAAUUUUUUUUAACAAUAAAUUAUGUUUAAAGAACUUUUUUUGUCAUCAACAUAAACAUGCUCUAUUAAGACUCUGGUAACCAAACAUAGGACUCUACAUUCAUAAAUACGAAAUAGCAGGAUUGAUUGCGAACACCGCGUACAAGAUUGCAUACCCUUGUAUUUUGAAUCUUCGGGAUAUGAAUGAUAUAUCUUAGCCUUGGAAAAACAUUCCUUAAAUAGUUGAAUCGUUUCCAGAUAUAUUGCAACGAAUGCCAUUUUUCUGGCUCGGAAACUAUCUUCACUAAUUAAAAAUAAUCUGUUGAAAACUUUGUUCUUUAAAUUUAUGUACUCAUUAUCAAUUUUAAUCAUAGUAUUUCAAUCUACUUUUUUUCUUUUUCAUAUACACUUUAUUUAUAUCAUAUAGAAGCCUAAUAAAUUAAAAAAUCAAUGAUGUUUUUCAUGAGUAUAUAUUAUAAAUAUGUUUUUUGGUCAAAAUAAAAAGUACCCCCUCCGUUCUUUAAUGAUAGACUUUUUAGAAAAAAAUUUUAUUUCACAAAGAUGUAUUUUGUGUGUUUCUAUGAAAAAUUUGUAAAUUUCAAGAAAAUUAAUUGAUUUUAUUAAAUUGCUAUUGGUUAGAAGUUAUUGAAAAUUGAAAAUUACAUAAAACGAUACAUUUAUUAUGAUAGUUUAAUGUGUUUUCUUAAUAUGUGUGAAAAUACUAAAAAACAUAUAUUUGUGGAACGGAGGAGUAUAUAUUACUAAAUAUAUUUGUAAAAGAAGGUACAUUGAACCCCUCUUUUUGCAAAAGGUGCGUACAUGGAGGUAAGAUUAGUGAUCGGGGAGCACCAUUGAUGUUUUGUCUUGUGUUUGUCUCUUCUCUUCUUCUCUUGGAGUGCGUUUUGGAACUAGUGGAGAGUUAUUGUAUCAUAACCCCAGGGAUCAUAACUAAUUAUAUUCUCUUUUCUUCAAAAAGAAUAACUAAUUAUAUCAUUCCAAUGUAUAUAGUUUCGAAAAUAAAAUAACAACGAUAAUAGUCGUUAGUGAGUACCAUACCACAAAAUGGUCUCUAUUCAUUUCAUCUUAUAAACACGUACGACGUCGUCUCUUCGUCAUCGUGAUCUAAGCAGUAUCUUCAUAUAAAUUUAUAUUUUCCCCCACAUUAAGAUACAAGAUGCAUCAUUUGUAAAAAAGUUUUUUUGGAUUAAAUAAAACUAACAUUCAUUCAAAAAAUAUCCCUUACAUAUUAAUUGAGAAACAUUACAAUAUUGUUUUGUAGCCACGUGUCACCAUGAAAAUGAAAUUCAGAAUUUUUAGAGAAAUAGGUUGGUCCAUCUUUUUAUAUUAAACUAACUGUUAAAAUUGAUAAAUAGUGUACAAAAUAAUAUUUUCGCAUUUUUCUUAAAUAAAAACUACGGAAUGACUUAAUAUGAUUAACAUAUAUAUGACAAUUAAUGAUUAUGAAUAAUAAAUAUUUGAUAAUAUUUUUUUGUGUCUAGCUCUUUUUAUUAUAUAUAUUAUAUUUUGAAUUUUUUUAAAAGACUAUAAAUUACUAAAAAUGUUAAAUGUUUCACAUUAAGAUUUUGUGAUCAAUGAUUUAACUUUUUUGGUAAUAACAAGAUAUAAAUGAUCAUAAAUCGUAUGAAUAUGAAGUAUUAUUUACUAAACAUUCAUAUUAUAUAUUAAUAUAGUUUAAAAUCAAACUAUAUAACAUAUAAAAAUACUUAAAUAUGAUAAUUUCUAAAUUUUUAUUGAAAAAGUAUUUAAACCUUAAUAUUUUAAUUUUGAAAUUUGCAUUCAAAAAGUCGCACAUUAGAAAUUUUGAGUUUAUCUUAUGAGUAUGAAUUCUCAAUAAUAAAUAUUUAUAUUAAAAUAUAUUAUAUACUCCCUCUGUUCCUUAAUAUUACAUAUUCUAGGAAAAAAUUUGUUUUAAAAAAAUCUAUUUUUUACAUUUUUAAGACAAGUUUUAUUAACUAAUUGUAAAUUUCAAAAAAAUUAAUUGCACUUACUGAAUUGUUAUUGGCUUAAAAUUAUAAAACAAAGAUAAACACAAACAAAUAUGCAAAUUUAAUGUGUUUUAUUAAAAUAUGUGAAAAAUCUAGAAUAUGUAACAUUAAUUUAGUUAUAUAUCAUAUAAAAUAAAAUGAUUGUUUUAAUUUUAAACUAUAUUUAUUUUAAUUUUAAUUUAGUUAUAUAUCAUAUAAAAUAAAUAAAAUGAUUGUUUUAAUUUAUUUACCAAAAAAAUAUCGUAAAUAAACAAGAUGUAUUGUUUUGAUUUUUGCAUUUAUUCGAAUUUAAUUAUACACAUAAUACGUAAAUAAAUACAAAUAAAUAAUACUCUCUCCGUUUCACAAAGAUAUAUUUUUUAGUAUUUUCACACAUAUUAAGAAAACACAAUAAAUCACUAUAAUAAAUGUAUCAUUUUCUGUAAAUUUCAAUUUUUAAUAAGUUUUAACCAAUAGUAAUUCAAUAAAAUCAAUUAAUUUUCUUGAAGAUUGCAACUUUUUCAUUGAAAAUGCAAAAGGUCUAUCUUUGUGAAACAAUUUUUUUUUCUGAAACUUCUAACUUAAUGAAACGGAGAGAAUAAUAGAUAAAAAAAUAAUUUUAUAUAUAACAUUCAUUCCGUGUAUUUGUGCGGCUCUUAAACUAGUAUAUAUAUAUAUAUAUGAUAUGUUCCAUACUUAACAAUAUGAACACAAAAUGGGUUGGAAACUGGAAAAGUGAGUGGCUAGACAUGGAAGUCGAAUCUGGCAUAACUUUUCAACUUUCUCCGCACCAUUUUUAUUUGGGAAAAUUGCCAAAACAGAAUAAAAAAACAGAAUGGUUGUCCCUAUGGUAUAAAUUCAAUUUUGUCCAUUUUAUCUCCCUUUUACCCUUUUAUUUCUGAAACUUAAUAAAAUAAAUAGUUUUAUGAAUCAAAAAAAUUAUUAAAAAUAUAAACUAUUAAUAGAACACCAAUAUACACAAGCACAUUUUUUUAUUUUUUUCAAAAACUUAAUAAAUAGAAUUUCCAAUUUACGUUCUACUAAAAGUAGAAUUCGUCUUCUACGGAAAUUGGGUUAGUAGAACGCAAAAUCCAGAAUAAACACGUACAUCUACUUGUUUUGGAACGUAAAAUCUACUUUUGAUUCAAUAUCUAAAUAUGGGGAAUGCGAAUUCUACUAAUUGUAAAGAUAUCUACUUUUCUGAAAAAUGCAGUUUCUACUUUUAACAAGUAUUCUAACAUUUCUCGAACGUAAAAUCUGAAAACUACACGAACGUCUACAAAAGGUAGAAAUUACAUUCCAUAUUAUUUUCAUGGUUCUACGCAUUGUAGAAGGUGUCUUCUACGGAUAAAAUGAUCUGUUUUUGGCGAAAAUUAAGGAAAGUCAGUUAACAAAAUAUUCUAAAAAUAUUCUAACUUCCUAAAAUGGUUCUGAUCGAUUUUCUUUGUCAAAUUUUUUUAAAAAAACGAUUUUGCCUUUCUUCUUCAUGAAUCUGUGAUUUUUUCAUAGUUUCUCUCUUGAUUUUCAGAAACUUUUGUUCUAGAUUAGAUGCAUAUCUAUACAAUAUGUGGUCUUUGGGAAUUAGGUGCAACUACGGGAUGGUUUUUUUCGGCUGACGGCAAAGGGGAUAGGCUACUGUUAGUGGAAUCAAAUUCUACUUUAGAUGAAUUAAAAAGGAUGGUUUUGGAGGAUUUUGGUAUGGAAGAAGAAAUCAUAGUCGAUUUGAAGUUAAGUUAUCUACCUGCUGAGUGGAUCAAUACUUCAGGAUGUCCACCUGUGAUCAUUGCAAACGAUCGACAGCUUCAUAAUUUUGUUCGAUUUGUUCAAAAGAGUGCUUCUACUCGAUUGUGUGUCACAUGUAAAGCCAAGGCUGAGAAUCCGAAUAAAGAAGCCUUUGAUCUUAACAAACCGCCAGCUGAUCCAUGUACUCAUGAAGAGAAAGAAAACUUGUUUGACAGUGGGGGCGAACCAGCUCCUGUGUAUGCUGAGAGGCAGGGGAAGAAGAAGAAUGAAAAGCGGAAAGGAGUCGCAGUUGACGAGGAUGGGGACUAUGAUGCUGAUACCAUGAUCUCUGACAAAGAGAACAUACAUAAAAUGUCAAAGUUUUCUCUGCUCCAUGUUGUUAAGGUCGGACAAUUUUUUGAGAACAAAACUUUGUUGAAGGCGACUUUCGAGAUGUGUGCAAUGAAGCAUAACUUUGACUACCAGAUUAUCAAAACGGAUAGACAACUUUGGUAUGUUAGAUGUGCGGAUAAUGCAUGCGAUUGGGGUGUUCGAGCAGAGUGUCUGAAGGAUUCUACAUAUUUCAUGAUCAAGAAGUAUGUCGGUAAACAUACAUGCGCACCUUCAAGCAAAACCAAAGCGGGUAAGACUGCUUCAGCAAAAACUAUAGGCAGUCUGAUUAUGCAUAAGUAUGUAGGCGUCAAGGAAGGGCCGAAAUGUAAUGAUAUCAUACAGAUUAUGCGUAGUGAUCAUGGAUGUGAGAUCUCAAAAUCUUUAGCAUGGGAUGCGCGUGAAUAUGCGAUCAGUGCAGUUAGAGGUAUUCCAGAGAGAAGUUAUGGGAAAAUUCCAAAAUACUUGCACAUGCUGAGAGAGGCUAAUCCAGGUACACACGCAUCCUAUGAGAUUGACGGAAAUGAGAAUUUUCGUUACCUAUUUAUUGCAUUUGGGCAAUCAAUAAGAGGAUUUAACAGAGUCAUGAGACGGGUUAUUGUGAUCGAUGGGACCUUUUUGAAGAAUAAAUACAAAGGAGUUUUACUGGUUGCAACUGCUUUAGACGGAAAUGUAUCUUGGGACAUGAUCUAUUUCCUCAUCAAGUAGCUUUGGUGGGGACAUGUUGAAGGGUCUAGAGUUUUCGACUUUCACUUGAGAAAGAUCAAACCCAUCAACAAAUGUAUCUUGGGACAAUUCCCUUAAUUCUUGUGUGCUCAAUCCAAAGUCAAACUCGUUAGUUUCUAUACCAUUCUUUAAACCAUCCUAUUCAUUAAAAAAAAUAAAUAUUUAAGAACUCUUUCAAUCAAAACACAAACAAAGCAUUAGAUUCAUGUCUUUAUCAUUACACAAACAUUCUAGCAUAUUAUACAAUAUAAACCUAUUACAAUAUCCGAAAGUUUUACAUAAUAUUACACCGUGAUGAAAAUGUUAAGUUCCAAGAACAACCUAACUCCAAAAGACUAGCUCCAGCACCCUAACACAGCUAAACAAUGAUACAAGUACAUCAACUUCUACACUUUCUUUUCGGAAGUACCUUUUUCUUUGCUGGAACUUGAGCUUGAUUGACCUUUUCUUUGCUGGAGUUUGGACGGUUUUGGUCUUAGGCGCAGCUUCAUCGGUUUUGCUCUUAGGAACGCUUCCUUCGGCACUCAAACUGAUUGCUUCCCUGAGUUGUGAAACCUCGAUCUCCAUGUUGCCGAUCCUCUCUUUGAACAUGCUCUCCAUACUCGCCAUCUGCUCUCUGAGUAUUUCUCCCAAGGAAUUGACAGAUGAGUGGACCAAACCCUCAAUGAAACUCUUAGUUUCUUGAUCAAUACUCUGUUUUUUUUCUGCUGUUCGCUUACACAGCAACUUCUUCUUUCUUGUCUCGGCUCCUUCAUCCUAAAUCUUUCUCUUGCCUCUUCCAGCAACAUGGACCGAAGAUGUCUCCACAUCUGCUGCAAUAUCAGUAGCAUCCACACUCUUAUCAGCUUCUGACUCUGUAUCGGCUUUCUCCAUCUCAGUCUCUUCAGCCUCUAUAACUGGCCAUUCUGUGUUGCUCCAAUCAAAGUUCUUUUUAAUCCUAUCGAGAAGAAGGUCCACACGUUCAUCUUCCAUCUCAUCCUUCCUUGUAUAAUCAGCAUGCCUCAACACAUCACCAUUGCCACUCACUGAAAUUACCGAGAACAAGUCUCCCUACAAAACAAUUAUAACAUUAUAAGCUUUAAAAAAUAUGCAACAGCCAUAUAAAAGAAUACAAUAAAUAUGCAUACCUUCUCAGUAAACGAUUCCUCAAGUUGAAUGAUGUCUUCAUAAGAAACUUUUGCAACUCCUUUCCAAUUUCCACACCUUGGACCACUGAAACUGUCCGAGACUUUGCUGCCACAUAUUUCUCCAAAAUCCGGAAUUGCUUCCAUAAUCCAAAUCUGGAACGCAUAGGAGAACCCCUCGAAAAUGUAGCUGUUCUUCUUACCCAACUUCUUCCUAACCUUCUCAAUGGAACUCAGUAAGAAGUCAUAGGAGUGAAGACCCCAAUGGAAGUUCCGAAGCUUCUCAAGAUCCAUCACCAGCUUGAUGUACAUAUGAGGGAUGUUCACCUUCUCAUCUCUCCCCAUCACAACACCCAUUAUCACACACAAGUAGAUCAACCUCAUCCUAUCACGCCGAGACCAGCUGUGAACUUCUUGUAGAUGCACCUUUUUGAUCGACUGCAAGGUGAUCUUACCACCUGUCCUUAGUAGUUCACUCCAAAAUCCGCCAUCACUUUUCCAUUUAACUACGUCACAGCUACUUUCCCGCGAGAUCUUGAGACCUGUCACAGCGUGGUACUCCUGAAGCGAAAAUCGGAGAGGCUUCCUCGCAAAUACAAACCACUUCUCAUGCAUCUUCGAGGUAAUCAGCUGCUUACACAAGAAGCUAUCCACCAAUUUCUCCGAAAACUUGAGGUUAUUUUCCGCAAUCGCCAUGAUAUGUUUGAAAAGAGGAUCUAUCUUGACAUCAUCGUACUCCGCAGGCAUAGCUUUCUUCAGAUCUCUGAUAAGUUCCAUGCGGCAGCAGUUAUUGAUCUUCUUCACCUGAGGUUCUAAACCCUCUGCAUACACUCGCUUAGGUAGCUCUAACUCCAUAUCUAGAAAAGACAAAAAAAUUGAUUCUAGUUAUAGACUGAAAUUGAUUCUAACUUUACAGUGAAGCAGAGAUAAACACAAGAGAAAAGUCAAACAAAUUCUAAAAUCAGAAAGAUAAAAACUAUCAUUCUGUACAGAAAGUAAAUCAAUAAACCAGCCCAUGAUAAACGAAAUCAAUUCACAAUAUAAAGCAGUUAAUCAAAGUAAGCCAAUUCAUAAUCGAAAUCUGUUCAUAUAAUCAGUUAACAACACUUAUAAUCCUAAGAAACGAACAUAAAAAGAGUAACCCAAAUGAAAAACUCAAACACAGAGAAAUGCAAUAAAGAACCGGAUAAAGAAAGAGAGAAAUGCUAACUUCAAACCCGAAUGAAGAAAACAAACCGCUUGACAAAUGAAGUAUCAAGAACAUACCUUAUGUGCUAGCAAUGUCGGAGCAAGAGAGAGGCGGGGAGGUUGAAGACAAACUCGAUUUCACCAACGACCAAGAGAACCUAAUAAAUCACCUUUGUUUGUCGAGAUAGAAAGAGAUCCAGAGAAAAGUAUUAGAACAAGAAGGAGAAAGGAACAAACUUUAAGACUGAAACCUAAUAAAUGAAGAAAAACUAGAUUUCACCAACGACCAAGGAACAAAUGAAGUAUCAAGAACAUACCUUAUGUGCUAGCAAUGUCGGAGAAAGAGAGAGGCGGGGAGGUUGAAGACAAACUCGAUUUCACCAACGACCAAGAGAACCUAAUAAAUCGCCUUUGUUUGUCGAGAUAGAAAGAGAUCCAGACAAAGGGGUUCCACCGGUAGGAAGAGAGAAAGGGCUUCCACCGGUGGCGUAAGCACUCGCCGUUGAUUUCACCGGAGAAGACGCAAUCGCCUUCUUCGUCGCCGUGAAAGAGAGAGGCUACCGUGAUUGUUUUUUUUUUAGGGUUACGGGGAAUUAGAGGCUACCGUGUUUUGUUUUAUUUUUUUUUAAACUCUUUCCCCAUUUAAACAAACUGAUUUCCCUAUUUUUUUUAAAUACAAUUAAUCAUUAAUAAUGGAAUUAAUUUAAGGUUAAUUUUGGUAUUAUGAAGAAAAUUAUACUAUAGGAACAAUUUUAGUUUGAAUUUAUACCAUAGGGACAACCAUUCUAUUUUUUUAUUCUGUUUUGGCAAUUUUCCCUUUUUAUUUUCUGUUUUAUAGUUCUAUUUCCAGAAUCGGGAAUGUUAAGGUUAUAGUGUUGCACUUUCCCUUUAUUCACCCAAAAAAAGCAGCUUUCGUAUGAUUUUUUCCAGCGUUUUUUUUUUGGGACAAAUUUCUAGCUUUCUUAUGAUUGUUCUUUUCUCUUCCGCGGGAAACAAUAAAACUAGUUAAAGAAUAUUUAUAGUUUUGGUUUUAAGAACAAUUCUUGUGUUUGGCAAAAACAUGUUGAUAGAAAAGAGGUUGAGAAUUUUUUUUUUUUUUUUAAGAGAGGUUGAGAAUUUUAUCUUUACAACUGCAAAUUUUUAAUGUUAAAAUAGUUUAAGCAAUCAACUUUAGCGUUGAGAUUCCCCUAUCCAUAAAUUGAUUGAAAGCUAUUGGGCUUUUUGUCCAUUACCUCCUAGAUGCAUUGGUUAGAGACAGAUACAAAACAGAAAGGCUUCCACAAAGUUUUCUGAACUAAUGUAACAACCCCUCUCAUGGAUUCCUAUCUUUUAGAAGCUCGUGAAAUUUGUUGUCUAGUCUUUUAGAUUCCCACAAGAAAAUUCAUGCAUAUUUACCUCACACCAACAAAUAUAUCUGAUUAACUGUAGAAUCAUAUUGAAAAUUUCCAACUUGCCAUUUAUGUCUAAUCUAUUUUAUUAAAACUGAAAUACAAAAUAGAACAAAUAUUAUUUUCAAUAAUUUAUUACAUUUUUUCUUUCUUUAUUUUCACUUAAUUUAAUUACGUUACUAGCUUUUGAUCUGCGCGUCCGCACGGGUUUUUGUUUUUCAUAAUUAUAUAUUUUUAACUUUUGUCAACGCCAUAAACUUAAUUGUUUAUGUUAUUGUUAUAGAUUCAUGUAUUAUUCAGUUUAGAGAUUAGUAUAUCAUGUUCAAUGUGUUUAGCUUCUAUUUAUAAAUUAUGAGAUCGUGUUUUUUUUAUUGUGUUUUAUUCAUUUUAUUUGGUAAAUUAAAUAUUAAAAUAUAAAAUAUAAAAUAUUUGAGUUGUAAGUAUAGUUGUGGGUUUUAUUUAAUUAUGUUUUAACUAUUUUGAUUUAAAGCUGAAUAAAAAGUUCAAAUUUGAUACUGAAUUUUUUUAAAAUAAAUAAAUUAUUUAGUCAGAAACAUAAAUAAAUAAUUAAAGCAAGUUACCAAAAGAUAAACAUAAGGAUUUUUGGAGAUGAAGGCGAAGUCUCGACAGAGAAAGCUCGAGGGAGAGAUGCGAAAUGAGUUUGGUUUGUGUUCAACAGAACUCACUAACAUGGUGUUUCCCAACAUACAAGUUUGUAACCUGAUGAAAACAUAUUGGUUAAGAUUUUGAGUAGUAACUACAGCAAAAAAAAAAACUGAAUUAGCACGUUUCCAGAGCAAGAAAGAAGUAGUUUUGAAAUCCAUCGGCUCAUACAUUCUGAUCCUUAGACCUCCAAAGAGGCAUUGACGAUGUACGCCUCGCAACACUCAAGAAGCUUUCUCUUUGCUAGAAGCCUAGAACCUAAUAGAGGAUUCUGACGUCGAGCCUAUUCUGAUUCCGAUAGAUCCACCUCCAUUAGCGUCGGCGACAACCCGAAUGCAUCGAGACUUUAGAGCUGGCAGCUAGUGAGAUCGAAAAAAUUACAUGAAUUAUCGAUCUCCAUAUGGUUGGUUAUCUUUUUGUUGUUCAUGACUUUUUUGUUUAACAUUCGGAAGACAAUGACGGGAGAAAACUGAUAUAAGAGAUAUGUUUAAGAAAAUGGUAUAAUUAAAACGACAGUUUAAUAGGCCAAUGGCAGAAAAUUUUAAAUAUUAGGGAUACGUCAGGGUUAAGUACAAAAUGUACUUAAGUUUUAAUAGUUUAGAUUAAUUUCUAUUUUUCAAAUAAUUUGACAGCAUUUAUUAUAAAAGUAUAAAACAACUUAUUUUAAAUGCUUUAGUAUAUCUUUUACAUUCUUUUUCACACUUCUUAAAUACUUCAUUAGUUGUAUUCGCCAUAGUAAUUUGAUAUCAUUUACUUUACGUGUUAACCAUAAUAUUCUAAAUAUUUGAAUGAUUGUUUUCAUUCGUAACAAGAAUUCAAACCAGUUAACAAAGAACUUUUUAUUUGUUUACAUAAUCAGUUAACUAUGUGUAUUUAGGUAUCCAUUCGGAUAAUAAUAUGUUCUUUUUGUUAUUGAGUUUUUUUUUAAUAUGGCUCUGCCCGAGUAUUAUAAAAUUUUGGGUGGGGAUUGAGUCCGUUCCUUCCGAGUCUAGAUGAGUUCGAUUCUGAUGUAUAAAAAUUUUAAGUAAACAAAAAAACUAUGUGUUUAGAAAUAUCACUGAACAAUUUAUAAAAAAAAAACGUAAAAACCAACACAUCCGCAUGGAUCAAGCUCUAGUUUAUAUAUAUACCCAAUGGUUAGGUUCAAGCUGAUCGAAGUCAGUUUUCUUGUUUCUGUUUGAAGGUUGCUUUUUGGAAAUUCUGUAACUAAUUUUAUACUCCUUGAUUUGCUCAUGAUUUUGAAUAUUAUAAACCAUAAUACUUUGUAAAGUAGAUGUAAAUAGUGUUUUGACCGAUUCCACUAUUGGUACCACUUAUGGUUUUGGCCUCUUGGGUAAGCGUGUAUGCGCGUGGAUACCUCCAGAUGCACACACACAGGCACACAUCUAAUUUACGUAUAAUCUAUACUAUUAAAAGGGAAGAAUUUUUUAAAAAUUACCUACGAAAGGUUGUUGAACCCUUUCAUUAGUAUUUUGUAGACCAACUAAAUAAUCUCCCUAAAUAUCUCCUAAUAAUUAUCAUAUGUACGACUCUGAAUUUGAAUAUCAUUAUUAUCUUUUUUUAUGCAACCAUCAUAAACAUCCUUAGAAUAUCAUAAUAUACAUCUACGACAGCUACAUAAAUAUUCAUUGAUAGUAGUACUUUUAUUUUUCUACGUAAUAGUUGACAUAUGUCAACAAAAAGAUGUUACCAUCUAUAAUACAUUAGUAUUUCAUGUGAAUUAUAGUGUCUUCAUUCUAAUUUUAAUCGACAGCUAAAUACAUCACCAAAACCAAAAUUAUAUCGAGACAUAAUCAUAUAAAAUUUUAUGUACAUAUAUCUAUUCUAAUAAAAAUGAAUCAUUCUUAAAAUCUACUAUAAAAAGAUUGUUGAACCAAUGUAUAACUAUUCUAUUAUUUUUAUCCUACCACUAAUUAUUCUAACCAUACAAAAUUUUGAAUAUUUCAAAUGGCUCCUAUUAUCUAUACUAUUAAAAGAGAAUGAGUUUUAAAAAUCUACUUAAACAAAGUGUUGCACCAUUUCAUUAAUUUACCUAGACCAACUAAAUAAUCUUUUUAAAUAUCUCCUAAAAGUAUUAGCUCCUAUAUAUAAGAUUCUGAUCUAGAGUAUCAUUAAUAUCCUUAGAAUAUUAUCUAUAAAAAUCUACGAUUAUAUCCUUAUAAUAUCAUUCUUAUUUAGUAUUACCUUUAUUUUCUUAAGUCAUAUGGUUAACAUAUAAUACACUAUUAAUUCACGUGAAUCAUAAUGUCUCUAUUAUAAUCUUAAACGAUGGCCAAUACAUAACCAAAACCAAAAUUAUAUUCAGACAUAUUCAUAUAAUAAUUUAUGUAUUUAGACCUAAUUUAAAAAUUUUAGGUUUGGGUUGGUUCUUUUCCGCUACAAAUCCAUAACUCAAAUAUACGCGAAACACAUGUACGUUUUGGAUACAUAACAGGUCCAGAUCGGUUCGGAUGUCUAAUACCCGAAAAAGACUUGAAAUACCCAAAAUCCCAAAAAUAUUUGAAAAGCCGGAAAACACACAACACAAAGACAUACCCGAAUACUCAAACAAAUACUCAAAAUAUUCAAAUAUCUAAAAAGAUCCAAAAGUUUACCUGAAAUCUGAUCCAAGGAACUAAAAAAUACCUAAUAUUAUAUUUUAAAAUUUUAAAUUGUACCUGAAACCCGAAACUAUAACCGAAAACACAAACCUGAUAACUAAAAUUAUUCAAUUGAAAUUCUCAAAAAUAACUAAUAUACACAAAAUAUUUUGGGUAUUUUUGGAUACAUGAUCGGGUCUUGGGUAAGACAUGGACUCGACAAACACAUGCGGGUCCAAAAAAUAUCCAAUAGUUACUUUGCUCUGGACUCGGACUAAAUCCAAAUCUGUAUUUUUUUAGUUGGUUUCGGUUCAGUUUUUGGGUAUGAGUAAAAUGCUCAAGCAUAAGAGAGAAUUACAUAAAAGUGUGUACAUACAAAAUUUCAAAUAAACUAAUUCAUAAAUUAUAUAAUUUAAAAAAAUAUUCUUCAAUAUAAUACAACUUUUAACAUAAUAAUAUAUAAUAAUUAGAAUAUACUAUUUUAUUUCAAAAAAAUAUAAUCCAAAAUAACCCGCGCUUCGAAAGCACGGGUCAAAAUCUAGUUCUUUAUUAUAACUAUGAAUAUAAAGUUUACGAUUAUUAUUAUCAACAACAAUUAAACUGACAGAAAAAGUUAUGUUGUUAUAUAUGAAAUAUCAAAUUGAAUGAAAAUUAAAGAAUAUAGUCUUUUGUAUCGUUUUCAUUUACAACCCUUCCAUACAUUUUUUGUACUAAUCCACAACAAGUUAUUAAUUUUAUGUUUUAUAGUUUUAAAUUAUAAAUCAAAUACCAAAGCAAAAAAGAUAUGUUGAUUCUAGAAAUGAUUGAAUCUCUCUAUACCAGUAAACACCACACUAAUUAAGUCCGGCAGAAUUCAGUCAUUGUAAGCAUAAGAAAAUUGACUCGUGAUAAGGUCGACAUCUAGGAGUGUUCGGCCUCCACAGUAUAUUAUGCUUUUCAAGAUUAGGAAAAUUAUCUUUAGUAAUAGGUUGGGUUUUGAGGUCAAUAUAAAUACAGAUUUAAUUGGAUUGUAAAUAAUUAUUCACAUAAAUCAGUAUAAAACCUUUAAAUGGGUAUUUUCCUCAAUUAUGUUUUGUGCUUCCUUUUUUUUGUUUUCUUGAUCUUAAUUCGCAUUUCUUCGGAAUAGAUGGUAUCAAUUCAAGGUAGUAACAACCUUAAAGAAUGACCAGAAAAAGUUCUCUUAAGUUUGACUUUCCGCGGUUCAACGGAAAAUGAAACUUUGGUAUCUGGCAACAACCAAUUAAUGAUUUUCUAACACAUGAAGGGAUGAAGAAGACUAUAUUAGAUUCAAAACCGGAACCCAUCGUACAAAUGAUUAAGACUAGAUGAUGUCUCAGCUAUUUGAUUAUGUUGCCAGACGACAUAACAACUUGAGGUGAUGGAUUUCACAAGUUGAAAACAGAUGUAGGAUAAAUUGGAGAAAAUGUACAAGUCAAAAUCUUUCUUUAGCAAGCUAUACCUCAAAUAGAGGUUGUUAGCUUUGAAGAUGUCUGAGAGAGGAGGUUUUGUAAUGCAUGUCAACAAUUUAAAUCAAACCAGAUAUGAUGUGUGUGGAUGUGAAUAUUGCUGACGAAGAUCAAGCCAUGAUCUUGAUGUGUUAUGUACAUUUUCAAUAUGAGACGCUUUGAAAGUUCUAAAUGUCAACAAGAUGACUAAAAAGCUGGAGACAGUUACUGUAGUGUUGCUCUCGCAUCAUGAAAAACAACAAAAUACUGGGAUGAACGACAACUCUCAAGUGACUGAUUAUAGGUCAAUCAUGAUAAAUAAUGAAAGCAGCCGGAAAAGCAUCCAGAUAGUUCUAGUAAGAAUAUAUAAAAGAAAAAUUUCUAGAAGAAGGUGUUAGUAUGAUAUAAGUGUGGUAAAGCUAGUCAUAAAAGAAGACAUUAUCCUGAAAAUAGCAUAAUUCGAAAGAAAGUUUGGGUUCUGCAAACGUGGUUCAGAAGAACGACGACUCAGACGGAUCAGCCGAUUCUGGCAUGCUUGUUGCGACAUCAGGAGAUCACUCAGAUUCUUGGAUAAUGGAUACGAGUGCUUCACUCCACAUGAAUCCUAGUAAAGAGUGGUCUUAGACAUAUACGGCUGGACACAUGUGUUAUGUUUCAUUAGUGGACGACAAAUUUUGUAGUGUCAUAUGAAUUGGACAAGUCAAGUUUCAGAUAUAUGAUUGCACGAUCGAGACUCCGAAUGAUGUCAGACAUAUUCCAGUCAUGAUGAAAAAUCUUAUACCUCGGAGAAUGCUUCAUACAUGGCUUCUAAUUCAAAUUUGAUGACGGAGAAAUAUGGAAGGUAUUCAAUGGAUCUAUGUUGGUGAUGAAAGGGCAUAUGACAUCCGAAAGCAUGUAUCGGUUGAUAGGGAAAGUGACUGUACGUAGACUCACAGCUGCAGUUUUAAGUCGGAGGCACAUCUAUAUGGCAUAUCGUAUGGGCCAAUUCAGAGAGCAUGGGUUGAAAGAACUCAUGAUAAAGGGUCUUUUCAACGGCUUGAAGAGUUUCAAGAUGGAGUUUUACAUAUAUUUUGUGAUGGGAAAACAAUCCAAGGUAUCUUUCAAUAUGGGAAACACACGACAAAAUUUCUCAUAAACUAUGUUCAUUCUUAUGUGUGGGGACCAACUCGAGAACAAUCAUUGGGACUAAUAAGGAAGGUUUGACUAGUAUAUGUUAUAAGGAAAAACUUUGAAGUAUUUGUGGACUUCAAGAUUUGAAAAGCUGAAGUAGGUAAUUAAACAAAGAGAAAAGUGAAGUACUUGAGAUUGGAUAAUGGUACAAAGUAUAUUGAUGGAGGGUUCCAGAGGUUUUGUAAAUAGAAUAUAUUCAAAGGCAUUUUACAGUGCGUAAAACACCUCAGAACAGUAGAGAAAGCAUUAAUGUGUUUGAGGUUGUAUAUUUGAUUACCAAAGAAGUUUUGGAUAGAAGCAGUACACAUGAUGGUCUACGUUAUCAAUAGAUGUGUAAGGAGUUACAUAGAAUAGAAAUUCACAAAAUAAUUAUGGACUGAAAUAGAUAUUUGAUCCAUCAAACUUGUGGAUAUUUGGUAUCAAUCUUGCAUGUUAGUUUUGGGUGACGAAAAGGUCAUAUUUGGAUUCAAAAUCCAAGAAGUGCAUCUUUCUAGGAUUCGAAAAAUGUAUAAAAGGUUUUAAAUUGUGGGAUCAUGAGGCAAGAAGAGCAUGUUAUUCGAUUCAUGGUUUUUGAUGAGCAAUAUAUAGUGUAUGCGAGAUCAGACAGACUGUAUGUGAUCAUUGAGACUUACACAUAUUUUAUAAUAACCCAUCAGAAUUCUGUGGAGAUAAACCAAAAGCAGUUAGUGAUGAGUGGUUUGCGGAAAAUGGCACAAAGAAGAUCAACAUGAAACGAAAGAGAGUAUGGCUGCUAAAAUACCAGAACAUGCAAUACUACCUUUGCCAGUUUCGAUUUUGAAGACAUGAAAAAUUAUGCUUUUAUGGCCAAAACGGUGAUCCAUCUGAUUAUCGGGAAGCUAUUAAGACAAUAAGUAGGAAGGGAUUGAUUCAGUGACGAAAGAGUCAGUAAGUGUAGAGAAGAAUUGGACUUGGGAUCUUAUGGAGUUAACGGAAGGGAAGAAGGAAAUAAGUUGUAAGUGGGUUUUCAAGAAGAAAACAAGGAUGUCUGAAAAAGAAGAAGUAACGUUUAAGGCAAGAUUGGUAUCAAAAGGGUACUUGCAAAGGAUAAUAAUCGAAUACAAUGAGAUAUUCUCAUUGUAGUAAGGAACACUUCCAUACAAGUUGUCCAAGGUUUGGUGGCUAACUGAGAUUUACACCUGGACCAAAUGGAUGUAAAACAAACUUUCUUCGUGAAGAUUUGGUGGACGCGAUAUAUAGAGAGAGAGCAAUAUGAAGGUUUUGUUAAACUUGCAGAAGAUCAUCUUGUGUGUAGAUUGAAAAAAUCUCUCUACAGACUGAAGCAUGUUCUUAAAGAGUUGUACAAACAUUUUGACUCCUAUAUGUUAAAAAUAUGUUAUCAAAGUUACAAGUAUAAUUGCUGCUUUUACAUUAAGUUUUUUUUUACAGUCAUUCUCUCAUAUUCCUACUGUUAUAUAUUUGAUAAUAUGCUUAUUUCUGAGAAACAUUAAAAGCUAUUGAUCGUUUCAAAGGGUUGCUGGAGAUGAACUUGAGAUGAAAGAUCUUGGUGAUAAAAAAAAAAUUCAUAUGAAAAGAAAAUUUAAGAGAUUAUAGUUUUUUUGAAAGAAUUACAUUGAAAAGGUCUUAAAACAUUUUGACAAGUUAAAGGCAAAAUUGGUUUCUACACAUUUGCGAAACACUUCAUACUUUCAGCAAAUUAGUAUACUAAGUCUGCUACGGAGAUCAAAGAUAUGGUACAUGUUCAUAUGCUUGCGCAGUUGGAUGCCUAAUAUUUGCAAUAAAGUGUACUAGACCAGAUCUAGCACAAACUAGUCAAGUUAGUAAAUAUAUGUCAGAUCCUAGUAAAAAUCAUUGAGUGGAUUCUAUGAUGCUUAUAAGGAACAGUGACUAUGGGCUUAUGUUCGGAGGUUAAGAGUGUGGUUUAUUUGUGGAUUCGUGGAUUCAUAUUAUGGUGGAGGUCUUGGCAAUUAACGGUCAACAACAAUAUACAUUUUACCCUUGCAGGAUGACCAAUAUGUUAGAGAUCGGGGCAACAAUCAAUGGUAGUGAUAUUGACUGAGGAAGCUGAAUAUGGCACUUAAAGAAGCAGCUAAGGAAGUAGUUUGGGUACGAGGACUUGUAUCUGAGUUGAGAGUUGAUAGUUGAUUAAGGAAAUGUUCAGUUAGACUAUGAUAGAAUAGUGUGGUCUGUUUGGGCAAGAAUCAAGUUUAUGAUGCAAGGACAAAUCACAUAGCUAUAAGGAUUCACAAAGUAAGGGAGGUAGUAUCUUCUGGAGAAGUCUUAUUAGAAAUGUGCAUACGUCGAAAAUGCAGCUGACAUAUUGACCAAUCCCGUUACAACGGAUAAGUUCAUGCAUUACUUGGAUUUGCACCAUUUUGACGAUGCUAAAAGCAUAAGAAGUUUUCCCCAAAAGAUAGAUUGGAUAAAAAAAUCUUGUAGAUAUUUUUUGUCAAUGUGAUGUUUAUUUAUUUUGGAAGUGGCUUAACUCUUUGUACACCAAUAAAGGCUACAUGCGUAGACGUGAAGAAGAAUUGACUCGUAAUCAAGGUCGAUAUUUGGAGGGUGUCGAGGACGAUGUCCCUGCAGUACGGUAUGAUUUUUUGGAUUAGGAAGAGUGAAAAUUAAUAUCGGAUUUUGAAGCUAGUAUAGAUAUGCAUCUAAGAGAUUGUAAAUCAUUGUGUAAGCUCCAUUUGUCCAGUGGUUUUACUAAGAGUGUGUUAAUAUGAAGAACCUUUAGAUAUAUAUAUAUAUAUAUACUAGGAUUGGCCCGCCCUACUGAAGGGAAGUUAUAAAAAACUAUUUUAUAUGAAUUUAUCUUAAUUUUAUGAAGCAUUUUUUUUAAAAAAUUGUAGAUUGAAAAUGAUAUUAUAAACAAACAAAAAAAUAAAUAGAAUUCAGAGAUCAUGUUAUUAUUUUUAAUAAAUAUUUUUGGACUGAAUUAAAAUGACAGUAACCUACAUUAUUCUAUUAAAAAAACAAUCUCAUAUAAUAGGAUUAAUGAUGUCCUUCAUGUGCAUAUAACUAUGCAAUGAUCAUGCCAGAGAAAUACAUUAAGGAAAAGCUUAUAUUAUCUAAGCCAAAACAAUGUUUUACUAGUGUGAGUAGCUCGGUUUGUGUAUGUUUUAAUUAAAUGUGAUAAUUCUCUCCUAAUGAAAAGCAUACUUCAAUGUCCCUGAUACUCUUAAAAUUUAAAACGGCAACUCGUUAUUAACUGGUUUUGUUCAAAACAUGAAGAAAAAAAAGUAGAAAUAGUAGUGGACUUUACUGGAUCUGCACAGAACUUGGAAUCAAAAUGGUGUAGGUAACAAUAGUUUGUUUGAUUCAGUUUUCCCUAAGAACGUUCACUAAAGCAAGUUCAACCAAUAAACAAAACAUCAGAGAUCAUGGAACCGAACCCUAUCCUCAAAACCACAAACAUAGACCAAACCCUAUCCUCAAUUUUUCCAUGAAAACAACAGAGACAAAAACAUGUCUUCAACUGUCUGAACAAAACACGAACAGAGACGAAACCAUAUCCUCAAAUGUUUUGAUCAAAACUACUGUGGGAACCGAAAUACGCACUGUCGAUUUUCUGUAAAAUAAGGAAAGAUAGAAACCCUAAAUUUCCCAGAGGUCCCGGAUUAUCUGCAUAAACCACGAAAAACGAAAGAGACAAAGAUAACAGAAUAUCGAAAGUAAAUUGCACAGCGGCGUAUUAUUGAUUAAUAAAAGAAAAAGAUUACAUGAUUUGCAUGAGACAAGACGGACAGAGUUUCGCUAGCCAUGUUAAUCUUAGAACAAGAACAAAAAGAGUCUUAAGUAAAAUCGAGCCGCCUAAAUUCUAAGUUUUCCUAAGCUAGCAGAGUUUUCUAGGUCUAAAAAUCUCUCCCCCUCGCCCCUGGCUUCGGCUCCUUAUAUAUAUCCCUCUAGGUCGGUUCCCCUUUCCUUGUUUUGUCUUUGGUUUAGUUUAUCACUUCGUGGAAACAUUCCAUUUUUCUUCUAUCUCUGUGUUUAUCUUCGGAAACUUCUUAUUUAUCCUCCGAACUUGCCAUUUAUCUUCUUCUGGGUAACAAAUGAUAAACCGUCGUAUCGACUGGGCUUGAUUCCGCAUAAAAUCGUAAGUAGGCUCUUUGCCGCGUCAUGGGCCCUUUCGGGCCAUUUUCCGACUUAGGCGUUUUUAAGAUUUUAUAAAAAGAGUGCUUUCGAAAUGAGGUCGUUCCCCAAGAACAUUCAAAUUCCUCGUAUAGCUUAGGCAAUUCUAGGUGUUCAGCUAACUUUUGCCAUUUUAUACGAUCAAUCCGAAUGUUAUCCGAGAAAAUGAGUUCUUGUGGUAAAGUUCCAUUGGUUCCUCCGAUCGAGACGAAACAUGAGCGAGUUUGAUAUAAUCUUGGGAGAGGAGCUUUGCGGAUGGGAUGAUAACAGCACGUUUGUUCCAGAUCGGCGGAUGGCCGAGCUGGUCGGGCGUUCGAUUCAGCUCGGCGGAUGGUCGAGCUGGUCGCGUGUUCGAUCCAAAUCGGUCAUCUGUCGAGCCGGAUGGGAUCAGUUCGUUGAACGGUUGAGCUGGACUGUUUUUUUUAGUUUCGGGGUUCGUCUCUCUUUGAAACUUACACUCGAGAACUUUUGUUGAGAGUAUGUCGAGAAAUUCUCAGUAAGGAAAGGUGAUUUUAGACGAUAUUUCGAGAUAACCGUUUUUGACCCCAACUACCACGAGCAGGACCAAAUGUUUGAUCAAAAGCCAGAAUUCUCAACAAUUAUGGGUAAAUUAUACAAACAGAGAGGAACCCUAUUCGAAACUUUAAGAAAAAAAAGUAUUCGAAGUUUUACAUAUUUGGUUUAUCAUAAUCCUUUUUCCAUUGGUUCAAACUUUCAGACAGAACCCAGAAAGUCGCUAAUCAUAUACUAUAAUAAUAAAAAAAAAUUAGGGUAACACAUAAAGGGGGUAUUACCAGAAGGUAGUAAAGUCAUAGAAGUUGUAAUCCAAGCACAUGAAGAUGAGAGAAGUGUUGGGGUCAAAAACGGUUACGACGGAAUUACCAUCCGAAAAUCCUCAGAGAUCGUAUUUCCGAAAGAGUUAAAGAAGGGAUGUAAUUUUCGUAAAAAUAAACUAUGCGAGGUUAUUUCUACGAAGAAGUAUUCUUUGGGAUUCAAACCAAACGAUCGUCCCGCUCGGUCACUACGUAGCAACCAAGCUCGGGCCAAAGCUCGGUCGCUACGUAGCGACCGAGCAAUCGUCCCGCUCGGUCGCUACGUAGCGACCGAGCUCAGCCAAGCUCGGUCGCUACGUAGCGACCGAGCGAUCGUCCCGCUCGGUCGCUACGUAGCGACCGAGCUCAAGCCAAAGCUCGGUCGCUACGUAGCGACCGAGCGAUCGUCCCGCUCGGUCGCUACGUAGCGACCGAGCGAUCGUCCCGCUCGGUCGCUAUGUAGCGACCGAGCUCGAGCCAAAGCUCGGUCGCUACGUAGCGACCGAGCGAUCGUCCCGCUCGGUCGCUACGUAGCGACCGAGCUCGAGCCAAAGCUCGGUCGCUACGUAGCGACCGAGCGAUCGUCCCGCUCGGUCGCUACGUAGCGACCGAGCUCGAGCCAAAGCUCGGUCGCUACGUAGCGACCGAGCGAUCGUCCCGCUCGGUCGCUACGUAGCGACCGAGCUCAGCCAAGCUCGGUCGCUACGUAGCGACCGAGCGAUAGUCCCGCUCGGUCGCUACGUAGCGACCGAGCGAUCGUCCCGCUCGGUCGCUACGUAGCGACCGAGCUCAACCAAGCUCGGUCGCUACGUAGCGACCGAGCGAUCGUCCCGCUCGGUCGCUACGUAGCGACCGAGCUCAAGCCGAAGCUCGGUCGCUACGUAGCGACCGAGCACUCGUUUCGCUCGGUCGCUACAUAGCGACCGGGCUCGAGCCAAAGUUCGGUCGCUGUGUAGCGAUUGAACCUUUCCGAACAUCGAUACGACACCAGUCCUUGCAUUCUCGUCAAACCUUCGAAUGCUAUCUCCCGAAGACCGUAGCAAGCUCAGUCCAUGUUUCCCGCUAUUCUAAUUCAUCGAUCAGACUUCGCGGAUUAGAAACCGCGGAAAACUCGUAGUAAACGUGUCGAGUCGGAAGACGGCCCAAAGGGACCUAAAACACGACUCGAGGCCCAUCCUACGAUUUUUCCUAACCAAAAGCCCGUGAACCAUGCUGUGGUUCACGCUUGGCCCACGAGGAAGGAUAAAUGUCAAGUUUCCGCGGAUAAAUACGGAAGUUUUAAAGAUAAUUGUGAAGAUCGGGAAAAAUAGAAUAUCUCCAUUUUUAUGCUAUGACGGCUUAAGGGCAGAACAGUAAAAGCGUAAACCGACCUUGGAGCUAGUAUAUAAGGAGUCCUAGGCGAGGAGCAGAAGGAGAACUUUUUUCAGAGCAAACUUAGAACUUAGAGCAAUUUAGGCAAUUUUCUGUUUUUGUUAUUUCGAGCUGCGACUCAAUUAGGUUUAGCCGUCUUAGGGUUGCUAGAACUAGGAAUCUCGCCGACAGCUCUCGAGCCCAGGCUUAUACCUUGUUGUAACGCUCAUACGCAGAUUCGGAAUAAAGAUCUACUUUGCUCCCUUUUCGAUUUCUUAUUUUUAUCGUUGUUAUUCUCGUGUUCUGAUUGCUUGACGUGUGGUAAUUAACAGAUAUCCAGGUCCUCUGGGAAAUUAGGGUUUCUUAGUUUCCUUAUUUAAACGGAAAUCGACAGUGCGAAUUUCGGUUCCCACAGUUUGGCGCUAGAAGGAGGGGGACUUACGGAUCAAUCUAACCCGCAAAAGCCACACACAGUCAGACAUGUCAACCAACGACGCGGAUAACGUGCAAACUCCCCUUAACGGAGGCAGCGGCACCGAUCUCCACACUCCGGUAGCGGACGUAUCUGCGGCCAACGCGCAAGCCAACGCCGCGACUCUCGAGGAGUUUAAAAAGAUGUUCGCCACCUAUGAAAAAAGGUCGGAAGAACAGGAUAAGCUCGUGAAUACCUUGACCAAACAGGUUGAAACCUUAACGGCAAGGACCCAAGCUAUCCGUCCCCGCGGAACCACCAAAAUCCGCGGGAAGAGGCUCGAUUUCGCCACCCCACUCGAUAGAGCAGGAGUCGCGCGGGAACGACCUUCCGGUCAAAACCCCAGCGAGAAGUCUCCCAUCGAGAAGGGGAACUCUGAAAGUCUUCCGCUCCCUGCAAAGGACUCGGAGGAUAACGAAGCCGAACACAUUGACCUGGACCCUAGCGAUGUCUCCAACGACAGCGACGAGGAUGGCGACAGACAUCCAAGAAGGACCAGAAGCCGAUCCGCUCGGGAAGGCUCCCCGUUCGAAAAACCAAUGACGGAAGAAGAAGAAGUCGCCUAUUGGAACGAACAAGAGGAGCUGGCCGAAAGGCAAACCGAGCUCACUCGCAGUAAGCGCCGACAGGCUCGGAAAUCCUCUGACGAGACAUCGGAUAUCCGCGAUCUUCGCGACUACAUCACCAAGACUGCGGCAGAAGUGAGAGCCGUAAAGUCUCAAAUCCAUCAUGCUACUAGUGCCGCCCCCGAGAUCGAUCGACUGCUGGAAGGAGCUCGAAAGACCCCCUUUACCAAUCGCAUUUCGGACAUGAGGGUGUCCGAUCCGGGAAAGAUCAAAGUACCGAAGUACGAUGGUACGGCCGAUCCGAAAGCGCACCUUCAGGCUUUCCACAUCGCGAUGGGAAGAGCAAGACUGAAGGACGGCGAAAAGGAUGCCGGCUAUUGCCGCCUGUUCGUCGAAAAUCUUGAAGGAGCAGCGCUCGAAUGGUUCGCACGCCUUCGUCGCAACACCAUCGGGAGUUUUCGACAGCUCGCAUCGGAAUUCCUCAAACAGUACUCUGUAUUCAUAGACAGGGAAACCUCCGAUGUUGAUCUCUGGAGUCUCUCCCAGAGGGAAGACGAACCCCUCCGCGAGUUUAUCAGCCGAUUCAAAUUGAUAAUGUCCAGGGUCAGCGGGAUAAGCGACAAAGUGGCCAUCGACGCGCUGAGAAAGACGCUCUGGUACAAGUCGAAAUUCAGAAAAUGGAUAACUCUCGACAAACCGCGAACGAUCCAGGACGCCCUCCACAAAGCAACAGACUAUAUCAUAGUGGAGGAAGAAACUAAAGUCUUAUCGCAAAAACAUAAGCCGGCAAGACCAUCCUCGAAAGACGCAGAUCCGAAGGGGAAAAAGAAGAACUCUCGUAACGACAAGUACGUCCAUCACGAGGGGGAAGAUCUCCAAGGGGCGCAUAACUAUGCGAUCAGUUCGGAUCAAGGCCGGACCACGGGCAACACAUGGACUCGCAAUCAAGGGUAUGACGAGAACACCUUCUGCGAGUUCCACCAAUCCCGAGGACACUCCACGACUAAUUGCAAAGUCUUAGGAGCAAGACUGGCCGCGAAGCUGCUCGCUGGAGAGCUUUCGGAAGUAACUAGCGUCAAGGAUCUCAUCCUCGAUUCUGAUCGGCCUCCAAAGACGGACAGAAAUCCGCCCGCCGAAAAAUCUCCUCAACGAAACCAACCUGGGGAUAAACGCGGUAGGAGGCCGGAUGACAAAGGGAACGAUAACAAUCGUCGCAGAGUCAAUAUGAUCAUCGGAGGAUCUCAAUACUGCGGCGAUACCGUGUCAGCCAUCAAGGCUUACCAACGGAAGGCAGAAUCAAGCGCAAAAUGGCCUACAUGGUCUCCUCCUCGAGACGGCCAAAAUUGCUCGAUCACCUUCACGAGGAAGAAGCCGGCGGUAUCGACCAACCUCACUGCGACCCUCUCGUCAUAGAUCUCGUCAUACGAGAUUUAGAAGUCGGAAGGGUACUCGUCGAUACGGGAAGCACGGUCAACGUAAUCUUCCGCGACACUCUCAAUCGGAUGAGUAUCGAACUCGGAGAGGUAAUUCCGACGCCAAAACCACUCACGGGUUUUUCAGGCGAAGUGUCGAUGACUCUCGGGUCAAUCCAAUUGCCAGUCAUGGCCAAGGAGAUCACGAAAAUCGUCGAAUUCGCGGUAGUCGACCAUCCCGCUAUCUACAACGUGAUCAUGGGAACCCCAUGGCUCAACGCCAUGCAGGCAGUUCCGUCAACUUACCACCUGGGUCUCAAGUUCCCAACGCCGAGCGGAGUCGCGGCCAUCUGGGGAUGCCAAAAACAGUCGCGACUAUGCUUCCUCGCGGAGCAUAAGUUAAGGCAAAUCACGGCUUCUGCAAACGGCAAACGCGCGAAGAUAGAUCGAUCUUCGGCCAAAAGCACCCCGCACAAGGACGAAGUAAAAUCGUCUGUCAACGCAAACGCAUCGGACGUCGAAGCUCGACAUAAAUCCGAAGCCCACGCGACAACUCAACCGGAACAUCCGGAAAAUAGCGUCGACCCAGCCACGAUCGACACGGUCAAGGCGGACAUCGCGACACCAACCGCCGAGUAAGAACACUCGCGGCAUGAAACAGAACUACGAGAUGGCUUGAUCCUCGAAAGGGGUACGUAGGCAGCUUGUCAAAAGACGAGUUCAGCUAUCCCCCUCUCUAAAAAGGGGGGGGAGUGGGUGCGUAUACUCGUAUACUCCCACAAUCGCCAUUAUUGUAAUCGAGUUUUUAGAAACAUAAAAAUUUUUACAAUAUACACUGUCUUUUUAUCGAAAACGCUUACGCUUCAGUUUACGCUCGUCUGCGGCCUCAUCCGGCCCAAAAAUCGUAAAGAUUAUCACCUUUCAAACACGCAUAAUCCUCGAAAAUAACUGCGAGACGUCGCAAAAAGUUAAAAUUCGAGGACAAUGCUAAACAAAUUGUCCGAACGCGACCACUAAAAACCUUACACCCCGUUCGUCGAUUGGCCCCGACGAACACGCCAGCCGUCUUAAACAAACGCAAUCCGAUCACUCUUUUGAUCUUUAAAAACGUCCAGCACAAGGACAAAAGCGCGCUACAACAAAAAUCCGAAAUUUUGGUUUAGCACUUCCAGAUUCUGAGAAGAUGCUCGAUUCGUACCAUACAAGUCAUAUAAGCCGAGAACAUAUCGCGGACUUUAAACCGGUGCGAGUCAGGAAGAAAUCGCAACAGGAAAAACGAUAGCCGGCUAGUCACCGCACAAACCUUAACCGAAAGUAAACCUAGGUCUUGCCCUAAACCCAACGCUCUGGUCUCAAACAUCUCAAGGCAUGAUAUCUAAAAGAUACGAGAUCAUAAACCAUGCCUCUCCGUUCGUAUCUCAAUGUUCUCGAAAAUCGUAAAGACAGAUAAAUUUUUACGAAAAUCACGAACGAACCAACAGAUCGAACGUCUAAUUAGAACUACAUACGAGACGACAACUCGUAUUUACUUCAACCCUACUCAGGAAAAACUCGAAACGAAACAUUUAUCAUAUAAAUAAACCGCGUAAAGCGGCAAGGGAUUCAAAGCCACCAACGGCCAGUCCCGGAAAUACAAAUACGGCCAUCGUGGCCUAAACGAAAUCCAAAUUCAAAGGGCCACAUUCGAACGAAAACAAGGAUAACUGAUCCAUCCCUCAUAAUCCAAAGUCGAAGUCCCCGGACAACGAAGCACCAAACGCAUCCGCAGGACGAUCCACUUCCUCGCCACCGCCGUGAAAAUCGAUCGGGACCUCCUCGGUAUCAGGAGAAACCGGGAUGGAAUCCCAGAACCCUUGAAUCCUCUCGUCGAUCGGAGGGAUAAGCGCCUCAGCGUGGGCACGGUCACUCAUCCCACUCUUCAUCAAGCUCAUUUCUUCUUCAAACACAUAGUCGUCGGCUUGCGUCCUCCAAAGACUUCCGACCGAACCACGGCACUCGCGAAAGUCGCCCACCGAGGUAAAGGCAUUCUUAAGAUUCCCGUACUCAACCUGGAACUGAGAUGCGCGAGUCUUCAUCACCUCGACGAUCUCUCUUUUGCCUUUCCUCUCCGAUCUGCGAACAGCCCGCGCAUGAUCACGAGUAAGCUGUGCCUCCCGCUCCAGCAUCUCGCCUUGCACACGGGCGAGAUCCCGCUCCGCUUUCUCCGCCUUGAAACGGUAGACCAUGGCUUCUCUAUGACCCGCCUCGAUGGCCGAGCCCAGCAAGCUCAGGCCCUGCAAAAUCAAUAGGCGUGUUACAAAUCCAUACAUAGGACAAUCACUUAAAAAUUCCCAAGAAAAAACUAACCCCAUUGAUGAUGCGAGAUCCUUCCGCAACGACUCUCGGCCUCGCCGAUUCUUUCGUAGGAGGAGGAGCAUCGAAGCCCGAUGGCAGCCCAGCAAAGAAAUCAUCGAAGUCCAGAAUGGGGGCUUCGCUCGAACCGCUUCCGUCGCCGUAAGCAAGGUUCGGAUCCCAUCCUGGAAGCAUAGAGUCAUCCAUCGAAAACUCUAUGUCGCCGAGAUCGACGUCUUUUCCCUUCCAAGAGCUCGACUCCGGCGCGGCUGUCGGAACUUCAACGGGACUCUGGCCGUCGGGUUCGGAGUCGCUUCCCGUAUCCGCGUCCAAAGCUGGACCAGGUUGCACAAAUUUCAGCGCCUUCCGAACCCUUCUCGGCGUGAAAGAAGUCCAGAAGAAGGGACCAUUCCUGAGAAGAUCCCUCACCGCGAUAAUAUCCUCAGGGAACGGAGCAAGAGGGUUGAUGAAGGGACAAUUGUUCGGCAACCUCCGGAACAGUGGAAUGCAACUCUCUUCGACGGACGCAGCGUCCAAACGAACAAAGAAAAAGAACUUCUUCCACGAGUUGAAGUUCGAAAUGAACUUCUUAACCACCGACAUAAAUUUCCGAGGGACAAACCUAUGCUUAUCCGUAUCCUUGACAAGUUGAAGCCUCAAAAGCGCUUCAUAAUGAUCGACGGAAAGGGAAAGGCCAUGCUCAUAGCUUAAGAUCAAGAUCCCAAUAAGGUGCUGAAUGGCAAGGGGUGUCAACUGACUUAUCGCGACUUCAAAACGGUCCAACACUCGGACGAGAAUUUCGGGUAUGGGGAACCAGAGGCGACAACGCACUAUGAACACCUCAUAACAAGUAAAGUAACCCUCCGGGGGGUUGUUAGCACACUCCCCGCGGCAGGGAACCCGGAACUCCACAACAUCCGGGAUGCGGUAGAACGACCGCAUCGUCGCGAGAAACUCGUCAGUGGUCCUACUUGCGUCCUUUCCCUCGACUCCACGAUGGACCAGGACCGGGAAUGGCUUCUCCUUGGGAGGGAUCAACGAGCCGUAAUGAGCAACCCACCAUGCCUCGUUCUCGGCAGGAUGCACCGAGUGAGGCACGAACUCCGUCUUCGGAACGACGAGCUCUUCGUAAGGACUCGCGGACGAAGACCCUUUUUUCGCAAUCUUUUUCUUGCUCGACAUCUUUACACUUCUCUUAAGAGAAUAGAGGAAAAGGGUGGAGAGAAAGAUAGAAAGUUUUUGAAAGAUCUUAGAGAAAAACAAGAAAGUGAAAAAAUUAUGGAACAAGUUACCUCUCUUCUUAUAAGACAUGAGGAUUUACUAUUCAAGCUCGGACUUUCGCAUAUUAAUUCCAUCCAUCACGCCUAACUUGCCAAACAUGCCUAACCGCACGCUAGGAUCCCCCCAUGCAUGAUCCUAACGGGCUGGGGGGCUAACUGUUGGGGUCAAAAACGGUUACGACGGAAUUACCAUCCGAAAAUCCUCAGAGAUCGUAUUUCCGAAAGAGUUAAAGAAGGGAUGUAAUUUUCGUAAAAAUAAACUAUGCGAGGUUAUUUCUACGAAGAAGUAUUCUUUGGGAUUCAAACCAAACGAUCGUCCCGCUCGGUCACUACGUAGCAACCAAGCUCGGGCCAAAGCUCGGUCGCUACGUAGCGACCGAGCAAUCGUCCCGCUCGGUCGCUACGUAGCGACCGAGCUCAGCCAAGCUCGGUCGCUACGUAGCGACCGAGCGAUCGUCCCGCUCGGUCGCUACGUAGCGACCGAGCUCAAGCCAAAGCUUGGUCGCUACGUAGCGACCGAGCGAUCGUCCCGCUCGGUCGCUACGUAGCGACCGAGCGAUCGUCCCGCUCGGUCGCUACGUAGCGACCGAGCUCGAGCCAAAGCUCGGUCGCUACGUAGCGACCGAGCGAUCGUCCCGCUCGGUCGCUACGUAGCGACCGAGCUCAGCCAAGCUCGGUCGCUACGUAGCGACCGAGCGAUAGUCCCGCUCGGUCGCUACGUAGCGACCGAGCUCGAGCCAAAGCUCGGUCGCUACGUAGCGACCGAGCGAUCGUCCCGCUCGGUCGCUACGUAGCGACCGAGCUCAGCCAAGCUCGGUCGCUACGUAGCGACCGAGCGAUCGUCCCGCUCGGUCGCUACGUAGCGACCGAGCUCAAGCCGAAGCUCGGUCGCUACGUAGCGACCGAGCACUCGUUUCGCUCGGUCGCUACAUAGCGACCGGGCUCGAGCCAAAGUUCGGUCGCUGUGUAGCGAUUGAAUCUUUCCGAACAUCGAUACGACACCAGUCUUUGCAUUCUCGUCAAACCUUCGAAUGCUAUCUCCCGAAGACCGUAGCAAGCUCAGUCUAUGUUUCCCGCUAUUCUAAUUCAUCGAUCAAACUUCGCGGAUUAGAAACCGCGGAAAACUCGUAGUAAACGUGUCGAGUCGGAAGACGGCCCAAAGGGACCUAAAACACGACUCGAGGCCCAUCCUACGAUUUUUCCUAACCAAAAGCCCGUGAACCACAUCAUGGUUCGCGCUUGGCCCGCGAGGAAGGAUAAAUGUCAAGUUUCCGCGGAUAAAUACGGAAGUUUUGAAGAUAAUUGUGAAGAUCGGGAAAAAUGGAAUAUUUCCAUUUUUAUGCUAUGACGGCUUAAGGGCAGAAGAGUAAAAGCGUAAACCGACCUUGGAGCUAGUAUAUAAGGAGUCCUAGGCGAGGAGCAGAAGGAGAACUUUUUUCAGAGCAAACUUAGCACUUAGAGCGAUUUAGGCAACUUUCCGUUUUUGUUAUUUCGAGCUGCGACUCAAUUAGGUUUAGCCGUCUUAGGGUUGCUAGAACUAGGAAUCUCGCCGACAGCUCUCGAGCCCAGGCUUAUACCUUGUUGUAACGCUCAUACGCAGAUUCGGAAUAAGAUCUAUUUUGCUCUCUUUUCGAUUUCUUAUUCUUAUCGUUGUUAUUCUCGUGUUCUGAUUGCUUGACGUGUGGUAAUUAACAGAUAUCUGGGUCCUCUGGGAAACUAGGGUUUUCUUAGUUUCCUUAUUUAAACGGAAAUCGACAGUGCGAAUUUCGGUUCCCACAAGAAGCGGAGGAGAAUAUGAUUUGGCCGAAACAAAGAGUGAAACUGGUGCUGGUGCCGAACGAUCCCAGCACAUGCUCCAUCCACCUACUCUUUUUCUCUUCAUUGUCCCAACAUGAAAAAUGCAUCAAUUCUAUUAUUUUCCUAGAAAAAGAGAGAGGAAAAGUUUCUUCAUCCAUACAUGUGACGAAGCCAACUGUACUUUGUUUCCUCUUUCUUUCAAGCCAUUUUCUCCUCUUUGCCUGUAUAAGUAAAGAUAUAGCAAACAUUAAACAAUCAAUCACUCAUCUCCUUAUAACUUAUUACAAAACCAAAGCAAGAAGCUUACAUAACAUGAAUGCAUAACUGAAACAAAGAUUCGAGCUUUAGAGGAUCUAACCAGCAACUAUUACCGAAUCCCACUCGGUUUUGCCUUUUUUUUUGAAUUGUUUCAGAUCCCAAUUUCAAUUAACUCACUUAGAUCUUGAAACAAUGAUUUUCGUCGUGGUGAUUGGCAAAUCAGUCUCGUCUCUACCUUUAUCAGACACGGAGGCGCAUUUCGUUGGAGAUUUAGUCGGCACCUCCUUUACAUAAUCAGAAGCAGGCUUCAGAAUCUCCACAGUGGUUGCAGAAACAGUACCAGAAGUGGGUGUUGACAUACUAUUUUCAGAGAAAUCUCAACAGAUGGGGAAUAGAGAGAGAGAGAUCGCUUCCAUAAAACUGCAAAGUAGAGAGAGCGUUUGGUCUGAUCGAGAAGAAGCUUUUCAAAUCGAAACAAAGCAUUGAAGACGACAUCGUGGGGGGGGGGGGGAGUGAGUCAAUGUGAUUAAAGACAAAGCCAUGACGCGGACCAUUACAGGUCGUGAGAUGAAGCGCAAACGUCACCGCCUAGCCACCGCACGGAGAGGAGAGACGAACGUCUUUUCUUCGCUUCAGCCGUAUUAGGGUUAGAGGCGACAUUCAUCUCAGCGGGCCGGAUAAAUCUUCCAGUUUCAAAGCCCAAUCCUACAAAACGCGAUCGAAGUCCAAGACGGCGUAGUUAAAUGAUACGAUGUGUUUUGGCUCAGAUUGGCACGUGUCGACUCCUCAAUAAUCGACUUUCUGACAUAGAUCCCAUGUGGCAUCAUGUGAGUGAAGAAAACAUCUUUUUAUAUGUAUAUAUAUAUAGAUAUAGAUAUCAAAAGCUUUGGUUAAUUUGUAGUAGUAUUCGUUUUGGGUUCUUAAACUAUUGUGAAGAUUUCUUAAUUAAUCUAAUUGGUUCUCUUCCAAUAUUUCCAAUUUAUUAUUAUUAUUAACUCUAAAUGCUACAAUGUUAUAGAAAGAUUUAUAUUCUAACACCUCUAUUUUUAUUCUAAACUAAAUAUUUCUUUUAUUUAUAUUUAGAAACAUAUACUAAAAUAUUUUUUACUUAUUUUAAAAAGGCUGGAAACAGUUUUUAAGUGAUUUUCAUUUUCUGAUUUGUUUUAAAGUAAUUUUACAUUUUGAAUGAAAAAAUAUGAAAUAUGAAACAUUUUCUUAAUUAAUUUAUAACAAAUAAUUAAUUUGUGAAUUUUGAUAAUUAUAAUCAAUAAUGUGCAACUUUCAAAUUUGUAUGCAUUAUGUCAAAAGAGUACCAAAUUGUAGACAUUAUACAUAAAUAACAAAUAUUUGUAGCCAGCUUAUACAAGUCACAAUUAUUUUUUCUCUGAUUCUCAGAAUGGGCAAAUGGCAUCGUGGUUCUUGUCAUGGUCAUGGCGGUGUCACAUUUUGGCCUUUCUCACUUCCUACUGUUGAUGGUGGGUCACUUGACUUACUAUCGGUAGUGUUGUUUGGCUGAUGUUUAAGUGCAGGUUGGUAGAGUUGUCUUCGGUCAGUGUGUGGCAAUAAGGUCAGCCCGUGCUUCGGCAGCAAAGGUGUAUGCUUCGUCAGGUUUCUGGCCACUUAUGGUUAGUGUCCUCUACUGAUAUCUCUUUUGUCGUCUUGUUCUUACGAGUCGGUGAAGAUUACAGGUUUGACAAAUUCGUCGGGAUCCGGUACUCUGGAAAUGGGAAUUUCUAGAAUUUAAGACAACGAGGUGAAUCUCCAGUUCACGUGGCUUUUUUCAAUUGCUGAGAACGGUAACCGAUGCUCGAUUUGGAUCCAGACUAGUGGAACGUGUCAGAGUGAUGAGUCGAAUGAAACUAGUUUAGAAAAAUUAAGUUUCUUGCGGUUUUAUUCGAAUCAGUUUGUAAUUGGAACCUAUUCCUGAUUUGGGUUGAAUAUUUAAUAUUUAAUUUAUAUAAAAAAAAAUAUUUGCGGUAGUCCAAUGGAUUUUCAUUCCUCAUUAGACACGAGACAAAAAUGAACUGAGACAAUGUAAAAUGUAUUGAUGAAAACAAUGAAAGCGUUCCAUAAACAGUUGUUUAUUGCUGAACAAGUCAGAACUUUUUCUCUAUGGUUAACAGUUAUAACUUAAAAGUAAUGCAGAUUACAACAUUAAACAAAAGACAUUUAUAUGUUCUGUGGACACAUUUUUGUUUGUUUUGUAUUAUGCUGAAAAAUAAAAAUAAAAUUAUUUUCAAUAAAAUAAUUGUAGUGGGCUUUUUUUAACUCUAGUGUAUCCACAAUGCCACCAAUAUACAAAUAUAAAUGCAAUAAGCCUCUCUCUGUCAAUAAAAGGGCAAGAGGAGAGCAAAGUACCAAACUUUUUCUCUCCGGGUUUCCUCUCAAUAAUUUCACCUUUGGGCUCUGCUUUCUUAUGUUCACCUUUUCCUACUCUUCUCUGAAAUCCCCAUUUCCUAUUUCCAAAACUUUCUCUAACAAAAGUGCAAGAACACAAAAUGUAUGCAGAUUCAGGGUUAAUGCUCCGUUACAUGCAAAACUGUUCUCCAGAUAUUCAACAAUUUGAAGACCUCUUCAAACCAUACAAGCUCUCAGAUGCUGAAAUGGUUAGAAUUUUGAUUCUCCAUUUUUCAUUUUCAUUUUCACUUGUGAUGACUAUUCUUUUUAUUUAGUUGAUUUAUAGAUUUUGUGUUUUCCUCAGAAGAUUCUGAUAGGGGUUGGUCUUUCUGAUGUAAUCAACUUUCUUUCUUCCUCUCUUUUGAAGUGUUAAGAAGAUGAGAAAAGCAAAUUUGUCUACUAGUGAAGUUGAAUUUUCCAGAGACAAAAAAAAAAAGAAAAAAAACUUGUGGUGUGAACUGUUAAGUGGCUGUGUGGCCACUUGAUGAGAUAUUUUUGUUCUGCUGACCUGACCACAAGUGUGUUUUGGCUACUGCUGAGAAAGUUGAGUAGGAAAAAAAUUAGGUCUUUUUUUUUGUUCUUUGGACAGAAGAAAAAAGAGAAUCUUUUUGAUAAAACAGAAUCUUCUUGUGCAGCAAAAAGCCAGUUCUUUCUUUUGCCCGUGAGAGAUAAAAAAAAGAGUAGUUUUCUCGGGAAAACCAAAGAAACCUUUUUUUUAUGAGAGUUGUUUCUUUUUCACAUGAGAUUCCACAAUAUCUGGAACAUGAGAGAUUCCGUGUUCCUCAAGACUUGUUCUUUAACCCUUAACAAAGAAAUGGGUUUGUUUCAUUGGCUCCACUAAAAGAUUCGCUAUACCCUUUCCACUUACAAAAAGAUCCGUACUUUACUGUCUCAAUGUCUCGAACUAUGUUCUGUUCUGUUUUGUGUUGUGGUCUUUGAUUCUGAUGUUACUUUGUGAUUGUGACUUUCUCCAGAACAACGCUUUUGCUGAGUCAUCAAACAUGCAUGAGUAUGAUAUCGGAGAAGAAGGAGAUCUGUUCAAAGCUCCUGAUCCAAUUCUUGAAGAACCAAUCUUAGCCGUUGAUCCACUCUCAGCUGCCUUAACCAUGAUCUCUUGCGGUGAAGACUCUUCCCAAGGGCUUUGUGAGCUUCCUGAUCUCGAUCUCGGGUCGUUACAAAGUGGUCAGCAGCUUCUUGAUAAAGCUUUCUAUGAAUGUGAGCAAGAUCUCAUGAUGAAGUCAGCUAUGGAGUCUACGUUCUCUGAUGUGCUAGACAUCAAGAACAUCUCUGAUGUGUUAGAUGUCAAGAACGUCUCUGAUGUGUUAGACAUCAAGAACGUCUCUGUGGUGACGGCCAUAGAUGAGAAGCAGGAUAUGCAGAAGAGCGUAAGCUCGGGGAAUUUGAGCUCUAUGGAUUGGUCACAGGCACAGCAGGAGGCUGUUGUGAUUCAGAACUUUCCUGAUUUUGCUCAGCUAGAUUUUAGUUCUGAUUAUGGGAUGCGAAGAGCCUUUAGUGAAGGUGACAUACAGGUUCGAACGAUUUUGUGAACCUUUAUUUUGUUAAAUCUUUUUUAGAGUCUAGAUGAAUAUGAAUAGUCUGAUUUGUGUGUAUCUUCUUGAUGAGCAGAAACUCGGGACUGGUCUUGUUCCAUCUCCAUUAGAUAGGAUUAUUGUGAGUUGUACUUCGGAGGAUCGACGUGAGAAGCUAUCCCGAUACAGGAACAAGAAGAGCAGGCGAAAUUUCGGGCGCAAAAUCAAGGUAUACAAAACAAAACACUUGAACAUCCUAUAAAAAAUAAACGUUGUAAGGACCUCUAACUAAUUGAGAACUAAUCUUUUUUUUUAACUCAAAGUAACUUGUUUUGUUUGGUGUCAGUAUGCUUGUAGGAAAGCUCUUGCGGAUAGCCAACCAAGGAUCCGAGGAAGGUUUGCGAAAACAGAGGAGAGGAAGUAGAAUGGUUUCAAAUAAAAUGGUGAUGGGAGUGAGCAAAAGGAAGAAUAAGGAGACAAGAUCCAUCUCCUUAGAAACUAGUUUUGUUUUGUUAUAUAAAUAUAUGUAUAAUCAUAAAAUGUUAUAUAAGCAUUCAAAUUAGUUUUUGUUUCUUUUUUUUAAGGAGUUCUCUAAAUAAGUUUUUUAAGGAAAGAAAAUUGUAGCUACAUAAGUCAUGUAAUGGUGGUUAGAUGUGUAGAUAUAUAUGUAUCUAUAAUUCUAUAUAACUAGGUAAUAACCCGCGCCUUGCGCGGGAUGUGAUUAUUAGUUUCGAUAUUUUUAAUAAAAAGACAUUAAAUCUGUUUAAUCUGGAUAUUGGUUCGGUUUUAAGUUUUUUUUUUUUGGUUUUUAAUCUUCUAAAAUAUAACUAUUAUUUUAAAUUAAUAUUCAUUUUAGUUUAUUCGGUUAAAAUGUUUGAUUUUUUUUUGUUUUUUUCCGGUAAAAACCAAAAAUUAAUAUUAUUUGUUUAUUUUCAUGUUAUGCAUUUUAGAUAGUUGUCAUGUCGAACCAAUAGUUUCAUAUUAUAGUUUCUAAACAGAUAAUAUUUAAUGAAAAAGAAAAGAAAAUUAUUAAGACAAAUCAUUUUACUACAAUUUGUCGGUAGUGAAAGAAGCAAUAAGAAAAAAUAUAUCAAUUUUCAAAAGAAUUAGAUAUUUCAGUUGUUGUAUGUGUAUGUAAAAAGUAUAUAAAAAUAGUUGACAAAUAUAUAAAGAUAUUGUUAAUUAAUAUGAAAUGACAUUUUUGUUCAAAAUAAUAAAAUUAAAUUUAAAUUAAAAUAAAAAAGGCUUUGACAUUAGUCAUUUUUCAUAUAAAGAAAUAAAAUUGUAUCCGUAAAUAGGGGUGAGGCCAAAUCGAAUAUAUAGGUAUUUGGAAGCAUUCGUGCCGAUUCAAUCUUUAGCCACCUAGAUAUUCGGUGAUUCGGAUAUCUGAAAUGUUUUAGAAUUUUAAAGAAUAUCGAUUUGAUCCGUAAAUAAAAUAAAAUUUUAAAAUAAUUGAAAAUUUUAAUAAUAACAUUUUAUUACGAAAAUAAAACAUUAUUUAACUUUUUAAAUUUUAGUACCUAAUAUAUUUAAUUUAAUUCAUAACAUAUAUAUAUAUAUAUAUAUAUGUAUAUAUAUAUAAUUCUUUACAUAUGUGUAUAUAUAUUCAUAUAGCAGAUCAAAUUAGAUAUAUGUUCCUAAAAUUAUUGGUAUUUGUGAUUUGCUUUUUGUUUGGUCAUUGAAUUUUAGUAUUUGAUUUGUUUCGUAGAGUUACAGAUAUCUAAAUUAUUUGGUUCAAAUCAAAACGGAUAACGAUUCGAAUCAAAAUUUAUGAAUAUUUUGCUCAACUUUAUCUGUAAACAAUAAAAGUAAUAUAUAUAUAUAUAUAUAUAUAUAUAUAUAUAUAUAGUUUGGCUUUUGAUUCGUUAUCUAUUUUUAUUUGAACCGAAAAAUCCAGAGUUUUAUUGGAACAAUGUAUGUGAGUUUUAUAUUUAAAAACGCAAAAUACAUAGUGUGAACACAUUUAUGAAUAUAGUGUGAACGCGUUAGCAUAUUUAUUAUCAAAUCACUGUGAAUCUGACACGUGUCCGUUAUAGUGUGAAUGUAUUUAUUACAAUGUUUCUCUUUUAAUAUAUAAGGGAUUAUUUAUUAGAUAAUGUGAAGUAAAAAGUAAUUUGAUGUUUCUUUGCUUGUAAGCACCGCAACAAGUUAGAUUUAACUCCUUUCUUAUUUACAGGUUUCAGAGAAUAUGCAUUUUCAUUCUAUUCGUUUUUAUCAUAAAGGAACACCAAUCAUAUAGUUUUUUUUUGCCAUCUCACCAAUCAGAUAGUUAUUGAAUUUAGUUUUAGAGAAAUUUUGUUCUAGUUCGUUUAAUAAUCCUCUUGCAAAUUAGAAUUCGAUUUGAACUUAGAGCAUCUCCAAAAAGGAACUCUAUUUUGAAGUUUCCAAAACUCUAUAUUUGAAGUUUCAAUGUGUUCUUCUUCAAAAGUAAAACUUUAAACCUAACUUCAAAACUAUUUAUAUUUUACACUAUGGUCCUUAUAUUUGUCAUAGUUAAUGUAAAUUCUUAAAACUUCUAUAAAUAACUAGUAUAUAUAUAUAUUUAUAUAUAUAUAUAAAUAUUACAGAAAUAUUAAUUAAAAAAUCUUACACUAAUAAACUUUUUAAUAAGUUUUUAUUAUGGUUUUUUGUAAUAUUUUUGUUGUUUAAUCCUAGUUUUAAAAUAUUAUAAAUCUUGUUUUAAAAUUUUUAUUUAAUUUCAUGUGUAAAACUUAAAUUUAUAAACCAAAUUUGAAAUAUAUAUGAGAUAUAAAAGUUUUAAAGAUUAAAACAAUAAACAAAAAUAUAUUUAAGAAUUAUAAAUAUUAUGUAUAAUUGUAAGGACCAAAAUGCAAAUAAAAAGAUGAAACUUCAAAUUUGAAGUUUUGAAAAAUGAAACUCUAUAUUUGGAGUUUCACUCUUCAAAACUUCAAAUUUGAAGUUUUGAAGUUUCUCUUUGGAGAGCAAAAAACUCUAUAUUUAGAGUUAUAGAGUUUCUUUUGGAGAUGCUCUUAUAAGAGAAAAAUCAACAAGACAAUUGGAACGGAUCCCCAAAGUGAUUUCAACCACUCAUAGUUUUUUUUUCUCAACCACUCAUUUACUGGUGUCUCUUCUUUUCUUUACCAAUGGCACAUGUUUCUUGCUCAAUAACUAACUCCCUUUGGUGUUACUGCGUUUUGGAUGGAGCUUAUACUAAAUAUGCAGUAGAUAACAAAUGCUGUGAACACAUGACAUGUGAUCACUAUCAAAAAUAAAACAUUCUUUUGGCGUUUUCAAACUACUCAUACUAGUUUUUACUCUGUAGUUAGAUUCAUAACCCCAGUGUUUUUUUUCACACAAAUCAUCCAACGAAUGUUUUUUUAAUUAAAAUAUACUCCCUCUGUUCCUAAAUAUAAGAUUUUUAGGUACAAACAUCUUAUAUAUUAAAACAGAAGUCACAACCUUGAUUCAUGUGUGAUUUUUAAAAAAAUGGACCUAAUGGACCUAUUCAUAGAAAUUCAUACUAUAUUUUAAUUCAGACUAAUAAUAAAUAUAACUUUUAAAAUAUUUUAAUCAUAGUAUCUUUUGAUAUCUUUUCAUUUUAAAUAUAAAUAUAUUUAUUUUAAAAUUCUAACAAAUCUGUUUAAAAAGAUUUUUACAAGAUCUUCAUUUUUGAAAUUAUAUUUAAAUAUUUUCACUAAUUUCGAAAUUAGUUUAAAAUAUUAUUAUACAUUAAUAUAUUCAGUUAUAUAAAAUGAAAAAUAAAAAAUCUAUAAUAUUUUAGUUAUUAUAUAAUCAUAAUCAAUCAUAUUAAAUUAAAAUUAUUAUAUUAAUCUAAAUAUAAUAAAAUUGUAUUAAAUUUAUAAAUUUAUAUAUUUUAUUUUCGCAAUUAUAAAAUAUUUUAUGUUCAAAAAUAAAAUCUAAUAUGUUGGUAAGAUGGGUUAACAUUAUCAAACUAUAUAAUACAUGUAUAAAAAUUAACAUGUAUUUCUUUAAAGUUAAUAAUAUAAAAUCUUUGUAACUACUUUAAUCAUAAUAUAUUUUCAUUUUAAAUAUAAUAUAUAUUUAUAUAUUAUAUUUUAUAUUUUAAAAAUUCUAAUAAAUCUGUGUAAUAUUUAAACAAUAACUUAAUGUAUUUUAAGUUAUCGUUUAGAAAUGAAAAUAAAUAAAUUAUAUCCUAUUUUAUCUACUUUUAUACUCAUGAUCAUGUUAAAUAUAAUUAUUAUACUAAAAUAAAUACGAUAAAAUUAUAUUCAAUUGAUAAAUUUAUAAAUUUUAUUUUCAUAAAUAUAAACUAUUUAUUUAAAAUAUAAUAUGAUGAUAGAACGACUUAAAAUUAACAAAUUAUAUAAUACAUGUCUAAAAAUUAACAUAUCUUACACUUUUAUAUAUACAAUAAUAAAUUAUCUAAAAUGAAUAAGCAUAAAAAUAUUGGUAAAAAGAAAUCCAGUUUUGAAAUACGAGUCAGAAUUUAGCAUAAAUUAAAUACAAAAUAUUUUUUAAAUAUAUUUUCUCAUGAAUAUAUUAAUUUGCUUAAUAACUAAAUGCAAAUACAAUAAGAUAAAUAUAUAAUAAGAAGUGGCAAAUACAUAAAGUUUAACAUGUAAAUUAUAACAUUAUUUUAUCUGAAAUAGUUAUAUAAAUAUUUAAGUAUAUGAUUAACAUUAAAAAUAUAUACCACUUAUAUUCUAAAACAAUAAUUUAUGUAUAGAAAAGUGAAAACAAACACCCGUACGGUUGCACGGGUCAAAAUCUAGUAUAUAUUAAGAAAACUACUUUUUGUCUAAAAAAUAUCAUUAAAACUAUAAAUUAAUGGUAUUCAACCAAUUACAAAAUCUUAUAUAUUAAAAGAGAAGUCAUGACUUUUUUCAUGUGUGAUUUUUUUUAAUUUGGACCAUCACUUAGAAAUUUUAUUAAAUGUAUUUUAUUAAGACUAAUAAUACAUAGAAUUUUUAAAAUACUUUUAUCAUAAUAUCUUUUGAUAUCCUUUUUAUUUUAAAUAUAAAUAUAUUUAUUUUAAAAAUCUAACAAAUCUGUUUUAAAAGAUCUUUACAGGAUCUUCAUUUUCGAAAUUAUAUUUAAAUAUUUUUCACUAAUUUCGAAAUUAGUUUGAAAUAUUAUUAUACAUUAAUAAAUUCAGUAAUCGUUUAUAAAAUAAAAAAUAAAAAAUUCUGUAAUAUUUUAUAUAUUAUAUAACAAUAAUCAAUCAUAUUAAAAGAAAAUUAUUAUAUUGAGCUAAGUAUAAUAAAACUGUAUUAAAUUUAUAAAUUUUAUUUUCAUAAGUAUAAAAAAAUUAUGUUCAAAAAUAAAAUCUAAUAUGUUGGUAAGAUGGAUUAAGCAAAAUAUAUAAUACAUGUAUAAAAAUUAACAUGUAUUUCUUUAUAAUAUAAAAUCUUUGUAACUACUUUAAUCAUAAUAUAUUUUCAUUUUAAAUUCUAAUAAAUCUGUGUAAAAGUAUUUUAACAAUAAUUUAAUGUAUUUUAAGUUAUCGUUUAUAAAAUAAAAAAUAAAUAAAUUAUAUCCUAUUUUAUCCACUUUAUGUCAUGAUCAUGUUAAAAUACAAUUAUUAUACUUAAAUAAAUAUGAUAAAAGUAUAUUCAAUUGAUAAAUUUAUAAAUUUUAUUUUCAUAAAUAUAAAUUAUUUAUUUUAAAAAUAUAAUAUGAUGAUAGAACGGCUUAAAAUUAACAAACCUUAUAAUACAUGUCUAAAAAGUAAGAUAUUUUAGACUUUUGUAUAUACAAUAAUAUAUUAUCUAAAUUGAAUAAACUUAAAAAAUAUUAGUAAAAAGAAAUACAGCUUUGAAACACGGGUCAGAAUUUAGCAUAAAUUAAAUACAAAAUAUUUUCAAAUAUGUUUUUUCAUGAAUAUAUUAAUUUGUUUAAUAACUAAAUGCAAAUACAAUAAGAUAAAUAUAUAAUAAGAAGUAAAAAUACAUACGGUUUUAAUCAAAUGAUUUAUUAUAACAUGUAAAAUAUAAUAUUAUUAUAUUUAAAAUAGUUAUAUAAACAUUUAAGUAUAUGAUUAAUGUUAAAAAAAUAUACCACUAAUGUUUAAAAAUAAUAAUUUAUGUAUAAAAAAAGUAAAAACAAACACCUGCGCGGUUGCGCGGGUCAAAAUCUAGUAUACUAUUAAAAUAUGAUUGGAUACACAGUUUUUAAUAAAGUAAAAGUUACUUAGAAAAAUGAAAACAUCUUAUAUAUUGGAACAUCAAAAUUCUGCAAAAAUCAUAUUUUCAGGAACAAAGGGAGUAGUAAUCAACAAUACUAAAAUACCCAGAACAAUCGGGCAACGGAACAAUUACACAUCCGGCCGAUUUAGAUCAUCCAUCGAAUUGGAUCCAAAAGACUUGGAUUCUCUCCACCAACUCGUUUGAAACCCAAUAAACAACAACAAAAACACCUACUAAAAAAACAAAGUUGAGUAACGAGUUCGAGGAAAAGCAUACCAGCAAAAAAAAAGUUUGACUUUUUAUAUAUAAAAAAAAUCUUGUAAAAGAAAACGAGGAGUUUACUUAAAAAGAAAUAAAAAAGGUUACUGAGUUUUAUGACAAAACAAGAGCUCGCGAGUACAGUAUAGUUAAAUACCGUACCAUGUAACUUCCAGUUUCAGUUCCAGUUCCAGUUCCAUAGUUGUUGGAGAUUGUUACAGGUUCUAAUAAAAAAACAUCAAAUAAAAAGAACACACAGGUUUUAGUUGAAAGAAAACGGAUGAAACACCAAACAUAAAAAGAAAAGAAAAACACGAAGAGAGAAUCGGUCUAAAAACUCUAAUAAACCAGAAGACAAGAAAACGAGCCAAGGAAGGGAAGGAAGGCAUAAUCGCGCAAGUUAGCCUAAUUACAUGAUUCGCCGGUAAUGUGCACACGUCUCAAGUCCGAAACCAAUCUCUCUUAUAGUAUAUAUAUUUUUUUUAUCUUUUAGUAUUUUCUUCUCUGCCCUUCGUCGUCGUCGUCUUCUCUCUCUUAACAACUCUGUCACGCUCUCUCUCUCUCUAAAAGUUCCUCACCGAGCCAAAAAAAAAAAAGAAAAAGCUUUCGUCUUUCAUCUUUCGUAUUUCGAUUCAGCAUUCCGUUUAAUAUCCUUAUCCAAAUCAAAUAAAAAGGAACCAACGCAUUCUUGUUUUCUUCUGGGUUCCUUAUAGUUUCUAGAGAGAGAAAGAUAAAGUUAGGAUUUUUUUUUUAAUCGAGAACAGAUCUCUUGAGCCAAGAAAAAUCAAUUCAUCUGCAAUUGAAUGCGAUCUGCGGCAGUGGGUGAAUCUCUGUUUGAUAAGUGUUAGUUCAAUCAACGAACUUUGGAGGCGAGAUUAGGGUUUCGUGAAAGGGGGAAUCAAAGAAGAAUGAUUAUCAAACGGAAACUGAAACGAAUGCCGAGUUUGAAACGACGUAGUAAUGAGGAGGAGGAGGCUCCUCGUGGGAAGAAGAAGAGAAAGGUGAGUUACAACUAUUACCCUCUCAGUCUUCUCGGAGAGAUAGGCGCCGGGAUAGUUCCGGGGAAACUCAACGGGAAUAAUGGGUUCUCUGCUUUGUGGUGCAAGGAAGUCUCUUCUCCCGUUGAGCCUGACUCUAAGUCUAAGAGGAUAGUUAUUGAUCCCGGCCGUGGAAGGGAUCGGACGGCUGGUGUUUCUCGGCCACCGCUUGUGAGGACGUCGAGGGGGAGAGUUCAGGUGCUUCCUUCUCGGUUUAACGACUCGGUUCUCGAGAAUUGGAGGAAAGAUAGUGGCGAUGAAGAGCGAGAGGAAGAGGUUGAAGAAUGCAGGAAGGAGAGAGUCAAACCUAAGUUCAUUCCUAGGAACCAUAAGUAUAAUAGUAGUGCACCCUGUCAUGAUGAUGAUGAUGAGGAUGGAGAGAUGGUGAGGUAUAGUAAUGACAUGAGGAAGCAUAUGAGCAGCUCUCGCACUAGUACGCUUGAGGAGGCACGUCCUAAGAAAGAAGGUGUUUAUGGGCCUGAGGAUUUUUACGCUGGUGAUUUGGUUUGGGGUAAAUCUGGGAAGAACGAACCCUUUUGGCCAGCUAUUAUCAUCGAUCCAAUGACGCAAGCCCCGGAGCUUGUUUUGCGGUCUUGUAUACCUGAUGCUGCAUGUGUCAUGUUCUUCGGUCACUCCGGGACAGAGAAUGAAAGGGUAAUGUGUAUAUUCUCUUCUUCUUCUUCUAUGAUUGUUAUUAACUUGAGUUUAUGUAACAGGACUAUGCAUGGGUUAGAAGGGGCAUGAUCUUCCCAUUUGUGGAUUAUGUAGACAGGUGUGUCGUCGCUUAUGAUCUUACAAAAAAGAUGUUGUUUGUUUGCAUGUGGAUAUUUUGCUUAAUAGUUACUUUCUUACUUAGGUUUCAAGAACAGUCCGAGCUGCGUGGAUGCAACCCUGGUGAUUUUCAGAUGGCACUUGAAGAAGCUCUUUUGGCAGACCAAGGAUUCACAGAGAAGUUGAUGCAGGAUAUCCACAUGGCCGCUGGUAACCAGCCGUUUGAUGAUUCUGUCUACGGAUGGAUUCAAGAAGCUGCAGGCUCGAGCCAAUAUCUUGAUCACGUUGCUCCAAGCCAGGCAAGUUUCUCUUUUCUUGGGGUUCCCUUUUCGAGCAUGUAUAGCUUAUUCCUUUAUUUGUUUGCAGGACAUGUUGAAGAAAUAUAGAAAUCCAAGAGCAUGUGUAGGAUGCGGAAUGGUCCUCUCUUUUAAGAUGGCAAAGAAAAUGAAAGCUCUGCUUCCCGGAGAUCAGUUAUUGUGUAAACCUUGUUCAAGGGUACGUAAAGUUUCUUAUAUUCUCCUUCUUGAUUCAGUUUCAGUUCAGUGAGCUCAAAACUAAUUAUUGUUGCAGUUGACAAAACCAAAACAGGUUUGUGGUAUAUGCACAAAGACAUGGAAUCAUUCUGAUAGUCAGCGCUGGGUAAAAAUACAAUACAAAUCAUGUUAAUACUAUUGUAGUCAAGAAUCACCUAAUGUUUUCUUCUUGCAAUCUUACUGAUUGAUUACAUAACGGUGAAUCAGGUGCGUUGUGAUGGUUGUAAAAUCUGGAUUCAUGCAGUGUGUGAUCAGAUAUCACAUAAGCAUUUUAAGGUACAUGUCCAUGUUGUUGCUCUUUAUCAAGGUUAUCUUGUUCCCUGCUGCUUGCUUGUGCUGACAUCAGAUCUCAUUUGGAAUAACCUGAAGGACUUGGGGGAAACAGAUUACUAUUGUCCAACAUGCAGAGCAAAAUUUAACUUUGAUCUAUCAGAUUCAGAGAAACAAGACUCAAAAUCCAAGUAGGUCUAUUUACUUGCAACUUUUUAAAUUCUUACAACAAUUGAAUUACCAAAUUCUAAAGUUGAGAGUUUUCUGGUGGUAGAACUGGCAAAAACAGUUCUUCCCCCAUGGUGCUUCCUGACAAGGUUAUUGUUGUAUGCACCGGAGUUGAAGGCAUUUAUUUUCCAAGCCUUCAUUUGUAAGUUUACACCGUCUGACCUUAAUUUCUCCAGAACUUUAGCCUAUCUAUGUUGAAUGAUUUAGAGAGAGUAUUCUUACUCCAUUUUUGGUAUAUUUACAGAGUGGUAUGUAAGUGUGGGUCUUGUGGACCUGAAAGGAAAGCACUUAGUGAAUGGGAAAGGCAUACUGGUUCAAAAGCAAAAAAUUGGAAGACUAGUGUUAAAGUUAAAAGCUCCAAACUGCCUCUAGAAGAAUGGGUUUGUGCAAAUUUUCCUCUUUUUCUUUUGCACUUGUCCUUUCAAUUACAUAAAAGUUUGACUGCCAUAUAUUCCUUCACUCUGCAGAUGAUGAAAUUAGCAGAGUUCCACGCAAAUGCUACUGCAGCAAAACCUCCUAAACGACCUUCUAUAAAGCAGAGAAAGCAGAGGUUGCUUUCCUUUCUUAGAGGUAUUAAGCAAUUCGGAUCUCAGAACUUAGCAAAAGGUUUAUGCUUUCGUUAUGCGUUGUUAAUGUUGGCUUGUUCUUUCAUCAUUGGCAGAGAAGUAUGAGCCGGUCAACGUGAAGUGGACAACGGAGCGAUGUGCAGUAUGCAGAUGGGUUGAAGAUUGGGAUUACAACAAGAUCAUUAUCUGCAACAGGUACUGUUCUAAAAUGCAAAUGCAUAGUUGCUCUAAGCUUUUCAUUAAAAUCAUAUAUUAUAGUUGUUUUCUUGUUAUAUUAGAUGGAAAUUAUAGGAAUUGUGAAACAUGAUCUAAUACCAUUGAAAAUGAUGUCUUCUGUCUCUUUUCUCAGAUGUCAGAUUGCUGUGCAUCAGGAAUGCUAUGGAACGAGGAACGUUCGUGACUUCACAUCAUGGGUCUGCAAAGCCUGCGAGACACCUGAGAUCAAACGAGAGUGCUGCCUCUGUCCUGUAAAAGGCAUGUCGUUUCUUAUUUGUUCACGCAUACUUAACACGGUCUUCUUAGUUUACUGUUACAACUAGUGGCACCUAUGCAUAUUACUUAAAAAGAGAAUUUGUAGCAUUGUUGCCUGUCAACUAACUUUUUCGCCAAUUUUUGUGUGCUGAUCAAUAGGAGGUGCACUGAAGGCAACUGAUGUGGAGACACUGUGGGUUCACGUGACAUGUGCUUGGUUUCAGCCUGAAGUAUGUUUUGCGAGUGAUGAAAAAAUGGAACCAGCGUUGGGGAUUUUGAGUAUUCCAUCAAGUAAUUUUGUGAAGGUACUAUAUACCUUUUUGCUAUCAUUUGAUGGUAACUUGUUCCUAUCCUAUGUGCAAAACUAAAAAGCAAGAAACUAUUCUCCUUUUUUUUAAUGAAAUCCAGAUUUGUGUGAUAUGCAAGCAAAUACAUGGGUCAUGCACUCAAUGUUGCAAGUGCUCUACUUAUUAUCAUGCCAUGUGUGCUUCCCGAGCUGGCUAUAGAAUGGAGGUAACAACUUCUUUACUGUAUCUGACUCCUGCGUUUAAUUCUCUAAGAUACUAUAAGUUUGUUUGGUAAUAAUAUAUGCACAUUUUUGAAUGUAGUUGCACUGCUUGGUGAAAAAUGGUCGACAGAUCACAAAGAUGGUGUCGUACUGUGCUUUUCACAGGUAAAUAAAUGGUCUUAUAUAUAUUAUGCUGCAAUGUCGUUGCAAUCUGAUUUUGGAUUUAUAAGUUUGGUGUUUCUGUGUUGUUUAAUUUUUUUUUUUGGUUGUAGGGAGCCGAAUCCAGAUACUGUGCUAAUAAUACAAACGCCUUCAGGGGUCUUCUCUGCCAAAAAUCUUGCUCAGAACAAGAAGAGUACAGGUUCGAGGCUUAUUUUAGCAAACAGAGAAGAAGUUGAAGAGCCCCCUCCAGAGGAGGCUGUACCAGUUGAUCCAUUUUCUUGUGCUCGUUGUCGAGUUUUUAAAAGAAAGGUUAAUAGCAAGAAGGUAAAUCUUUGGAAAACUCUUUAUGCAUAGGUUUGUUCAGUGAGCUGAUCCAUUAUGUGUGUGUGCGUGCUUGUGAUUGUGAUUGUACAGAGGAGUGAAGAAGAAGGUAUUCCUCACCAUACAGGAGGACCACGUCAUCAUCCUUCAGCAGCCAUCCAAACUCUGAAUGCAUUCAGGGUAAGAAUUAUGCUUUCUGUAGUGCUGCUAAUAAGCAAAAUGCAUGCCUUGAGACUGAAGCUUUUUUUUGGUUAAAUAUAAUUUGUGUAGCAUGUGGCAGAAGAACCCAAAUCAUUUUCCUCGUUCAGGGAACGGCUUCACCACUUGCAGGUAAAGCUUUAACAUAAGUUUGAAAGAGAUUAUGUACAUGUAUCUUGUUGUAUUAGCAUCGAGUCACGAGUUUCAUGUCUUGUGACAGAGGACUGAAAUGGAUCGGGUGUGCUUUGGUCGAUCGGGAAUACAUGGAUGGGGUCUUUUCGCUAGAAGAAAUAUUCAAGAAGGAGAAAUGGUAGGCUGAGAGCCAUCUGAACAUAACAGUACCUCUUCCUUUCCUUGCAUCUGUUGUGUGAAGUGUUGAAAUGUAUUUUUCUGUUUAGGUUCUCGAAUACCGCGGGGAGCAAGUGAGAGGAAUCAUUGCAGACUUAAGGGAAGCAAGAUAUCGUAGGGAAGGGAAGGAUUGCUAUGUAAGUUGCAUUCUCUUGCUACAGUCUUAACAUGAGUUUUUGAGUAUAGAUUUCUGAAACCUUUAUGUUUGUUUUGAAUAUGUUGCAGCUGUUUAAGAUAAGUGAGGAAGUAGUGGUGGAUGCUACAGAAAAAGGGAAUAUCGCUAGACUAAUAAAUCAUUCGGUAAGCAAAUCAAUCAAGUACAUUCAAUGAACAGAGAGUCUUAGAGUCUAAAAACACUAAUUGGUGUGUUGUGUUUUGGUGUGAUGCACCACAGUGUAUGCCAAAUUGCUAUGCAAGGAUAAUGAGCGUAGGAGAUGAUGAAAGUCGGAUUGUACUGAUUGCCAAGGCCACCGUACCUACUGGGGAGGAGUUAACGUAUAAUAUACACAUCACUACUCUCUUUACACAGUUAAACGCAUUUUGAUUCAUUUACUAAAUAUGACUGACAUGGUUGGUUGGUGUGUAUGUGUUUGGCAGAUAUGAUUAUUUGUUUGAUCCAGAUGAGCCGGAUGAAUUCAAAGUGCCAUGCCUAUGCAAAUCUGCCAACUGCAGGAAAUUCAUGAAUUAGAGAAAACUUUGUUGGAGCUGCUCUUUUACACUUGAGAAGAAGAAGAAGCCAAGAAGCUGACUACUACUGACACAAGAACAUGCUGCACUCCACGCUUGAAUAGGACAAACUCAGGGAGCUUAAAAAGCUGAUGAAAUAGAACCUUUACAGCGACACCGCUUUUUUUCCGAUACUCUAAUAAGGCACUUCUUCAGUUAUCUAUAGAAGCUCCAAGUUUUUUUGUUUUUGUAGGUAGAAAGAAAGACUAGAGAGGUUUGUAGCUUAGUCAUUUCUUAUAUCCCAUUUCUGUAUAGCUAACUCUGCAAGACCUUUUCCUUUUUUAGGUUCUUUUUUUUUUCUUUUUCAGUGACUCAAAUAUCAAAAAGCAACAAAAAAUAGACUUUGAAAGAACCUUUUUUUUUUAUCUAAUGUUUUAUUAUUUUCUUAAUUUACGAAAUGAUAAAAGAAAGAGGGCACAAAAAAAGGAACAGAAGAAAGCAAAUGGAUUUUUGAGAAGAUGUAAUUAUGUCUUAAUGUGUACUUGAGAUCGGAAGCCGGUUCGGUAAAGUUUUAGUGGUUGGAUGUAGAGCUGAAUUGCGGGUCAAACCUGCUCUACCCGCAAAUCCGCGGAUUGGCUGAUUUUUUUACUCAAAAAAUUUGAUUCGCUUGACCCGUGAGAAGAAAAUAUGAAACCCGUACUCGCUCUGCUUUAAACCUACAGGUGAUCUGCUAGAACCGCGGAUAAUAAUAAUAGUAAAUUUAAAUAUUUUUAUAAAAAUAAUAAUAAUAUUUAAUAUUUUAAAUAUGUUUUAUUAAAAAUAAUAAUAAAAUUUAAUAUUUAAAAUAUUUUUUUAUUAAAAAUAAUAAUAAUUUUCUAUUUAUAAUUAAAAUUAAAUAAUUUUUAAAUUUUUUGUUUAAAAUUAAUAUUUUUUCAAAAAAAUCCUUUUUUUUUAUUUUUACGGGUUGACGGAUACCCGCAGUCGAAUUUUAGCUGACCCGCACUCGCUCCGCAUAAAAAUCACUCAAUCCGCACCUGCAUCCGCAAACCAAAAUUUUCAAAUUACUCGAUCCGCAUUCGUCCUGCCGCGGAUCAAACGGACGGGGCCUGCGGAUGGCCCGCGGAUAAUGAUUCAUAUUCCCAGCAUUAGUUGGGUGGGUUAUUUUCAUACUCCGUCAUCCAUCCAAUCAGCGAUCGCCACGUCAUUAUGAAACCCAAAUGAGACCCAGUAAAGGUUGUCCUCUAAAGCCCCAUUACGCUGAUUCAGGCCCAAUGUGAGAGAUAUUUUUGUAGAGAAAAUCAAACGGGGGCAGACGUAGACGCGAGUCGACCUCGAGGCGCGAUGCCUCAGGCGUACUUCAUCACGCAACUCUCACGAGCUUCUCUGUCCUUUUAUACCACUUUCGUUUUUUUCUUCAUUUCUUUAAAUUUGUGAAAUUUAAUCCUUUUCUCGAAGGUGAAGAAGUUGCGUGUCGUCCAUCUUCAGACCGAUCUCUCCCUCUCUCUGUUUUUUCUCUGUGUUUGGUCGGUUCCUCUUACCGGUAAGAUUUUGCAAUACGAUUAAUUGUGUAAUGAUUGGAAAUUACUUGCUAAAUUUGGAAACUUUCUGAACAUUGCAUUGAUUUUAUGUAGCGGGUUAGUGUCGGAUGGCUCUUUGUGGUGUUUCAUCGACUCCAAGCCUUCGAAGUUUGGAAAUUUUGCAAUCUGCUAGAAACUCAAGCAUUGGUCUGAAACGUAACCGUAGUUUAUGUCAUCCCACAAACUCUUCGUAUCGUGCUAAACCUGUGAGACUCCGUUGUUCAUCUUCUAAUGUGGAGAUGGAGGAGGAUGUUGGGAAUGGUAGCUCCUCUGUCUCUGUGGAGGAUGAAUCAGCACAUGUGAUGCAGUUCAAGUGGAAUGAUUUCAAGAUUCUUGAUCGUGUUAGCAUCGGUCAUGGCGGUCGGGUAAAUACACAUUUAACCAAUUUGAUUGGUCGUGUUUCUUUAUUAUAUUUUACUUAUGUUGCUAAUUGAGUUUACUUUCUUACAGGCGGAUGAGCUUGUGUUUGAAGCUGUAGUUCAGGUUCCAGAUAGGUCAGUUUCUUACUUCAUUGUAUUACAAGGUUGCAAGAUAAACAAAAUUUCAGGGGCUUCAUCUGUGUGUGGUGCUUUAUAUUCCACAGCCCUUUGUUUAACCAAGGAGUUGUUCUUCGGAAACUGAAUACAACUCAUGCUCAAAGAAGGGGAAGAAGAGCCAUUGAAGUUCGUUGUUUCCUUUUAAAUCAAAAUCACUUACUAGCUUCUUGUAUCUCUGCUCACUCUUACUACUUUGCAGGUAUUGAAGAAGCUAGUUCGUCGUAGGCUUCUGUACCAUUCUUACUCAAUGCAAGUUCACGGUUAUAUCUCUAAUAGCUUGAGGAGCGAUGAUCCCUACUCAUUUACCCUCGUACACGGGGUAUGUUCUUCUGUAUAUUAUAUACUUCAUAGGUUUCCACCAUAUAAUUAAUAUGUAUCUCUCUCUCUCUCUCUCUUCUUGCAGUGCCAUGGGAGUUUCUCGAUUAGGCACUGGCUUCAGCAAUCUGAUUGGCUUCCAACGUUAGAAGCUACACUUGCGCUAGAUGAAGAAUCCUUUAGAAGAGUAGGGGAUGAUACAACUGGAGGACCUGCAGUUUCAAGGCAGCUAAGACUCAUCCGUAUAUUAAUGAGAGAUCUUUUAAUCGGAGUAUGUAUUAUUGUGUCCCCUUCAUAACAAGCAGAAUAGUUCUUUCUUUUGGUCAUCAUGUCAUUGAUUUGGUUAACAUGUGUGUUUUUGGUCUUGAAAGGUCAAUUACUUGCACAGCCAUGGUCUUGCUCACACAGAACUGAGAUUGGAGAAUGUGCACAUUAGCCCUGUGGAUAGACAUAUCAAAGUUAGUAUUAUUAUGCUUUCAAUCAAUUUCGAUUAUGAUGAAGAUAAGUCAAUUAAUAUUUCGCAAGUGUAGGUAGGGAUUCUGGGAAAUGCUGCCGACUUUUAUGGGGAUGGUCCAAGCAGUAGCAACGCUUACAGUACCAUGGACAGAAGACAGAUGAUGAUAGCAUUUGACAUGAGGUAAUAUUUUGAGAUCUAAUCAUCAUUUCUGUUUUUGUUUACAUUACUCAGAUUAAUUUUGAUAUUUAAUUUUCACGGUCAAAGAUGUGUUGGAUUCAUGAUGGCUAAAAUGGUACUCCAAGAACUGAUGGAUCCAUUAAUCUUUUCCAAACUAAAGUCUUUCCUGGCAAAGGUAAUCAUUUGAAUAAUCCAUAGAUGAGUUUAAUGUUUAUAAAAAAAUGUUUAAACAUUCUUGUAAAUGUAAUAUCUAGAGGAAUGAUCCUUCUUCUCUACGGGAGUUCUUUGUGACGACGCUCAAUACAAACUCAGAAUCUGGAAAUACUGGAGUUCAAGUAAGUCCUCAACCAAGUUUUAUUUUGUACCUCUCAUCUGCUGUGAGUUUAAUGAGUUGUUUAUCAUCACACCUCUUGUUUGUUCUCAGAUACUUGAUAGAAACUGGGGAGCAGGUUGGCACCUUCUAUCUUCAUUGAUUGCUACCAGACCUUCUAAAAGGAUAAGGUAACAUUCUAACAUUACUGUUACCAAUUUGUGGAGGUCUUAGCUGGGGUAAAAAGUAAAAUCUGUUGGGGGGUUUGGUGCAGUUGCUUGGAUGCUCUUAAGCAUCCCUUUCUAUGUGGACCAAGAUGGCGUGUUGCCCCAUCAAUGGAUAUCAUCAGAUGGGGUCUUGGAUCAACCGCUGUAAGGAUAUCAGAAGAAUACAUUUACCGCAUGCCUCAGGUAAUGUAUAUGAGAUGGUUUUUCUACAAGUUCUAAGAAGUUUGAACCUUUACUCACUCUUAAAGGCCAAAUUGGAAUAAUACAAAUCUUAUGCAGCGCCAAAGACUUGCCCGCUUCAUUGAACUAAUGGAGAUGCUAAACCCAUGUCCAAAACCAAAUGUACGAGUUUAAAAAAAAAAUCUCAUGCUUCCUUAACUUUUUCUAUUUAUAGUACUUUAAUUUGUGAACUUUGGUUUUGGAUCUCUUGGUUAAACACAGUGUUGGUUGGAGCUGUUACCGGGAAGAUGGCGUCUGUUGUACUCAACCGGAAAGCACAUUGGUCUAACUCUGCGUCAGCCUUCUACACGUGCUCUAAUAGGCAAUGUUUAUUUAACAAUAAACCGAGCUUCAGAAGAUUCCAACAACACUUUGCUAUCAUUCACCUCUGACAUAGGCUUCACGGCCAUAACCAGCAAAGACUGGCCACACGACAAAACCGGAGCCAGAGGCAAAUUACAAACGCUCUCUCAGUUCAGACUAGUAGCCGGAAAAAGACUUUACCUCAAAGAAGAGAAAAAGAACAUCAGUAAGUUCUCGAUGGGAGAACCAAACGCUGAAGAAGGCCUAGUAGAGAAGCUAGGAACCAAGAAAUGGAAAAAGGUGGUGCCCUUCAAGGAGUUUCCGUCGAGUCUUCCUGUAGUGAAACUCGUCUCUGGAGAGAUCGAAGUGACGAUGAACAUGGCUGAUCGUAUAGAGUCGCCUGGGAACGUGAUUGGGGAAGUUAGAAAGCAGAUUCCGCAGGAGAUGUUUGAUUUGUCUAAGCUUGUGUGUGGUACGUAUAUAGACAGUAGGUUGCUUGUACUUAGGUGUGUGAAUGGUUCGGCAUUGUUGUUUACAAGGUCUAGCUUUGGACCAUAAGUCUAUGUAGCCCACUUGUCUCGGUUCUUAUGUGUGUAUAUAAACACUGAGCAUUCUUUUUGGGAUAAAAACCUUUUUAAUCUCUGUGUAUGUUGUACAUGAUGAGUCUUGGCAUUAUAAAUUCGUAAGACUGAGCAUUCUAUAUAUGAAUCAAGUGCUGAAACUCAGAAACUAAAGUCUUGCGAUGCUUCUGUUUGAGCAAGAGUCUUUGGCUUCUUCACGCGCUAUAUGCAUUGCAAACAGUAAGCGGUGAGUGGUUUGAUUGGUUAAUAAUAUACUUAACCAAGUAGAGAUCAAAUAUAAAUAAGCCCAAUAAAGUUUUUUUCUAGUAUGACAGCAAACUUGAAAAAGUUUAAUAUAAUUAUCUAUCUGGCUUGUGGCCCCCUUCAUGUUUUUCAGCUCUUGUAAUCAUACUGUAAAAUAAUUACCACUUAUUAAAUUAAUAUAAAUGUCCUUAUAAUGUAUUUUUUUUUUGGUUCACCAGCUUCCAAAGAGAAAAAAAAAGAAAGAUAAAUCUAAAACAAUCUGGACCGUUGAUGUGAGGGUCAGAUAAGGACCACGCAACACGCGAAGUACAGAAUAAGCGCCCUAUAUGAAAGCUAUCCGAUAACUUGCUUCGCUUACGACCUCUCUUUCUCUCUCUUCCCUUUUUCGCUGGAAACUGUUUUCUCUCUCUAUCGCUCUCUCUCCAUACCUUUCUUCUAGGGUUUCAGUCUCCGAUCGCCGCCGCCGCCGUCGAGAUUCUAGGUAAAGCCUCUUCGCUUCCAUCUAUCGAACCUGCUUCAGUUAGAUCCAUCCUCCGAUUCCCUAUGAUUCACCCAACCUCACUGUUUCGAUUUACCCAGAUCUUUAGGAUUUGAACUCGUUUCAAUUUUAUAUCUAUUCAAGUAAACUAGUUUGAUUUGGCCGUUCUCCUUUCUUAGUCUGCUGAAUAUUCAAUUUUGAAUUCGAUUGCGUCUUCGGAUCUGUGGGUCUCACUAUUUUGAAUCAACUUGUAUAGUCUUUUAACUGCGCAUCUUUUCAUGAUCCAUGGUGUUAUGCCUUGCAAUUUUAGGCUAGUUUGCUGUAGAUCGUAUGCUGACUUCUAGGGAUGACUUCUGUCACUGUUGUUGGCUUUCACCUUGAUCUGUUCUUUGGCGUCUUAGUUUUACUGAUUUUUAUCAAAGUUGCUACCUUUUCUCUUUUGUUUUGUGUUUUAGCGUCUUAGUCUUUGGUUUCUGACUUUUUUUUUGUUUUUUCUUUUGCAGACAAACUUGUGGCAAUGGAGGUCACCCAGUUGCUCUUAAACGCUCAGUCGAUUGAUGGAACUGUUCGUAAGCACGCUGAAGAAAAUCUCAAACUGUUUCAGAGUCAAAACCUUGCUGGUUUUUUGCUCUCACUUGCUGGAGAGCUUGCCAAUGAUGAGAAGCCAGUAGAUAGCAGGAAACUUGCCGGUUUAGUCCUUAAAAAUGCUCUCGAUGCUAAGGAACAGCACAGGAAGUAUGAGCUUGUCCAGAGAUGGCUCUCUCUUGACAUGGCAACAAAGACACAGAUCAGAGCCUUCUUGUUGAAGACACUUUCCUCCCCUGUUCCUGAUGUUCGUUCAACUGCCUCUCAGGUCAUUGCUAAGGUUGCAGGUAUUGAGUUGCCCCAGAACCAGUGGCCUGAGCUUGUCGGAUCUCUUCUCUCCAACAUUCACCAGUUACCAGCUCAUGUCAAGCAAGCCACUUUGGAGACUCUUGGAUACCUCUGUGAAGAAGUGUCUCCUGAUGUUGUAGAACAGGAGCAUGUAAACAAGAUUCUCACAGCGGUUGUUCAGGGUAUGAAUUCUGCUGAAGGAAAUAACGAUGUCAGACUUGCAGCAACCCGCGCUUUAUACAUGGCUCUGGGUUUCGCCCAAGCAAAUUUCAACAACGACAUGGAGCGUGAUUAUAUCAUGAGAGUCGUGUGUGAAGCAACUCUUUCCCCUGAGGUGAAAAUUAGACAGGCUGCUUUUGAGUGUUUGGUAUCCAUCGCUUCCACAUACUAUGAGAAGUUGGCGCAUUAUAUGCAAGAUAUAUUCAACAUCACAGCUAAGGCUGUUAGAGAAGAUGACGAGUCUGUCGCUCUACAAGCGAUUGAAUUCUGGAGCUCUAUAUGUGAUGAGGAGAUUGACAUCUUAGAAGAGUAUGGUGGUGAGUUCACUGGGGAUUCCGAUGUUCCAUGUUUCUAUUUCACUAAGCAGGCCCUCCCUGCGCUUGUGCCCCUACUGUUGGAAACUCUGCUUAAGCAAGAAGAAGAUCAGGAUUUGGAUGAAGGGGCUUGGAAUAUUGCAAUGGCUGGUGGGACAUGCCUCGGUUUGGUUGCUAGGGCAGUUGGAGAUGACAUUGUACCUCAUGUUAUGCCGUUCAUCGAAGAGAAAAUAUCAAAGCCUGAUUGGAGAGAGCGGGAAGCUGCAACAUAUGCUUUUGGUUCCAUUUUGGAGGGCCCUUCACCAGAUAAGCUGAUGACAAUUGUUAACGCGGCGUUAACAUUUAUGCUCAAUGCUUUAACAAAGGACCCAAGCAACCAUGUGAAAGACACAACCGCAUGGACUCUUGGUCGGAUGUUUGAGUUCCUGCAUGGUUCAACAAUCGAGACACCCAUAAUUACUCAGGCAAACUGUCAGCAAAUUAUCACAGUAUUGAUCCAGACAAUGAAAGAUGCACCUAAUGUUGCAGAAAAGGCUUGUGGGGCUCUAUAUUUUCUGGCUCAAGGCUAUGAGGAUAUUGGUCCCAACUCUCCAUUAACACCCUUCUUCCAGGAAAUUAUUCAGUCCCUUCUAGCUGUUGCACACAGAGAGGAUGCAACUGAAUCACGCUUGCGAACUGCAGCGUACGAGGCAUUGAACGAAGUUGUCAGGUGUUCGACUGAUGAAACAUCAACCAUGGUUCUGCAAUUAGUACCUGUGAUAAUGCUCGAGCUCCACAAUACUUUGGAAGGGGAGAAGCUUUCUUCAGACGAGAGGGAGAAACAAAACGAGCUUCAGGGACUGUUAUGUGGAUGCUUGCAGGUCAUCAUACAGAAAUUAGGAUCUGAACCGACCAAGUAUGUUUUCAUGCAGCAUGCAGAUCAAAUGAUGGGACUUUUCCUGAGGGUUUUUGGCUGUAGAAGUGCAACUGCACAUGAAGAAGCCAUGCUCGCCAUUGGCGCUCUUGCUUAUGCAGCAGGUCCUGAUUUCGCCAAGUACAUGCCUGAGUUUUACAAGUAUUUGGAAAUGGGUCUUCAAAACUUUGAAGAAUACCAAGUGUGUGCUGUUACUGUGGGCGUUAUUGGGGACAUCUGCAGGGCAUUGGAGGACAAGAUUUUACCUUACUGCGAUGGGAUUAUGACGCAGCUUCUGAAGGAUUUGUCGAGCAACCAGUUGCACCGAUCAGUAAAGCCGCCGAUUUUCUCCUGUUUUGGUGACAUAGCACUGGCUAUUGGGGAAAACUUCGAGAAGUACAUCAACUAUUCAAUGCCGAUGCUUCAGAGCGCAGCAGAACUAUCAGCUCACGCGUCUGGAGCUGAUGAUGAAAUGACAGAGUACACGAACUCAUUGAGAAAUGGAAUACUCGAAGCUUAUUCAGGCAUAUUCCAAGGGUUCAAGAACUCUCCGAAAACACAGCUCCUAAUUCCUUACGCACCCCAUAUUCUCCAGUUUCUGGACAGUAUAUACAUGGAGAAAGACAUGUAAGUUUUCUUUGUUCUUUUAAACCCAAUCGGAAUUAUAGAUUAGUUUUGCGAAAAUAUAAAAAGUUGUUUAAUUUUGUGGAUAAAAUGGCUUGUGUGACAGGGACGAGGUGGUGAUGAAGACAGCGAUUGGGGUGUUAGGGGAUUUAGCGGAUACACUAGGGAGUCAUGUGGGUGGUUUGAUACAACAGUCAGUGUCGAGCAAAGAGUUCUUAAACGAGUGUUUGUCAUCUGAUGAUCACACAAUCAAAGAAGCAGCUGAAUGGGCAAAGCAUGCCAUCACCCGUGCCAUUUCUGUUUGAAGGGCUCUUUUCUCUGUGCCUUUCGUUUUGUUUUUCUUUUACAGUAAAGUCUGCAUGCAUCUCUGGGUGGGUUUGAGUCUGGGAAAGGGUAGAGCUGCAACAGCCGAGAGUCACAUCAUCAUCAGUUUCAUUUGCAUCAUCAGCAUUACUGGGGUCAGCAUUGAGUCAUGGAUGGGGGGGGGGGGGAUGAUGAGUUUUGGGGGGUAGAUAAUGAAACUGGAAAGAGACGCCGGUGAGACUUUGGCCGGAGGUGAGUAGGAGGAGUCGUUUUCAGGUGGUUUUGGGGACAAAAGGUUCAUCGAACUAUCAUAAUACUCUACUACAUUUGUUUUCAUGUCAUAUGUUUCUUUUUCUUCAACCCCUUGAGGGGAAGGUCUCUGGUUUUUUAUCAAGUGAGGGGGCAUUAUCAGAUGACACAAUCCCUUGGAUUUUUUUUUUUACUUGUUUAGUUGCAUUCUUUGCAUCAUCGUUUUGUCACUUUCUUUUGGGGUUUUGUAUGUUUGGUUAUAAAAGCAUGUUCACAUUUUUAUUUUUAUAUAAAAAAAGUUGUCAGGUCUAUUUCCUCUUUGAUGCAGUUUUAGGAGAUUGCAAUUAGCACAGUUAGUGCUCUUAGCUUAAAGCUUCUGUUUACAGGUACAUUAGAUGUUGUCAUGUCUCUAGACAAGAGGUGUACAAAGUAAUUGUUAUUAUUCAUGUAAGUUCCUUAUUUACUUGGUUGGCUCGAACUGUAAGGGAAAGGUCGCAUGUUAACAGGGAACGUCCUGCCUUACUCUUUCUCUAAAGAGCCAAGUUAAAUCUAACGUCACACCUCACUCAUAUCCAGCGUUCAAGUUACCUGUUAUUUACAUAUCUUUGUAAAUAAUACCGAACCUAUACAUGACUUACUGUUUGAAACAAUCUCGACCAUUGAAGUUAUGUGUACUUUAUGGGUUAAACUCUAUAUAUAAUAUAGCAAGCUAUGUCAAUAGCAUUAUAAUUAUAGGUAGAAUCUUCUAGCGAGUUUGUAUCGGCACUUCUACGUAGUCCUAAACAUUUUCUGACAUGGUUCGAACUUUUUACUUGAUAUUUCUAUAAAUAAUAACUAAUGUCAAAGUCUGUUGCUAACUUUGAUUUCGUUGUCAUAACACUCAUCUAUCUUUCAAUCAAAUGGACGACACACUAUCUUCCAUUCAAAAAACUAAAAAUAUAAAACUAAAAACAAUAGAAAAUAGUUAACAUCCACGAGAUGAAUAGGAGAGCCAUUCCGAGGAUAAAAAUGGAGUUGAGAAAUAAUCGGUGGUAAUUAGAAGUGUACCAUUUCUAUUGUCAAAACUGUCCAGAAACCCCAAAAUAUUUUUACGCAAAAAACCAACACCAACACAUUUAUAAUGUGGCCCGCGACGAUUUUCUUCAUACUCAAUUAAUGUAUGCCCUGUUUGAAAAGGCUGCUGACUAGGCGGCCGCCUGGGCGCGACUCAGAGCUUGUUCGCGACGAGGAGAUGCAAUUCGGUGACUAAAAUCGAAAACUAAUUAAUCGGCCCAAUUCCCUACUAAUCAAUUUAACACUACAACAAAACAGUGGUAUUCUGACGGACGUUCCGACGGAAAAUGAAUUCCUCGGAAUAUACCGAGGCAUUUCCGAGGCAAUUCCGAGGAAACACAAAAUUUUGCUUCCUCGGUAUUCCGUCGGAAUAUUCCGUUUGGCCAGAGGUUCAGGAUUCCGUUUCGCCCCACAGCUCAUACCAUACAUCUCCCUCUCCAUUACUCGCUCCUGCUGCUCCCGCUCCCGCUGCUGCACCCGCUCCUGGUCCCGCUGCUGCACCCGGUCCUCCGGGAGUGAUGAGGGUUGCGGAGUUGGUUCGACAGCCCGGUCGUGACCAUCUUCCCUAUCUCACUGAGUAUCCACAUGGACAUGGUCAAACAUGGUAAUUUAAACUUUUAUUUUUUAAACUAUUUUUUAUUUAAACUAUUUUUUUAUUAAUAAUUUAUUUUUUUUAUUAGGUUCAACCGAUCCGGGAACGGGAUCAGCGCAUGGAUCAACCGUAUGAUGUACUCGGCCCUCGACAGCGGACAUCCGACUUUCACUCACUUCCCUGUCGAGAAGCAGCAUCUGUGGUUUCGUCAGUUUGCGGUAAGUAUUCUAAUUUUUAAAUUAUAUUUUUUAUAUUGUUAAAACUAUUUUUUGUAAUUAUUAAACUAUUUUCUAUAUUUAUUAGACAUUUUAAAUAUUAUUAAAACUUAUUUUUGUAAUUAUUAAACUAAUUUAUAUAUUUAUUAGACAUUUUAAAUAUUAUUAAAACUUAUUUUUGUAAUUAUUAAACUAUUUUUUUAAUUAUUAAACUAUUUUUUAUUUAUUAAAACGACGAUUUUUGUAAUUAUUAAACUAUUAUAUUUUUGUGCUUAAAAACUAUUUUUAAACUAUUUCAGCAAGAAUUCAACUGGAAUUCCGAUGAUACGCUCUCUAUCUAUCACCAUUUUGUCCAUAAAGUUAUGGACAACUAUGGGAAGCAGAUGUACGAGUGGAAGAAGAAGUGGGAAGUAAACAAGGUAGUUUUUAAUUUAUUAACAAUUUUUAAUUUAUUAAACUAUUUUUAAAAUUAUUAAACUUUUUUUUUUUAAAUUAAAAGGUCCCAAAGUCGAUGAACGACACGGUCUGGAAGGAGUUGUGUGCGCAUUGGGAUAAAGAAGAGACGAAAGAAACUUCUUCCACCAACUCCAACAACCGCAGGAGCGACCGUAAAGGAAAGGGCAUCUACAAGCAUAACUUGGGUGCUCAAUCUAUUGCCACUCUGGCGGAUCGCAUGGUAAGCUCAACCGCUUUUUCUUCAAUUAUUUAAGUUUCAGAAUUUUAUUUUUUUUUGCAUUUUCAAAUUUCUAAUGUUUGUCUAAUUUAUUUUUUUUCAAGGCGGAAGAAAAUGAAGGCCACCCAGUUGAUGAUCUCGCCCUUAUGAAAAGGGCGUAUACCAACAAGAAGACCGGCCAGAUUGAUGAUGGUCUUGUGAGGGACGUGGUCGACCUGGUCCAAACUCAGGUGUAUGACGAAGUGUCUCAGCUUCAAACCGAUGAUGACGAUUCGACGGCCUCGACCAACUUGUCUCGGGUUCGAAUCAACGAAAUCGUUGAAUCGGUAAGUUUUUUUUUUUAAAAAGUUCAAUUUAAUUAUUUCUUGAUUUUUAUUUUAUCAUCAAUUUAAAUUAUCUAAACUUGGUUAUUUAUAUUUCAGUCGGUUCCAAAGAAAAAGGGACGUUUGGUCGGUUUGGGUCGUCGCUCCCGGUCGGCUGCUCCUUCUUCUGCACCACAUGCGUAUGUUGAUCCAGAAGUUCUUACGGCUCAGCUGAAGGACAAGGAUGAUCGGAUAUCUGCGUUGGAGACCCAGAUGGCAGCUCAACAGGCGGGCUAUGAGACCCAGAAGAGGCUGAACGAGCAGAUGAUGGAGAUGAUGAAGAGGAUGUACCCGAUCGAGACGUUCCCGAACAUUCAAGACCCGUAGUUUUUUUUUUCUUUCCAAAAACUCUGAAUGUUUUAUUUAAAUUUGAAUAUUAUCUACUAUGUUUUAUUUUAUGUUUUAUUCAAUUUUAAUUUUAAAUUUUAAAAAUUUUAAUUUUUAAAAAUAAAAUUAAUUUUAAAAAAAAUAAAUUUUUAAAAAAAUAAAUUUUUUAAAAAAAUAAAUUUUUUCAAAAUUCCGAGGGAAUGGAGUUCCUCGGAAGAUUCCGAAGAAAUUUCUCCCCUCGGCAAAUUCCGACGAACUUUAAGUUCCUCGGAAUUUUCCGAGGGAAAAAGUUCCUCGGAAUUUUCCGAGAAACUCCACUCCCUCGGAAUUUUCCGAGGGAAGAAAGUUCCUCGGAAAAUUCCGAGGAACAUUUGUUCCUCGGUAUUUUCCGAUAAACAUUCCGAGGAAUAUUUCGUCGAAACUUCCGAGGAUUGGACCAUCGGAAUUCCCUCGGUAUUUUCCGAGGAACCUUCCGACGAACUUCGUGUCCUCGGAGUUUCCUCGGAAUUUUGUUUCCUCGGAAUUCCGUCGGAAUUUUCCGACGGAAUUCCGAGGAAGUAUGAAAUUCCGAGGAGAUGUUUCCGAGGACUUGUUUCGUCGGUAUGUCCUCGGAAUAGCUUUAUUCCGACGACAUACCGACGAUUUUUUCCCUUAGUAUCCCGAUGUUUUCUUGUAGUGUAAUUACCGAUUAAUCGGCCUAAUUAGAUAUAGAAAAGAUCUGUUGAUAAAAAAAAAAAGAUAUGAAAAAGAUCCAACUUUCUAAAUAUAAUGAUAGUUCUUGGGCCUUACAAGAAGCCCGAACGUUUUACCUCUUCCUUAGCAUGUAUGACUAUAGAUAGAGCAAGAUUUUCACCUUUUCUUUCUUCUCUAACCGAUGUGGGAUUUUAAAUGCGAAAAUAAAUUGUGCACUGACACAAGGAGACAGUGAAUUCCUUGUACCUUUACCCAUAUACUAACACAUAUACACAUGCAGAUAAUAAAAGUACAAAAACUAGGUUCCACGUACUUCCCGAUUAAUCCUCGAUUUUUUCCUAACUCACUAGGCGUGAACAGGUUGCCCGACUAACGCCUAGCGUAAUUCCAAACAUGGAAUGGAAUGUAUGUUUACGAAGGCAAUUUUUUUAUGUGUUUAUUUAAAGGUCAUUUUGUGUCGAUGUAGUAUACUGAAUUGUUAGGUUAACCUGCCCAGAGUGAUUAUGGGAAGUAAAUGUUCACGAUAUACUCCACGAUUGCUGCAACUUCUCUGGUCCCUACAACAAAAGCAGUACUGCUGAGAGAAGUUAGCGAUUAUACAUUUUAUAACCGUUGCGAAAAUUUUAGAUACAUUAGACAUUAGUGAAAAUGUUUGACGAAAGGCAGCUUGUCUAAAGUAUCACUAAACCAUGAUAAUAUAUAUUUAAUGUGUCCCGGUUCAACGUUGAAAUGUAUUACAUGUCUUUGCAGUGUCUCUUGUGGAAACGUUAAGCGUAUGUUUAUGCGUUUUUACGGCACUUCAAAGUUUUAGGUGGGUAAAUUGUUGUUUAGAUCAUAAAAAUGGUGUAAUUAAGAGUAGAACUGUAGAUAUUAUGGUCAAACCAAAUACAUAGCAUUAUUGAGACAAAAUCUUAAAUUUAAAAUAAGAUUUCGAGGAUAGUGGUCUCUCACUAUAAUGGGUCACUCAAAAAGAUGCACUUCUCUGAUACAUUUGUAGGCCACUCGCUAUGUCUGUCCCAAUCUAAGUUGACUUCUUACAAAGUUGUGAACGUCGAAAAUGGAAGGAUUAGUUCCACUAUUUCUCUUUACUUAUACCUAAUUAUUUAUUGUUUGGUACCACGGCUUUUGAAAUAUGCCCUGCACAUUUUUUGAAUUCAUAAUUAAUUUCCUAAAUACACUUUAAAAUUUUUCUACCUAGCAAUUGCCUACCAUGUGUUUGUCGGAUUUUAGUUUAUACGCAUAGAUUUCAUAUAUAAUCAUUGUAAAUUUUACAUAAGCUGCUACAAUUGGGUAAUUAAUUUAAAUUUUCGCAUAUAGAUAUUUGAUAUGCACUACUGCUAUGAUAAUCCAUGUACAUAUUCAGCUGUAAUUGAACAGCCAAUUUUUAGUCAUUGAUUGUUAAAGAGCCUUUUAAUCAAUUAUUGAAUUGAUUUUAGCAAAAAAAAAAAAUCAAUUAUUGAAUUGUUAGUGUGUUCAGUUUUGAGUAUAUAUUGUACCCUUGGUAUGAAAAUUUCAAUGUCGUUAUGAAUCAUUAACAGCAUGAAACAAAACCAUAAUUACGUACGAGUUUGGUAUGAUCCCAUCUUACUUUUUGAUAAUGGACCCAAUUAUCUUAGACGAAAAUGCAAUUUUCAAUUAAAUUGUGCGUCGAUAAGUAAACUUGACUUACGAGCACACGUGGUACUCCAUAGAACCUAUAAUACAUUACAGUUGUAUGUAAAAAACGUGGUGAAGCAAAUGGGGUUUAGAGUUAAAUAAACCAAAGGUAAAUAUCGUGAAACCAAAAAUGAAGUUUUUUUUUUCUUUGAAAAUAUUGGCACUCACUAAAAAAAUAUAUUUGUCUACAAUAAAGCAGUAGUUACAUAUACGAAGUAACUGGUUUGAUUAGUGACAAGUUGACAACCAAUUACAAAAGAUUAAAGUAUGAAAAAAGAGAAAUAAAACUGAUAUCGUAGAAAUUAAAGCGGGAUAGAUCAUUUAAAUUUUUUGACAUAUAAAAUAAAUAGGAAUAUAUUGACUAUUUAAAGUUUUAUAGAAGCUAAUGAUAAAAUUUUCGAUUGGUUUUGCUUAUAAAAACGUAUGUUUAUAUCCAAACUUAUGUUACUCUUCUUUUGGAUAAUAUAUAAUUUUAGCAAUUUGGAAAACAUAUUUUGUUUACAAGUUCUUAGAUAUACACAAAGGUUUUUAAUGAUAUUUCAUAUGAAAAAGAGUUUGUUUGGUGCUAUUAUAUAAAACAAAAUUACAUUAAAAAGACAUGUGAAUAUUUUCAUUCGAUUUUCUCAACAAAAAAAUACAUUUGCUUUCAACAUUAGAAGAUAAAUAAAGCAUGCCGAGAGAAGUCUACGGCAAUCAAAACGGACAUGAGUAAAACGUAUGAUAGAGUGGAAUAGAAUUUUAUUCAUGUUUUUUACAAAAAAUACGUUUUGAUUCUCAUUGGAUUAAAUUAAUGAUGGAAUGUAUUUCAUCGGUUCAGUAUUAGGUCUUACUCAUAAUUCUAUAUAGGGGUUUACGUCAAGGGGAUCCGUUAUCACCUUAUUUAUUCAUUAUGUGAUGUACGGAGGCUUUAAUAGCAAACAUCAAAAAGGCGAAGAGAGGGAAAUAAUUAACCGGAAUGAAGGUAGCCAGAACUUAUCCAUCGAUUUCUCAUUUCUCUUUGAAGAUGAUAGUCUCAUCUUUUGCAAGACACAAAAAGAAGAGUGUCACACCAUUCUCAGGAUUUUGAGAGAGUAUGAGGCUGUAUCAGGUCAACAAAUAAAUUUUUAAAAAACUUCUAUCCAAUUUGGACAUAAAAUUGAGGAAUCCAGCCGUCAGGAGUUGAGGGAUAUCUUAGGAAUUUUGAAUUUAAGAGGAAUGAGAUCUUAUUUAGGAUUGCCAGAGAAUCUCGGAGGAUCCAAGAUACAAGUUUUUGGAUUUAUUCAGGAGCGUACGAAUAGUAUGGUCAAUAGUUGAACUUUUAAGUUCUUUACCAAAGGAGGAAAGGAAGUAAUCAUUAAAUCAGUGAUCACAGCCUUACCAAAUCAUGUGAUGUCGUGUUAUCAUCUACCAAAGGCUACCGCAAAAAAAACUGACGAGUGCGGUAGCACAAUUCUAGUGGAGUCCAGGUGGAAGUCCAAAGGUAUGCACUGGAAAUCAUGGGACAAAUUAUGUCUAGAUAAGGAUGAAGGAGGUUUGGGUUUUAAGGACCUAACUGAUUUCAAUACGAUGAUGCUUGGUAAGCAGCUAUGGUGUCUAACUGAAAAACCAAAUACCUUAUUUUCUCGAGUUUUUAAAGGACGGUACUACAUGAAUGCUUCACCACUGGAACCGAUUAAAUCAUAUUCUCCGUCGUAUGGAUGGCGGAGUAUUAUUUCUACUAGAUCUCUUGUUAGCAAAGGACUAAUUAAAAGGGUGGGAUCAUGAUCAUCUAUCUCUGUAUGGAAUGAUCUCUGGCUCCCAACCACUCGCCCAUGACCAGCAAAUAAAAAUCAGCAUAACAGUUACCCAGAUCUUACAGUUGACUCUCUCAUUGACUCAGCUUCGCGAACUUAGAAUCUACAAGCAAUUCGGGCUUUAGUGGAUCCCCAUGAUGGAAAGAUAAUGUAAAGUAUACCACUGAGCAAGAAUUAUAUGAUGGAUAGGAGUGGAUGACAUUUCACACAGAAUGAAAAAUACACGGUCAAAUCAGGUUACCAAGUAUAAAGGGUUUACUCAGACAUGGAAAAACUAACAUUAGUGUUUGGACCCACUGUUGAUUUAUUGAAAGCAUUCUGCUGGAAAGUACGGUGCCCACCAAAGAUUAAGUAUUUUUAUGGCAGCUGGUGUAAAAAUGUAUAUCAGUUAAGGAAAAUUUGCAUGUGAGAGGACUACAAAGGGAUGUAUGUUGUGCUAGAUGUGAAGCUUCGGAAGAAUCAAUAAAUCAUGUUUUUGAAUGUCCUCCAGCGCGUCAGGUUUGGGCACUUUCACAUAUACCAUCAAAUCCAGUUAUUUUCCCCCAUAUGGAUCAUCUAUUUUGGAGAGUUCAACUAAAAAUGGACGAUCAUCAAUUUGCAUGGAUUUUAUGGUACAUUUGGAAAAGAAGGAAUAACAAGAUUUUUAGCAAUCUAGAUAUUUAUUCGAGGGAAACACUCAAAUUUACGGAAACCGAGUCAACACUAUGGGCUGAAGCACAAGUGUUGAUCACUCAGCGGGAGGCACAACAUGUAGAGAUCUUAAAUUUACCGUCAAUUCCAGGGCGGUGGUGUUUUACAGAUGGUUCUUGGAAAGAUAAUGAGUUUUUCUGAGGACAAGGUUGGUAUAGUACUCUAGAAGGUUUUGAUGGUUUGAUGGGGGAAAGGAAUGUCCGGACGAGCCUCUCCCCUCUUCAUUCGGAGGUGGAGGCGCUACUCUGGGCAAUGGAGUCGAUGAGGAACUUGCAUCAGUUUCGAGUUACGUUUGCAACAGAUUGUUCUCAAUUGGUGAAGAUGGUUUCGGAACUAGAAGAAUGGUCAGCUUUUGCAAGUUAUUUGGAAGACGUCAAGACCCUGCAAAAAAGUUUUCUCAACUCAGAGAUUAUUCAUGUACCACGAACGCACGAUUUGAAGGCGCAUAUUCUAGCACUUCGUGCUAGGAAUCAAUCGUCUUUCGUCGUUCACAUGGAUGCGGAGUUACCGAUAUGGUUUACAAAGUCUGCAUGAGUCUAUGUUUUUAAGCUGAUGACAAAAAAGAGAAGAAGAUAAAAAUAACAUUUGUAGUGAAAGAAAGUAGUGCUAGACCUAAAAAUUAUACCCGUAAUAGACUAAGGACAUCUCCAACCCUAUUCCAUUUUCUAGUUCAAACAUCAUUUUGGAAUAAAUUAUAUUUUGACCCUACUCCAUUUUCAACUCCAAAAUUGAGUAAUGGCUAAGGUUACACCAUAAAUGGAGUUGAACUUUUUUUAAUUUAUAGAAUAGUCUUUUAAAUUUUAAAUAUUUUUAUCAUACCUUUUCCUCAUUUUUAUUUAAUACUUAAAUAUUUAAAAUUAAUACAAUAACAUGAAAAAUAUGAUUUUCAUAAGAGAAUAUUUGAAUAUUUGAUGGUUUUACAUAAAUGUGCAUAAACUAAUAAAAAAUACCACAACUAAACAUAAAAAUAUAAAAUAAUGAUUUAAUAAUUGUGUAAAUCAUUUAUGGAACCCUCCAAAAUCGGUGAAGUACUGUCCAAAUGAUAAAAAUAAGGGUUUUUAAAUUUUUUGGUUGAUUUAGGAAAGUCAAAGAAAAAGAACUCAUUAUAAAAAGCAUUAGUUGAUCAUUUGUGGAAAAAUAUUAUAAUGUUCAUUAUUGAACCAAAAAUGCUAUUAUAUAUUUACGAUUAUUGUAUCUUUUAAUACUAAGUUUUAAUUUAAAUAAAUUAUAUUUUUAUGGAAUUUUUAUAAACAUAAAAUAGUUGGGGUUAAUUGGUAACUUUUUAAGUAGAAAGUAUUACUAACAAUUAUUAAUUAAAUAAAAGUGAAAUUACUUUAGAAUAUUUUUUUGGAAUAAAAAAUGUAGUAAUAUAUUGAAGUAAAAUUCAAUUCUAUUUCGGUGCUGCACUACUUUACAAUAUAAAAUAGAGAAAUAGGUUGGAGAUAUGUUCUAUGCUUAACCAAAAGAAGAAGAAGCUGGUCCUAAUAUAUAUAUAUAAAUAGUCAAGAGUCAGAUCUCUUAAAAACACAAAGAGUUAUAAGAACAACUUUUCUUAUUAGCUUUAGAAACUACUCAAAACUAAAGCCCUCAAUAUGUUUCACUUAGAUCAUAUGGAACACCUCUCCAUUAGACCUAUAUUUAUAUGAAAGACAAUUCCCUUUAACAUGUGGGAUAUGGAAAACACAAACCUAACCUAAAUAGAAACUUCCUUUUCCUAUUUCUAGGUUUCCUUAUUGUGUUUAUCUUAACAUAUUAAACAUCUAAUAAUAUGUUAAGUUUCCACAAGCUUGGAAUUAUCCAACAUUCACCCACUUAAUUCCAACUUGAAUUAGGGAGAUCAAUUUCUUGAACUCCGAUUAAGCUCCUCAUUUGCUUGAACAUAAUCAUCAAGUAAUCUUCCUUCACCACACUGUGGUGUAUGAAUCCACCCAUUGGAUUCACAUCUUUCUCAAGGUUAGACCGGAUGCUCUCCUUGCUUCCGUACCGCUUCUUCUUAGAAUCGGCCCAGUUCUUGUAGAACCUUCUCAUGACCUCUUCACUUAAGUUGCGAUGAUUUUUGUGGCUGAAGCUCACUGCGAUGAUAACUCUGGUCACAUCCGCCAUCUUGCGUACGUGAGCUCUGAUAAGGAUGUCGGCCUUCUGCUCAACACCCAACAGAUUUAUCUCUGGUUCAUCUUCAUCCUUUGAGAACCUUGACUCUAUUGGUACGUGCGUUGUGUCACACGCUUCCACCUUUGUGUCACACACUCCUCCGUGAGUCGUGUUGCACACUCCUACGUGAGUCGUGUUACACACUUCCAUCUUUGUAUCACACAGGAUUCCUUGAGCAUACCUCUCUUGCUUUAUUCUGAUUCCGUCUGCUCCUUGAAUCACCUCUAUGCCAAGGUAGUACGUUAGCUUACCUAGAUCUGACAUCUCGAACUUCUUAGACAUCUUCUCUUUGAAUUGCCUAAUCACCUUAAGCGAAGUUCCUGUCACAAAUAGAUCAUCAACGUAGAUGGCAAUGAUCAAGACGUCUCCUCCUUCAGUCUUGCAGUACACUGAUGGUUCCUUCGUGCACUUCUCAAAUCUCAUCUCCUUGAGAACCUUAUCAAGUUUCACACUCCAUGCUCUGGGUGCCUGGCGUAACACAUGCAACAUCUUAUGUAACACACAAACUCGAUCAUCUUCUCCUUUCUUCUCAGAAUCAGUCGGUCUAUCUACAAGCUCCCAUAUCUUGUUUCUUGUGAUAGACUCCAACUCGUCUUCCAUAGCUUCAACCCAAUCUUCUUCACAAGAUAGGUUGAAUUCAUCUGAGGCAAUCUCUCCUCCUCUAUCGGUGCAUCCUAGAUUGAACACAUCUGAGGCAACCUCUCCUCCUCUAUCGGUGCAACCUAGAUUGAACAUAGCUGAGGCAAGCUCUCCUCCUCUAUCGGUGUGAGAUCUUUUGAACCGAUAGAAUGCCUCACGAUUAUCUGCUGGCGUUGGUGGUGUGAUUCGUCCACACAAAUCUCCAAGCAAUAAUCCCAAUGGCUUUGAUGUACAAACCAUGGCCUUAGUCAGGAAUGUGUCUUUGGUUUGCUUCCCUGCAAGACAUGUGUCACACACGCCUUCUUCGUGUGUUACACUCGGGAAUGAGUGUCUCGUCUGCUUCUCUGCUAGACAUGCGUUACACACGCCGUUACACACGCCGUUACACACGCCUUCUUCGUGUGUUACACUCUGCAUUCCGACGAUCAUCUCCUUCCUCUUCAUCGACCAAACCUGGUAGUUUGUCGAUGACAACAUCAGACAAUGGAUGGAUGUGAAUCCAAAGUCUUUGAUGCGUGGCGCAGCUGUAGUCACGUCGGCCAUCUGCUUUCGUGAUCUCUCCUCCUGUCGCCAAGAUCUAAGCUUCACCUUAAGCUUAGAUUGAGUCUCCAACAUGAGGCUCUUUAAUGAUGGUAAUGGCCCAACCUGGCUCUGAUACCAAUUCAGAUCUCUUAGAAACACAAAUAGUUAUAAGAACAACUUUUCUUAUUAGCUUUAGAAACUACUCAAAACUAAAGCUCUCAAUAUGUUUCACUUAGAUCAUAUGGAACACCUCUCCAUUAGACCUAUAUUUAUAUGAAAGACAAUUCCAUUUAACAUGUGGGAUAUGGAAAACACAAACCUAACCUAAAUAGAAACUUCCUUUUCCUAUUUCUAGGUUUCCUUAUUGUGUUUAUCUUAACAUAUUAAACAUCUAAUAAUAUGUUAAGUUUCCACAAGCUUGGAAUUAUCCAACAAAGAGGAACUUCCUCUUCCAGUUAAUGACUUAGGUCACCUCUCUUGCAUCAAUCAAACCAUUUUUCAUUAUGAAUCCGAACCACUUAAAAAAACCUUACCGGAUGGCUUAGGCACAAAUAAAAAUUACAUACUAUUCGAUGGCUCACACUUCACUUAGUUUCAUGUACAUUUACAACUACAAAUAGUAUAUAUAACUUUUUCUGUCUAAAUAAAUCUUUGUUGCAAGGUCAUAUGCAUUAUGUUUCAACAGUCAUUGAUCUAGUAGUUGGCCAAAUUAUUAAUGUUUCUACGACAGGUUUGAAAAUAUAAACGUUACAUCCUUAAGAACCUUAACUAUAAUAAUGUUUUUUCAGAUUAUUCUGGAUUUUUUUUGAAGUUUUAAUGUGCGUUAAGUCAUCCGCCAUUUAUCAAAUUAUUACACGAGAUAUAUAUUUGAUUUCGAGUGGGUAGCUUCAUUGGUUUUAGAUGAUACACAUAUCGUAAGUUUUUUAAAUGUUAAUAAAUUCUAAUAAACAUGUUGUAGACAUAAAACAAACAUAUUUAAAAUAAAAAAUUGCCAUCUUGUUUUUAAUAAUACCUUGCUUAGGUGUUUAUAUGAGACCGUAUAGUUCACAUAAUCAUAAGAUAUAACUAAAAAUAAAAUCUAUAAUUUUGAGCCAUGUCUUGCAAAACAAAGUGUGGUUACUGGUUUUUUCUUUUUGGAACACAAGUGUGGUUAUUUGUUAAAUAUUUUUUGUUGUCCACAAGCAUAACAGAGGUAAGCAGCGUAAAUGUCCUUUUGGGAGACGUGACACAAUCAACAGCUGAGUUGACUUUCUUUAGAUUUUUUUUCUAGGGUUUGUGGGUUCAUUGCAUUAUCCCAAAAUCAUCUGAUUUUGAUCUCAUCACUCUUUUAUUUUUCUUGCUACUAUCAUCACCAUUUUGUUGAUAGUCUCGCCACUGUUUUCAACCUUCUUUAUUGUUUUGUAAUAAACAAUGUCGAUACUUACGUGAUAUUCUUAUUCUUUGAAAAGUUAUGUUGAUAGGGGCUGUUCAUGUUUUCAUUAUCAUAAAUAGGAUAGUCAUGGUUAUCAUCAUCACCUUUACGACCAAAUUCUAUAUGGACCAAAACAGUUUCCACCACAUAAACUUGACCGUUUAUAAAUUGGAAACCAGCCUUCUCCCAUCUUCUCAUAUCAAAACCCAUUUCUCCUCUAAUUAUUUACCUUCUCCCCUAAACGAACAGAGAGCAAUAUUAACUAUCAUAUAUAGAAGAAAAAAACUAUCAUAUUGUAUAGAAUACUAAUCAAAACCAUAUAAUAUGGCGCCUUUCAGGAUCACGCCCCUACCUCUCAUCUUCCUCGUACUCAUUGUUUGUUCUUCAUCACUAGGUAAAUAUACUCCUAUAUCACAUUAUUUUCGGUUUUUACACGUUAGUUUUUACUUUGUAUGAAUGGAUAUAUAUAUAUAUAUAUAUAGUAAUCGACCUCUCAGCCCAAUCCAUCUAAGUCCGAGAUUAGCUUUUGAUAUCAUAUUUUCGUACAUUCCUCUCUUCUAACGCUAAUCAAAUUUUACCUUGAUACCAUUCAUUACUAUUGUAUUGGUGGAACCACGUUAUAGUAACUAUUUCCAAUAUUUUUCCAAAAAGUAAAAUGUAUCAGUAACCUUUUUUUGUUCAAAAUGUAUCACUAACUUUGCGUAAGUUACAAUAAAUCAAUUUCUUCUAACUAUUUGAUCACUUAAAAGAAUGUAUAAACCGCUGAUACAAUGUUUGCUUUUAGCUACAGUGGAAGGCUCUAUCCAGCUGGGAGGCCCAAAGAUGCAUGAGAGUUUCAUGCGUUACAAGGUAGUGUAUUUUAUAUGCGAAAAUAUUUAAUAAGAACUUUGCUUUAUAUAUUAAUAAUAACAUGGUUUUUUAAUUAUGAAGAAUGGGGAGACGGAAGUGAACAAGAUCAUGAGCCACAGGAAGUUGAUGUUCCACUCGACUGCAGACUACGACGACGCAGGACCAAACCCUAAGCACGAUCCAAGAAGGAAGCCCGGAGGCAGGCCUUGAAUCAUUCAAGUCACGAUUCUCUCUCUCUCUCUCUCUCUCUCUAUAUAUAUAUAUAUAUAUAUAUAUAAACACAUGCAUGAACGGGUAUUUAUAUAUGAAUGUAUGUAAUCCUUCUAUUCUGACAUUUUGUUUGAGGAUGAGAUCAGUGUACAAUACCCUUCAGAAACGCGUUCGUGAAAGGAGAUUAGUAUACUAAAUUACUAAUUAAUU